UUUUGUUUUUUUUUUCGGCCUUAAUUUUUGGUUGGGGCCGUUUUUUUAGACUGAAUGAAAGAGUCAACAGGAGAAGAAGUUAUACUCGGAAAAAGGUUGUCUUCCUAACGGCGGGUGGGCCUAGGCCCAGUACAUAAUGUGCUAGCGUUGGCCCAAUUCUGCGCUUGCCAUGGAUAAAUUCUUAUAGGAAACAAGGGACAAUCAUAUAAAAAAGAGACAGGGGAAAUAUGAUUUUUAAUGAAUUCUGAAGCACCCAGAUAUUAGAAUCUGCAAUUAAGUCGGUAGUCAAGAAAAGCAAGGAAAAAAUCAAAUCAAGUUUGAAGGUAAAACAAAUAAUAUUAUAAUCACUGAAACAUCUAAUGAGAAGUGUAGAACUAGUAAAUUUAGCCUCUCUUUCACGACAAACUUUACCAGCCAUCCAAUGUAAUUGUGUAAACUAGAGCAAAGGGCAGGGAUGAGUACAGAGUUGUAUAAAAACAUUGUAAAAAUAUCUGUACUUGUUACACGCAGUAGCAGCUUAAUCAACGAUGUCUCCUCAUCAAAAAAUAAAAAAAUCAGCGAUGUCAACGCUCAACUGUAGCAAUUUUGAUUUCUGAACUGCAGUGUGUGGUCGUUCUAAGCAAGCAAUGCAUGCUGCGACUGCGAAUGUGCUGAGAUCCCCUGGUCCGGGUCGUCCUGCUGCACUGUAUUAUGGAGAACUGAUGCGAAGGAACCGGUGCUAGAAGUUGCCGAGGCCCACGCAUUCCGACGAUCGGUAGUGCCCUGACUUCAUGUAUUUGUCGUCGACCCUCAUCCUGCAUAAUGAGCAGUAGUGGAUCCGGCAUGCCCAGCAGAAAAUAUAUUCCUCAUUCUCCUGGAUGCAUAUGGUCAUUGGUCAGAUUAUGCAUAUACAAACAUUGGCAAAUCAGUGCUUAUUACAUUGGUGAGCAGUGAUAUCUACCCCCGUGCGAUGAAACAAAUAUUUAAGGUUGGAAAUAUAGGUCUCGGUUGGUACCUUGAAAUUUCUCUGACGACAUUUGGGACACCUGAUGGUGCUACCUAUAGGGGUCAGUUGAACUUUAGCACUGCGGCCAAUUUGCACUUCUUCCAUGUGCCUCUCAAACGGCGUUACAUCGCUAUACUGACAUAACUCAAAGAGCACACAUUCGUUCCUGCAACAGGCGGAUUUGUACAAUACUUUGUCAAAUCAAGCUUGCAAUCGUGCAUAAAAGGUAUGCCAGUGCUGUAUCAUGGAUGCCUUAGAGUGACCUACCGGAAAUGGUCAUAGCCACUGAUGGCCCUGCCACAGCGGAAGCAGAGCAACUGACCACAGUUGCCGCACGACAUCUUGUUGCACCCUUCUGAUUUGAUGAUGGGCAUUUGGCAUUUUGGACAUAGUUGAAUUAGAAUAUCACUGAACAUUUUUCUGAUGGUGAGCAAUUCCUGCACCAUCUCCUUCUGGGACAUCUUGCCUGACGCCUGCAGACAAGCAAAUUGUACGCAACAAGCAGGGGAUGUUCAGUUAAAUGAUAGUAUUCCGAAACAGUCAACACAAAAGUCAGCAGUAAGUCAGUAGCAGAAGCUUGUCAGGCCCUCAGAUCUUUAUUACAGUACACAUCAAGUGCACACUGUAUUGAAUGGUCUAGUAAAGUGCCUCCAGAUGUAGAAUACACAUGUUACUACAUGAAGAAGAUAACCAACUGCAAAGAGCAAAUGAAAAAGAGAUUAGUGAAUAUCUUGUACCUGCUGGCGUUUGAUCUUUUCUUCUGGAGUUAUGCACUGCUUAGCUGGAUGGCAUGGUUCCUUACAUAAAGAGCAGAAGAUAAAGGAGCAUUUUGGGCAUUCCGCGUCGUUGCUCUCAUCUUCCAAGCAUCCAAUCCCGCACCUUGGACAAUAAACCACAUCUGACAUUGAGUCCAAUGUUUUCUGAAGGAGAAGCCUAUCCCAACGUUCAAAUUCUUCUUCUGUAAGAAGCCUCUUCAGCACAUAUGGUGGAAUUGAAGCUUUGCACUUGGUACCAGGGCAUACCAACUGAAACACACUACCUUCCUUGACAUGCAUUCUGCAUAAGGUCUCCAUACACUUCAUGCAGAACAGGUGUCGGCAUGGAAGCCUGAUGAAAUUUGAACCUAAUUGUUUUAUCAUUAAAGUUAGUUAUAAGAGAGAGAAAAUAAGUGUUGGCAUGAAAGCCUGACGAAGUUUGAGCCUAAUUUUUUCAGAAUUAAAGUUACUUCAGGAGAAUGAACCUAUAGUCUGUUUCACAAGUAUGCGUUGAAAGUACAGGUUCAAUAGCUCUCAAGAGAUUCUAUGUGAAUCAAUAAAAUUUCACCCAGUUUAUUAUCGGUUACAAGUUACAACUAAGGCACAAUUUCACAAGGGAAAGGAGUAACAUGGAUGCUACAGAAUAAGUGGCAUGCUAUACUUAGUAAGGAAAAAUUGGAGGAAAAUGGAAAGAACGUACCUUUGCUUUGGUUAAGGCAUAUCAUGCUCAUAUGGAGAUCCUCGAGAAAAGCUUGAUAGUGCUUGUUACUACUGUAACUCAUCAUCAAAGGGAUUACAGACUCCAAUGAAUUUGUUCUUGCGAUUGCGCGGUUAUCUCUAUUGUGGGUUUCCAUAUCCAGCCCUAGUGUGGCCUUGACGAAUCACGAAGCCACUCAACCCAUUGAUACACGACCUCCUGCCCCUUCAGCUCUGCCCAUAUGGUGUCAAGCAUCUCACAAAGCCGAGAAACUUGAGGCACAUCCAUCCACUUAACAGUGACAGUGAAAUAUGGGGGAUCUUUGUGAGGAUAUGACCGCGGAAGUAAGCAUGUCAAUAUCAGAGGAGGAAGGUACUCGAAGUUGCACUUGUAAGAGAACAUGUCUGAUCCAUCAACAUGUCCUGUACCAUCAGAGCAUCCAUCAUCUGGGGAACACACAUUAGCAGAUGAAAGCUUUGCACACACUUCAAUGCCAUCAGCCACAUCAUAACGUGUGUAAAUCUGGAAUAAAUUAACAAACCAUCAAAACCAAAUUGCCAGCUUACUAGAGCAACUGAGGAAAAUUCAUGGCAACUGAAGAAACCUGGAAAUAACGGAGGCCUCCGUUGUUUUCAAAUACAGCCAGAUCAUGCCCAUAGAUUGCCACCAAUACCAUCAGCUGCAGUAAAUGAUGAACGAGUAAGAAAACAGGUACUCAGGCUCAGCGACGCAUUUUUAAAGUGAGAAUCUUUAGAUCAACCCCAGACAGAACUUAUAAGCAGAACUGUUCCUAAGUUAUAAAUAUCACAGUACAAUUAGAAGAUUUUUUUUUCUAGCAAUUGCUAACCAAUUAAGCAAUAAAUAAUCGCUCAUCAGUCAUCAACCUUUUUAUGUACAGAUAAGGUUUCUUCGAACUUGAAAUAAAAUAAGUACAAGCAGCAGAUUUCUUUUUUUAAAAACGUCACAAAAGGGGGUCUUGGUUGGGGACCCAAAUCCCUACGAGUUAGUACAAACCUGAAUUAAAUCCUAAAGUUUCCUAGAGCAAUUUCCUCUACAUAUUCAGGACCAAACUUUGCAAGUUCUGUUCCCCCAAAACCCCGCAAAUCCGGACAGCCCAAACUCAUCGUGACAGAUGACAAUUCCUGCAACUUUUGCAAUCGAACCAGCAGAUUAGGGAGUGUACUACCUCGUCCUCCUGCCGUUGCUGGUUGUCUCGUAUCUCAUCCUCCUCCUCCUGCACCUCCUCACGGCUGAUUUUAAGUGCCGCUGCAGCAUCCGUCGCCGCCGCCUCCCCCAGUAUCCGCUCCGCCUCGGCCGGCGCCGCCCAUGGGGAGUCCAGGUCGAGGAGGACGCCCUCCUCGCCGCCUGCAUUGCACAUCAAAUCAGCGGCGCGCGACGUGGAGGGGGACGAGGAGGAGGAAGCAUCGGCCGACGAUUCCGGGGUGGGGAUGCGGUAGGGCUCCAAUGCCCGCGCCGAUGCGGCGCCGGGCGCUGCUGUCUCCAUGGUGCGAGCUCGAACUGUCCCAGACUCCCAGUGUCGUACGUGUCGCUCCCCUUGUUCUUUUCAGCAAAGCCGCUUGGUUUUCUUGGUUUUUUUUUUUUGGAGAAGUUUCUUGGCUUUAUUAUCCGGGGCCCGGGGGCAUGCUUCUUCUUCAUUUUUCUCUUUGUGGGACCGUGCUUUCAGACUGAGGUGAAGGAAGAUAUGGGCCUAAGCUGAUGGCGCAAUGUGCGCAUUGGCCCAACAGUUCGACUUCAAGCCCAGGUGAGGACAAGGGGCGCAUAGUUCGGUUUGGACUUUGGAAUAAAUUCAGGUGUUACCAGAUCUCGCAACGGGGGCACAUUGGUCGUAUUAUGAUUUUAUAGGACGUCUUCAGAGUUACAUAAAGCUCCAAAAGUGACACAUAAUAAAUUUACAGUUGGUUGGAGCCGCGCGAACGCGUACCCCCUCUGCUACGGACGUCCACUCCACUCUCCUACUUGAGGAGAUGAGUGCUCCUCCCAAGUGCGAUGGAGGCCUGAGGGUGUUUGGAUCUUUAGUCCGGUUUAAAAUUCAUAUCACAUCGAAUAUUUGGAGGCUAAUUAGAGAACUAAACAUGAGCUAAUUAUAAAACUAAUUACACAGAUGGAAACUAAUUUCCAAGACGAAUCUAUUAAGCCUAAUUAAUCCAUCAUUAGCACAUGUUUAUUGUAGCACCACAUUAUCAAAUAAUGGACUAAUUAGGUUUAAUAGAUUCAUCUCGCAAAUUAGCCUCCAUCUAUACAAUUGAUUUUGUAAUUAGUCUAUAUUUAAUACUUCUAGUUAGUACCUAAACAUUCGAUUUGGAGCUAAAAAACCAAACGGGACCUUAGGCCAUGGUCCCUUCAUGAUCGACCAUCGACCCCGUCCAGGUAAGGAUAUGGUUCAAGGUACCUCCGCCCCAUGUUCUGCCUCCUCCCUCCUCUCUUCGCAAACAGUACGUACUAAAUCUAUGUUUCCAACGUAACGGUGGAUGCCUCACGAAUCUCGUAUGGGCCUGCUCGGCUUCGUGGGUCGCUUAAGGCCCAUCAUCUUAGCCCAUCACAGGCUUCUACGUGGUACUAUUUGUUCCCUAUAUCUCAUUUUUCGAAGGAACUCGUUUGUUUGUCAUUUUGGCGUCUCCAUUUGACGCAAACUUUGCCAUUGGCUAAACCUUAGGACCGUUUGAUCUUGAUCGGGUGGCCCAGAUUAGUCGUUCGCUAAACCAUCGUUUAGCGGCGAUUAAUUUUUUAUGUACUUCAAAUCGAAGUCUUCAGUACUAGUAGACCUUUUUUAUUUACUACCAGUAUCUUUCUUCCGCGUGCUUGAAAAUGCUACACAUACCUCCUCUUGGCUGUGUAUGUUAGGUAACCUACUUCCUUAUCAUGUGUUUUUUUGUGAUGAAGACACCCAAUCAUGCAACUUGCUCAACCAAAGGCAUGGCCUGGAGUGUAAACAGGACCCAAGGCACAUCGAGUAGAAAAACACGGGCAGCUAGCGAAUGAGAAAAAAGGAGGAGACGAAAUCACAAAAAGGCUGCAUCACAAUGUCAAAAAGGCACGACACAAACGCAACUUGACCUCCAUUUGCGUGCAUAGUCUAAAGCCCAAAGGCGCAGCGAUUGGACUGGACAGUGGACACAAUGGUAGCAGGAACCCGGUGAUAACAGCACUUGCAUCACACUGACGCCAUAUACUCCACUGUUGGCAGUAAGCCUAGAGCACUAAAAAAACAGUAAGACCGAAACACCAAAUAACAAAGUACUCAGUACUUAAGAGUCAUUGUUUUAUAGUGUGUAUAUACCAACUGGCAAAUGAAGGUAAGUUACAUUUCAGGUUAACUCAGUGAGUACCGGCAAUCUUGACUCCUUUUGUGAAUCUAUGACUGCAUUGCCGAACACUGCCUGCCUGCCCAAAAACAGUAUCCCUUUGGCUCUUUUUGUAUGUGCACACUAGCCUAACUGAUCUCCCUUUUUACUAUUACGCCGAUGAUGAUUCCAUCGACGUAUUCGUGUUGAAUUUGUGCUCGUCUUGAGCCAUGCACUUGUACAAUUAUACAAGUAUAAUGCUGGUAGUGAUCGUGGCCGUACGAUCAGGCUGAGGAUUUUUUCUAUCUAAAAUCAGAAAAGGACGAGGAUAACAUCUCAAUACCCCAUCUGGUUACUACUUGUAACAACAGAAGAGUAACCGGGUUCGUGGAGCAUGGCCGGGGCGGGGCCCGCUUGGAAGUAGCACGACACAGGGUCGUCCACCAUGGCAGGGAGUGGGUCCGGGUGGGCGACUGGACACUGUGGGCCCAUCGGGUACUGGUAGUCCUCCAUGGGGCCCCACAGGCCCAGCUCCUUCUCCAGGUCCUCCAACCACCACUCCGUCCCGUGGCUGGUCGUGCUGGCGGCGGCGUUCGGCUCCGUUGCAUUGCUCUGGCACGGCGCCGGUGCAGUCCCGGCCGCGACGGCGCCAGCUCCAGCGCCGUCGCCGCCGACGCCGUCGAUGAUGCUCCACAGCUCGUGGUCGAUGUCGAUCUCCGGCAGGUCGAGCAGCUCGUCCACGCUGGGCCGGGCGGGCGCCGGCGGGGACGUGGACGAGGCGCAGGGCGACGUGGGCACGGAUACGUCCGGGCAGUACGGAUCCGGAAUCUGGUCCACCAGCAUGUCGAAGCCGAAGCAGGCGGGGUCGUCGAGCAUGGGGAUUAUCUCGAGCUUCUCCAGGCCCAGCUCGUCGCCGGGCUCGUCCUUGCUCGCCUUGCUCUGCUGCUCCCCGGAGUCGCCGCUGGAGCAGUUGGUCGUCGCCGUCGUCGUGGAAGAGGACGGCGACGGCGACGGGGCCGCCGCCGCCGGCACCCCAGCGCCGGCGGCUUUCUUCUUCUUCUUGGAACCGGCGGCGCCCCCGCGCUCCUCCGCGCCCGGCGACACCCGCUUCUUCAGGUGCGUGUUCCAGACGUUCUUGAUCUCGUUGUCCGUCCGGCCCGGCAGGCACGCCGCGAUCUUGGACCACCUGGACACAAAAUCCGAUCGAGCUCUAUCAGUCUCGGCUUCAUCCAUGGAUUCGAGAACAGCAACCGCGAAUUCUCCAGGCAACGACGAGCUGCACCGUACUUGUUGCCGAGCAGGCCGUGCAGCUUGAUGAUGGUCUCCUCCUCCUCGGCGGUGAAGUUGCCGCGCUUGAGGUCCGGCCGGAGGUAGUUGAUCCACCGCAGCCGGCAGCUCUUCCCGCACCGCAGCAGACCUGUGCCGUGCAAUUCAAAACCACCAUUAGAACCCCCCAUGAAUGCAUGGAUGUGCGGACAACUGCAGAUGAGGGAGGAUUUGCUAUGCUUGGUACCAACCUGCUUGCUUGGGCAGGGCGCGCCAGUUGGCAUGGCCGUACUUCUGAAUGUAGGCGAUGAGGCGCAUGUCCUCCUCCGGCGUCCAGGAGCCCUUGUUCAGCCCAACCUUGGCGCAGCACGGUGCCCGGCCCUUCCCCAUCGUUCCUCCAAGCUCCUGCUGCCUCCGCGUGAUCGGCGGAUCGAAUCGAUCGCUGCCUCGACGGCUCGAUCUCUGGUUCGAUGCUAUUGCUGCGACGACGGCGCCUCGAUCACUUGUGUGUGCGUGUGCCGGGGCCUGUGCAGAGCUGCAACCGGGACAGUGGCAGGGCCAGGCGUAUAUAUACACACGGCCCCGCGCGCGCGCGCGGGUGAGAAGAUAGAUGCCGAGUGCGCAGGUCGCGCCCUCUUGACGUGCGCGACGCCGACAGCGCGCGAUGGGUGACACAAGCCGCGGCCGUGUCGCGCUCGCCCCUCGCCCCCACCCCGCAGACUGCCCCCUCACCAAACCCCCGCGUCACUUGUCAGCCUGCCACGACGCGAGCCCUGCCAACACCUGUGCCCCGGUUGCACUCCUCGGGCGAAUUCCCAACAAAAAAGCUCUGGAGGGGCCUGUACUCCCCCGUGGCGAUUCGCGUCGCGCGGCCCCGUUGAUUUCCGGGGGCCGGCCGGCCGGCGUGCCGACGACGACGUCGCGCGCACGGAGGGGGGCCUCUCGGCGGCCGCGACCCGCGAUCGAUCGCGUGGGGCCUCGUGUGAUCUAGGUGGGGGCCUUGACCCUUGCUUGCCCAGCUGGGUGUCUGAGGUGGCCGCGCCGUCGCCGCUUGGCAUCGCGGUGGCGUCGCCGGCGACUGGACAUGUGCGGUUGCUUGGUGUGGCCUCCGUUGGACAACGGCGACAUGGUUGCAUCAGACCGUUUUCUUUUAGGUUAAGGAAAAAUAGUAUCCGGCCUCGAUCAUCCACAAAAACACAACACCAAACUGACAUAAUUCGCAGCACUCAGACUGCACCAGAAGCACUAAACCUCAAACAGCACUCAGACUUAAACUGAAAAAACAAGCCUACAAAGCACUAAGCUUGGAGCCUGUUCCUGAACUUCCACCCAAACUUGCUGAAGAUCUCCAUAACUGUGACCUCCAACAACAUCAUCAGACCGUAUGGGGUUAUGGAGGGUGAUCACUGAUCAGGGGAAAAGGCAAAAGCAGUGCUUUGGGAAAGCGAAAAAAAGGAGAUUAAGCACGACAAUGACGGUUAAAUAUCGCUUCCUUUUUUUCCGAUUCGUCGAAAUCAGCACGAAUGGCAGGGGACAGACACAGAGAGCAAGUUGGGCACUUUGCUUGGGAUGAAGGCUUGGAGCGGCCCGUCUCCGUGCAACCUUCGAUAGGUCCAUCAAUAGAGCUUACUAGCUUACAAAUAGGGUAAUUUAGAGUUAGGUCCGACUCCUUCACACACUACACGGAGGAAUUUAGUAGGGGAAAUUAAAAAGGCGGAUUGCAACGGGGUAACAGAUAGUUAAAUGAUCGAUUUUGUUUUAUGCGUUUUAUACUACCUAACUCAUUGACAAUGGGGAAUUUGGGAAGUUCCUUGGUACGGAUGGAUUUGAAUGUGGUCCACAGCAAGUGCAAUAUCCACAACUAAUUUGGACGUGUUGAAAACAUUUUUUUUCAUGUUUUUUCCAUUACAUGCUGCUCUCUUUAAACUGUCAUUAGUUUGGUGUACAUAUUCCAUCGAUGGAUAACACAUUAAAAGAUAGGACAAUAUGCGCUAAUUGGAGUAUGUAGUACUGGGUGUUUGUUGGACGGUUGCAUUUUCAUAAGGAGAAAAAGGAAACGUUGACUAGUUAAAUUUGGAAAUUUAUAUAAUCUUAAAUCUCCAUAUAGUACAUUAAUCGCAAAAAUGAUGGCAUUUGGUUGGUACGCACCGCUGACACUAUUUGAUUUAUAUUCCCCCCUAGUUAGCAAGAUGUUGAUAUCAGCAGCGCCAUAGAAGAGAUUGGCAAGUAGUAACCUAACGGAACUGAUCCUUACCGGCCUCAUGUUUAUGCAUUUUUUGUCAGAGAAGCAUUUUUAAAAUACGUUCUUAUGCAUAUAUUUGCUUUCAAGACGAUGUCCUCGUAUCAAUCUCCCUUCCUUCCAAGACGUAGCUACUACCUACUAGUCACUGUUGAGAGCAAGUAGUAGAAAAAGAGAAGACUACCUACCCGUUACCUUUCUUCUCUGUACGGAUCCUCGAUCUUGUCGUUGUUGAAACAGCAACAAUCUGAUUCGCUGAAUUUAAAUUUAAACCUCCCGACCUUAUCUCACUUUGAUUACCAUCCCUAACACGAAACACGCGCCGUGCCUGUUCUAACCCACAAGAACACGCAUCGAUCGGCCUAGCUACGCACGGUUCGUAGACAUGGUCAGGUACCCAAGGACAGAUUGGCGUUCAGCCUCACUUAUCUGUCCAUCCAUCCCGAUUUGUGAAUGGACAGAGUCAGGUAACCCCGGCCAAUCAAUGCGUGUGUGUUGCAUCCGAGAUCGAACAGCUGAUGAUCACUUCAGAGCUCGGGGUUCUUACCGCAAAGCGCAAGCGUUCUCGUGACGGCGAAUUCUCGUGUAAGCUUUGGUUAGCUGCCGAAUUUAGCAGGAGAACGCUUUGACCGGCCAACUACAUGCACGCAUAGCUGCAUACUGAUGAACGGCCGGUCAGCCGGUGCCACGUCGCCUUAAACUAUUUGGUUGCUAGGUAGAGCUAGCAAGGAGAUGUUUAUCUUAGCUUAUUCAUUGUGUGAUUGUGUCAGCAAGUAAAUAGUAGUACUCUAUAGGAGUAUACCAACUCACAAACCUCACAUUUGGAAUUGGAUCGCAAUCAACUGUCUGCUUCGUCCGUUUUAAAAAAGUAACCGCACGCAGCGCACAUGCCUGAAAGUUUGCCAAAAAGAAUGUUUCCGAGAGCAAAUACUGAAAUUCGUUUAAAAAAAAAAGAGAGCAAAUACUGAAAUAGUGUACAAUGAACUGAAGCUGUUCAUCAGUCUUGAGGUCGACCACUAUAUAUACAAAAAAGAUUUUACAGUAGAGUAGUUGACGCAUCUUCUCCGGCUGCAAAUUGCACGCGACUAGAACAGUUCCUUCGUCGUCCAAGCAUGGUGCAUGCAUUGUAUCUCCGGUGAUUGCCCGAGAGAAGAGAAACUUAAAAAAGGAUUUUUGGUGAAGACUAAACUGACGCCCCUUCAACAACCAGUCGUCCCUUUCCAUCAGACCAUCACCCGGGAGAGGUUGCAGAUUCCUGCAUGCAUGUGUGGCAGCAGCCACUGGCUGGGAAGUCUCAGUUAGGGUAACCAAACAUUUAUUGCCGUUUUACCUUCCCCGCACCUAACCCUUGACGUUCUUUUCUCUCAUCGUGGAAACCACUCGAUGUCGCAUUUGGACUUGCUUGUAUUCGUCCUGCGUCGCUGUGUACGAGUGUAGAAGCGAAUAAAAAAGAAUGUUGGAGGCAAGUUUCUUGACCUGCCGCUAAGCUAUCUGCUGAAUUUGCUGAUCUUCUACCUAGAUUUGAAUGACAUGUUAGCUAACCUCAUCGGUGACAUGCUAGACCGAACAGCGAUCGCCGUGACAAUUCGCAGGCGUGCACGGAAGCAAGAGGCUCCUAGCUAGAGUGCUAGGUGCUAGCUAGCUAGCGACAUGCGACGAUGUGAAUAUUUUGAGUAACGGUUUUGCUACAUCGAUCGGUCACGUACCUGCUGUGCUUACUGUAUGAUCCCGUCAAGAUCCGUGCCCCGGACGGUCCUCACUCCAAGGCCAGGAAAACAUGCCGUGCAUCAUCAGUGGCGAAGGUUAAUUAUCCGGGUUCGAGGUUUACGGUACAUGAGCCACUUUCGAAAAAUGUCAGGUUGAUGAUAGGGGCGGACCUAGAGCAAAUCUUGAAUGUUGGGAGGUGUGGUAGCAACGUCAGUCCCAACAGUAAACAAAAAAAAAAAAGCUACUGCAGAAGAGGGGGGAGGAUGAGGCGAACAUUUCAGAAAUGUUUGAACCAGGCGCACCUCAGUUGCUUAGGCAGGUAUUUGGUUCAAAUAUGUAGGCAUGCAACUUUGUGCACAAACCUUGUCUAACGUGUGACAAACCAACUAUUGGCCAUACUUUAGGCAUAGUUUAGCAAAAGAGAAGCACGCCUAUCUGAUAAAGCUAGUGAAAACAUCUUAGCUUGAUCUAAUAAAUAAUCCCAUUUAGAUUGUGAAAAUCUUCCACAUUUACGUUUAUUUUUAAUGUUUGAUUCUUUUUACUCUGAAACGUAAUGUCGAUGAUCCAUAUAUUUGCGGGAUCGUAUCAUAUAACCCGACGAAUACAUGCACGCGUGCGCACCAGCAUCUACAAGAGGAACACCAUGUAUUUGAGUUCUAAAAAGAAAGGUAGAGCGAGAAAAUAUUUGAACUCAUUUCCUCAACCACUACAUACUAAUAAACGGUACUUUAUUCCUUGGUCUUAAAUAAAUAAGAUUUAGUACAAGCUAAUAAUUAGUUCUCAUGGGACUUUCAUCUCGCACCGGUCAAAAAAAGAAAUGGUUAAUUUUCUUUCUUUUUUAAAUUAAUUUGUUUGUUGUCCUAAAGGUUAUUUAGGGUGUGUUUGGUUGAGCCGUGGUUUUUGGAAAAGUAAAUGUGAGCUGUAGGCUGUGGAAAAGUAGUUGUGAGCUGUGGAAAAACCGUUUGGUGGAAUAGCUGUGGCUUUUGGGAAACACUUACGAGCGGACCCCACAUGUCAUUCGUAGUCCACCCCACUCAACCAUCUCCCUCUCUCACUGACGAACGAACCCUGCUCGUCAGCCCCUUCUUCGUCCUCCUCCUCCUGCUAGGACUGGGGGACCUCGCGCCACCGCCAGGAAUCACCGCCGGGAGGACAGGAAGCGGCCGGAGAGGGCCGCCACCGUCUGGAAUCAUCCGCCGGGAGGAGAGGAAGUGGUUGGAGAGGCGCGCCGCCGGUGGGAAGGACGGCCGGCGGUGGGGCAGCGGUGGGGAGGGCAGACGGCAAUGUUCUGUCACAGGCGUGUGUUCUGUCGCGCGGGGAGGAGGAGGACGAACUGGUACGCUCAUAACUAAUGGCAGUGGGUAAUUUUGAGGAAAACUUGGACGCCACAGUCGGUGGAAGCAGGGGCUUAGGUGCUGUGAGAAUGGAACUAAAGAGAAGCUGCUUUUGUGGAAGCAGGUGUUUGCAGUCCACCCCUUUAGUUAGUUUUUGAUUUUUUUUUGGAAGUCAAAGCAUUUUCAAAAGCCCAACCAGAAGACCGACCAAUGAGUAAUCAACGAUUUUCAUGCGCACAUGAAUGUACUUCAAAUUGAAGAAGUUACUCAAUGACCCAACAACUACAGUUGUUCCCAAGGAAAAGACAAACGGAAAACAGCACAUGAAUAACGCGAACUGAUUCUAUCACCCACUAUCUCCUUAAACAAAGUUUGUGGUGUUCAGUGCUAUGCUGUGUAGACCAUCAAGGAGAGACACGCAAGGACUUGAUAAAGGUACCACGUGUGCGUUACAUUUCCGGCCGUACACUAUGACCAACUUGCACAGCGGAUCGAAUGAUGCUGCUGCUCUACUCAAAGAAAACCCAAAUGUUAGAAUUUGGAAAGCGGAUGAAAACGAAACUCCCUGACCCUGUAGCUACAGGGCUCAGCAUCAGCCAGCACAGUAGUUAGUGCAGUGGUUGGUGCCAAGUGGUCGCCCGCACAGCGAUAAACAAACACCCGGGGCCUUGACUCCGUCUCCCCCCAUGCAGGCCAUGCGCAUGUACUCCCCGGUCCUAAAAUAAAUAUUUUUAAAUUUCAGAUAUAUUAGUAGUGGUGAAAAAUAACUAUAUUACAUUUAACUAAGUUGCGUUGUUUGUUUGGUUUUCUGAAUCGUGAAUAAGUGAACAGACAUUGAAAUUAGAGAAAUAACAUCAAUUGAUCAUUUGAUUAAUGCACAUAUUUCUCCAUACAUUACUUUUUAUUAUUGGUGAGGGUGUUGCUCAAAUUAGAUAGGAUCACUGGGAGCUAAACGAACAGAGGGACCGAGGGAGUACUAGUACGGCCAAAGCAGCCUUCAGAACCGCCCUUUGCGAGCCCUUUUAGCAGCAUAACAAAACGUGGCGCACAAAGGCAUGGCGGCAUAUUAAAUGGCCGGUUCCUGCUCGGCAUUUCAGCAGGAGGCGUGCGUCGCCGCGGAUCGGAAGUCCAGCCAUGAUCUUUCUUUGGAGCCUUUCCGGUGCCGGUAGAAUUGAUGAAGCAUGCAGCAGCACUGGGGGGUCGGGACGCGAGACCUUUUGGACCGGAGCAGCGGCCGGCCACGCGCCCACGCGCCCACGCGAAAAAAAGGACCCCCAAAAGCGGUGUGUUUUUGCGGCAUCAGCCCCCGUGUGAAUCCGCCGCGGACACCCGCGUCCGUGGCGCGGCAGUUGGGAGGACGAGACGAUCCGCGGUUGAUCCCCACAUCAUUCGUUUGACUGAUCCGGCCAAAGGGGGCGCGCACGGAAACGUACAAGCGCAUCACGGCAACGGGCGCCGGGCGGGCUCGCAGGCCUCAGGUGCGCCGCCACCUCCGACACGUGUGCCGGCCUGCUGCGCCCCGGCGGGUGACUGGGUGAGACCCGUAGUUUGGCGCCGCGCGUGAUGGGUGCCCUGCCUGGUCGAUGGAAUUAAUUGGCUGCGCUACUCGAUGCUUCCGGUCCCGGCGCGCGGCGAACGAAGGUCUCGCUCUCGCCGCCACCGCCGCGGCGCCCGUUCGCUGCGGGGCGUACGCGCGCGCACGUCGACCGAUCACGGUGUCAUCUUGUGCCCGCGCGCCCGCUGCAUGACUGCAUCAUGGCCAUGGAUUCAACGGGGAGCGGUCGGGCCGUGGUGCGCCACACGGAUCAUCGAUGCGUCCAAGCGCCGAGAUCCGACACGCUGCAUCGCCAGCCCUCCCGUGUCAACGUCGGUCUGACUCUGACCCCCAGCAGGUUCUUCUGUCCGGCCUCAGAAAUGGUACAGCAAGAACGCAUUGCUGGCGUCGUGACAAUUGGACCAUCGGACCUCAGGAAUGAGAUGCACACCUAGAGAGAGCUGUUCAAAGCAGUUCUACUGUGGCAGUGAAGCACCGGUCCCACGAUCGUCGCCGGUCGGCGUCCAAGCGUCCGGCCACGGCGCUUUCGCUUCCGUCCAAGUCCACUUUCCUUAUCUGAACUUUUGGUACCUGUCAGUCACAGAAUCUACAUGGCUCUGAUGGCUCGCCCGAUCGGCCGAUGUGAUCAGCCGGUAAUUCGUGGUUGAUUAAACUUCAAGGGAGCAAUCCUCGCCAAGAAAAAUGAUCUGUCAAGCAUCAAAUAAUUAAAGCGUCCACGAUAAAGUUUGGAUCGACGAAAUCAAAUUCCGCAUUUGUUUCUCUGUUCAUUUUCCUUGCAACGGAGCAAAUAAAUCCAGUGAGAGGACGUAUAGCCCCCCAUUGCUCGUCAGUCAUUCCACCCUAUCCUUUUUGGGUUCAGCUUGAUGACGAUGGUACAAGCAUCUAGUCACAUAAACAAUGAAUAACCUUUGCAUUUUACCAUGACGCGAGUUUACCAUGCUUCACUACUCCCUUCCUCCCAAGAAAAUAAGUGAUUCUGGAAUUCAAAAUUUAUCCAAAAAAUAAGUCAUUUUUUAUCCCCAUUUAGUAUGUCCAUGUCAUGUGGUACUUAAUUAGCACCAAAUAUGACUAAUAAAUACUAAAGAUAAACAAUAUUAUUUUACCUCUUAAUGUUGCUACAAUGAUUUUAUUUUUUUAGGGACGGAGAGAGUAGAUGCUAGGAACUGUCAUUUAUACGUUGCUCUGCUUGGCGCUCGGGCUCUCUUCCUCUUCCCUGGAAAGUUGGAACCGAUGAUAUUUUGCAUUCCAUAUUACUUCUGUUCCAAACUAUCCUAAUGAAGUUGAACAAUUUGACGAAUUUACUGUUACGGAAAUGUCUUACAUAGAAACAAAAAACAUGGUCACCCAUUGGUUCUAGCUCUUUUUCAAAAGAUCCGUAAAUAAAAGGACACCACAAAGUAAGCGAAAGGUAUAUUUCUAAAACACAUCAAGUACAACAUAGCUGCUCCCUCCCUUUUUAUUUCACCUUUUGAUUAUGCGCGUCUUCAAAUAAUUAAAAGGAAAAAAAGGAGCAACUUAACUUUCUCGUUAGAAAUGUGACACUUUAGAUGACAAAACAUGUUUUCUCCUUUUCAGAAAAUAACACUUUGGACCAUAAAACAAUCAUCAACCAGUAUAUACAAAUUCUGAAUCUUGAGUUUUUUAAUAUAACAAAAGCACUAAUAUAAUUGCCACGCCAAGUUGACGUAUCUAUUACCUGCUUUUAAAGAUAUAAUGAUGCAUCAACCGGUGCGAUAAUCAUCACUACGUCUACUUGUCUUCCUCAACCGACGCCGAUGUGCACUUUUCCACCAACAUUUUUGUAUGUCCUACUUGUCCACGAUGCAUCUGCCAAUGAGUGCCUCCGCAAUGUUUUGCAGAGACACUCUUCCGGCCCAUUGGCUUCGGAAGAAUUCGCAACGGUUGCAACGGGCGCAUCAGAAACUUCAGACGAGUUCACCGGAGCGGUGAUGAGCGGUGAGCCGAUGUGAGUGUGAAAGAUCGCCGAGUGCUUUACAGCGGACGCUGACGACCUGUCGGAAAGAUUCCUCCGGUCGCCGGCCGUUCGCCGUCCCCAUCGCCUCACGUUGACACGCGACGGCGCCGGGCGUACGCGCACGUCGCUGGCUCGCCGUCGCAACGUCACGCGAUCUUGCAACAGCUCUAGCUAACUUUGCGACCCGGUCUCUCACUGGCUACGCAACUAGCAGCACGGCCAUCUCCCCACUCGCUCGAUCCCCUGAGCAAUCAUACACGUCGAUUUCUUCAGGUUGUUGAGCUUUAUCUGCAGUAGCAGCUACCUUCCUCGUCUACUGCGUGCGUCACUCGACUAGCUCGACGAUGAUUUCGUCCAUGGCGGAGGAAGAAAUGGGCCAACAUAAUGGAGGUUGGAGGGAGCAUUGCUGUGCAAGAUUCUCGCCGCUGGCUACUGGUCACCGGUGAGGUUUGAACGGUAACAUUGUUUGGUUGUGCCGCUGCAUAUUCAAGUACUGCUGGCCUAUGCCUGAAUGAUUCAGCACGAUCUUGUCAAAUGUCAAGUGACAGCAGGUGAAUACAUCGUCAUGAUGGAAAAAAGGCAGCAUCUCCGAUUACGCAAGGCCUAGCCAGUUUGUGCCGACAGUAGGGAGCUAUAAGGAGGAGUGUACUGGUUCAUCGAACUGAAAAAGUCUGAAACUCGCCUAAUCAAGUUAGAUACCAAGCCAAACCUGGGAAAAGUAGUUGCCAAGAUUCGUCGGUAAAACAGGAAAAUGUACUACCGCAGGGCUAAUGAGGUAAAAAAAACUCAGGACAGGGUUUUACCAAAUUGACAGCGACCUGAGAGUUCAUCUUCAACUUUGACAUGAUCGACGAUGGUAAUGCCAAUCAGUGCCGCCGCAGACUCUCCGUUCAUGAUGAUUAGCAAUUGAUCUGAGAUCAAAAGGAAAUGACGAGCUGUAAAUGGUGAAAGCUCUGGAGCAAGUAUAAUAGGCCCCUGUGGUCCUUGAUUUUCAACAGGUGAGUGGCAGUAGCAAUAGUUUUCAGUUGAGAUUAGGUAGGGGAGCCUUUGGACUUGAUCGGCUGGAUCGUAAUAAACUAGUCUAAAGGGGCUUUCGUUGUUAGCGAAUUUGGUGAGAUUUUAUGUCCUCCUCGAGUUUGUUGGAUGGGGCGCCUGCGUGACGCCCUGCUGCUGUCAGCCCAUCGUAACUGUAAUUUUUUUUUUUUUGAAACGAUCGUAACUGUAAAUUUGGUGUCACCGCCGCUCCUUUGCUUCAGACAAGUGGCUGGCUGCCUGCACAUCACCAUUCAUCAUGCAGCUCAGCUGAAAGCUAAGUGUCCCUACUUUUGCUCGGAAGGAACAUACUUUUCUGUUCUCUUAAUGUAAAGGCCAUUUUUUUUUUGUUGCAGAUUGAAAAGGAGAGGUUUAUCUGGGCCACGAAUAUUAUUUGUUUCUUUUAAAUAUUCUUUUUUAGAGAGAAUAUAUUUGAUAUUUUUUCCUGAGAAUGACAUUCAGCUAGGAUGUACAGAUGGGCUGGAAUGAAAACCCAUUGAGCUAUUCCCCAGACGACCCCCCCCCCCCCCCCCCCCCCCCCCAACCCAGCAGAUCAACAGGCCCAGUCCAACAAAGAUCUGCUGUCAUUGAUGAUCCGUAGAGCCCAGGGGCUGUCACUGAUGUCACGUAUUGCUACGUGUGUACGGCCAAGGUAAACCUUUUGACAUUCCUCGCGAAAUUUUAUUAAAAAAACAUUCCUCGCAAAAAAAAGGGUAACCUUUUGACAUGCAACAAUUUCUUCUUGCACUCAUAGAUGUUCUCCGGAUGGUCUGCUCGACUACUUUUACGCUUCCUCUCUUGUAUGGACGUAUGAACACACAGGUCAAAGAUGAAGAAGCGUGGUGCCUGGCUGCUUGCUGAAUCGACACAGGUCGCAGUAACACGAUCACUUUCAGCAAUCAGCCACGUAACCGAGCGUGAAGAAUAGGGGGGCACGUGAAGAAUCAGCGCGACUCCCGGGCGUCCAUCUCUCUUGAGCCGCCGGCGACCGAGACAUCUGUGGCCAACCGGCUCCUCCGGGAGCGCGAUCUGAUGCCGCGCGCGAAGCGCCUUUAUGAGCUCGCGACUUGUGAUCCCGGCCGGUCAAAUGGAGCAGCAGGCUAGCAGCAAGGUGGCUGCUAGAGCACGAAGCAUUUUUGUUUACGCAGCGGCGGCUCUCUCUCCACGUCGCCACUACGUAGCAUCCUCACGAAUAGAGAGUUGCCCCAUUGUUCCUUUCACCUGCACUGCUCCACACAAGCUCCUGAUGGCUUGGAAUUGCCUGCAUUCCAAGGGUCGUAUUCUGGAUAGCUUUUCACAGGUUCAAGGACACUGCUGGCUCUUGGCCACUGCUGCAGAACAGCUAUCUCUGAAGUCUGAACAGAUUCAGUACUUGGCCACUUGAGUCAGUACUGUAGAACAGUAGAAGUUAGUGGUUAGAACUUGGUUUUCCUUGUGGUCUUUGCUUCAGAAAAUGAAAGCCCAAAAAGGGGGGCCUUCAGAUAAACAUCUGCCCUUGCACUCAAAACUCAAAAGCACCAACCUGUUGUUCACUAAAGCAAAGCGAGGUGACAGUAACGAAAAGCAAAUGCUUCAGGAAAUCGCGGGGCUUCAGAUUAACAUCUGUCCGAUGUACUCAAAGCACCAAUCUGUUGUAAACUGAAGCAAAGCGAAGCGAGCUAGUGCUACCAAAAAGCAAAGUGAGGCACGUGAGGCAAUGCGUGAAAAUGGGAAAAGCAUGAAGAAACAAAAAAGGAUUAAAAUACGAUCAACGAGUGUAUUAUUAAUGUACACACACUCGCACAUCGCCGGGCAUAUACCUUCCCUGGCUCGUAGUCGAGGUAGCCGAGAGGCUUAUUCAGGACAGCUGCUUUCCUUGGCUGUUGCACAGGCCGAUCUUUUUGGCGCCACCUCCCUUGAUUCCGGAAUGCAGAGGCAGCUGAGCAUCUCGGCGAUGCCCAAGCUGCUGCCGGAGGAAGCCGGCGGCGGCGACGAUGACGACGUGGAGGCGAAGCCCGAGAAGGCGCCGGCGCCGCGGUCGACGGAGAAGGAGCGGUCCGUGCACCUCAUACCGCUCAUCAUCGUGGUGUGCUUCCUCCUCCUCUUCCUCUGCUCCCGCGACCCCUCUCCCUCUGGUACGUGUAGCGUGUGUGCGUGUGUUUAUUUAUCCAUGCUCUUUUCGUGUGCUCAUGUUGAUCUCUUCUUACUGUCCUGUGUUUUCUUUCUGCAGAUAUGUCGAGUUUUGGAAACAAGGCCGGGAGCUAGAAUACCAAGUCGCUCUGAUCCUGUGAAGAACUGAACAAGUGACGCACCAAUAAAAAAUUUUCUUAUAUUUGCCUUUCAUUUUUUUCCCUUCAGCCCAAGUCCAAUUGUGUAUUUUGAUCUCGAAUACGAAGCAUAAACAGCCCUAAGGCUACUCAAGUCCAAUUGUGUAUUUUAAUCUCGAAUACGAAGCAUAAACAGAGGGCUAUUCACUGCCGUAGAGAACGUUGAAGCACAUUAUACAACCGUCGAAAAAGUUCAGAACUCUGAUCGUCUGACAAUGUUGGUUUGUGUUUGCCCUUGCUUAUGACAUGGGCUGAACUUUCUGAAUCCUUUGCCCCCUUCUUCAGCGAGAACUGUAAGGAGUAAGAACAGUUGGAAAAAACAGGAAGAACUGAUCAAUAAUCGAGUGAUCACAUAUGCGAUCUUUCAGACAUACUACCCAUCAGUGGAUGAAGAGCAUGUAAUCGCCCUGACCUUUGCAAAGCUUCGGUUUCUGAUCCUUUAUGUGGCACGGUGGCCCAACAACUUCCUUAAUACUAAUAUUUUCAGUCAUUAUCCCUGUUUCUACCUAUGCAGGACCAUAUCCUUAGUUGCUCCUGGAAUUAUAGAGAUUACCCACUAGCCGUGAAAUCCUUGCACCGGUCUGAAAAACUAAAGCAUCAGCAGAAUUACAGAACCCAGUCAGGUUUUUAGAAAACUGCUAAUGAUGAAGAGCAUUCGCAUACAGCCUCCGUGAAAGCACCACAUUCUCAUGAUUAGCAAGUACAUUCUCUCAAACAGAAAACAAGUGUAUCAGAAAACAGAAUCAUGCAUAACAACACAACCACUAUGUUUCAUGUUCCCACUGCAGGAUGAUAAUGAUAUAUUGAUAAAAGUGUCGAGUAACAAAUUGCAAACUCUUUUAGGUCCCAAUAACUUUCAACCUUCAAAGAGGUUUCAACCACAACACUAGAAAUGAGUUCAAUAACCAUAUCAUGUCUAUUUACACACAUGUAUGGGGCCCCGAAUCAUAUCAUAGUAUCAAUCCCUGAGCAGGUUCAGGCUUUUUAGGAGCAUCAGCGGGUGGAGACGCCUUGCUGGGCUCCUCAUCGAUAACAGCAGGGACAGUCGCCACAGUGGAGAUGGGGAUAUCGUCAGGGGUUUCAGACACAUGUAUCUUUGCAAAUUCACCGUCCACUUCCCUGUGUGUUGCUGGGCCUUCUGGGAUGUCUGGUUGUGCUGCAGACCCACCCUCAACAAUCUUGUGCUCCUGCUCAGCUGCUAUUUUCUCCUUAGCCUUUGCACCAACAUCGUUGGCUGCACUGGUCACCUUGCUGAAGGCACCAGUUACCCAUGCUGCCCCGGUGAGGACAUAUCUGUUCUUCAUGAUGGCGGAUCCAGCAGUCGAGACGCUCUGUUCAGCAGCUGCCAGUGCUGACUUUGUCUUCUCAGAGACUUGGUACUUCUGAUCCAUUUCCUUCACUUUAUCAUUGACAGCUGAAGUACCAACACUGAUCUUCUCACUUAGACCGAUUCUCUUGUCGAAGGAAGAUACUCUAGCAGUAGCAGUUGAUGUGAGCUGAUGCUUCUCAUCCAGAGCUUUUGCUUUGUCCAGUGCAUCCCUACCAAGGAUAAAUCCUUUCGCCAGCAUGGUCCCAACAAUGUCCUCGGCCUUUUGGAGGGCAGAAGGUUUUGUGUCUUUGGGCUGGGGGGUGAAAAGCAAUGUUAUGAACCUGCACAGCAACUAUAUCAUGCAUGUGCAGUAAAUAGUAUGGCUCCAGUUAUACCUCUAGAUCAGCUAAAACAUAAGCUGGUAGCUCAUAAUCAGUGGCAGGCGUGACAAUGACAGCCAUAUCAACUAUCGUGGCCCCCUGCAACAGCAAUAAAAGUUCACAUUAGAAUAUGCUAGAAUUUAAGUGGUAUAUAUUUGUAAACUAUUUUUUUUCAUUGCCAUCCCAAGACAUCUUGGUUUUCAAGCUAGAGCUAGAGGUCACGGUAGAAACAAUGUUGUAAAGUCAGUUGGAACUGGAUUAUAUAAAAGGCAAAAUUCAAUGAGCAAACAAAGAUCACUUUAAACAAUCAUUGAAAGAGCAAGUACAAAUAUUUUUUGAUUGGGGCUUCAGAAUAUAAUUGCAACAAAUUACAGUACAGAACCACAUUGAUAAUAUUCAGAUGACUAACCUAUUAAAAUAAGAUCACAAAUGCAUACCAUAUUUCAUGAUAAUGUGACCAGUGAAUCAUUAAUUCAUCUAAAAGACACAUUUUUUUCAGAUCCUUGAGACAAAAGAAAUACCGUGAGAAGCAUUGCCGUCUCAGCUCCUUGAUUGUCUUUAAAAGUAAUGUAGGCAACUUGAGACAGCUCAUCGCCACUGCAUAGCACUAAAUGGUUAGUGCAACUCAUAGCACAGCGUGAAAAUAAGCAUCAUGGACAUGGUACUAACCUUUGCAUUUCAACAUGCACAAUGUCACCAGAAAAAGAAAAGAAUUCCUUUAUAUCACGCUGUGCUGCUUUCAGGGACACAUUGCUAACCUUGACAGUACUAAACAUGCUUGCCUAAAAAUAGUAAAUGGCAGAACAGGAACAUCUAGUCAGUGGACAGUGGUAUUGUGUAUGUAAUAUCUCCAUAACAAACAAAUGAAUAUUAUACCAAGCAAACACUUCUUUAGUAUUUAGAACGAGGAAAGAAAAUAAAAUGGCGAAAUCAGUUAGACAUUAGCACAGAUACAAGUUUUUGCGGCACGGCAUGCUUGAGGGCAGCGGCAGAUCUCGAGCUCGCAAGCCUGAGUGGGUUGGGCGGUGGCCCCAAGGCCAAAGGGAAAGGAGGACAGGACGUUUGACCGAUAAGAGGGACCCACCAUGACGGAGGCUAACAGAUGCAGUCAUCCUAUUUACAUAGGGAUGGAACCAUUCCAUCCUAUCUCGCUCUCCAACCAAGCGCACCCUUAACACAUCAUGGCAUGCAGACAUAAGUGUGAAUUUCUUCAAAUAUAUAUAGAGGGUCGACAUGCAAGAUGUAACAUUGUUUGAUGUAUACAAAAAUCUUCAUAGCAAAUUAUUUCCUUUCUGUUGGCUACAACUGACACAUGGUGUAGUUAAGGCAAACUUCUCAAGAAUACUUAUGAGCAUAUAGGCAUCAUUAAUUGAGGCCCUGUCAUAGUCUUUUUAGAUAAUUUUAAACAUUUUUUUGGUAGCUUGUCUAUAUAGAAUGGCUAAAAAUAGUCAGAUGCACAUUAUCAAUCAUGCCCACUCCUCUGAUUUGGAUGCUGAUAUAGGUAUUUAUUUCCAUAGCUAAAAUAAGAAUUUUGCUUCAUUAAAAGCUUUAUGUUUAAACCGAUUUAAAAUCUAAAGAAAAAGACAAGUUUCAAAUUAAAUGCAGAUAGAUUCAUACACGUUUCUCAUGUGUGUGGGUUGGGGGAGCCAAUAUCCAUAUUCUAUCAUUGAUUCUCCUUUUCGUCACAUGCAUUAAAAUUUACCUAGUAGUAUUGCCUAGCGACGAAACACGGUCUUUUGCCAACUUUGCUAAGGCUAAACCCAUUUUAGGAUAUACAGUGACAGUCCAUACAGAGGUGAAACAAGCUUGCUAUUCACCACAGGGAGUUACCUUUGCUGCAUUCUUGAGACACCCCUUAAAAUGUAAUGAAAACUACAUGCCCCCCCCCCAAAAAAAAAUAAAUAAAUCCUAGAGCAUAAGCAAGCAGACAAACAGAGAAAUAGGCCCAAGAUAUUGACUAAACAUAUGAUAGAAGCAUAACCAAACAUCUGGAGACAGUGAUAUGAAUCAAAUCAUCAGGAGCGCUAUCCAUAACUCUCAAACACCUCAUUUUAGUUUCCAGGACCUGGGCACCCUGAUAACAGUCUAGUCUAGCAUUAUCGGACAGCAGAUUAGCUGCCGUAGUCAUUGCAGAUUCAUCUGUGAGGUACAAUGUCGACUGAAAUGGGACGAGAUUUGACUAUUACCAACACCAUCCCACCAUUCAAUUCUAUCAAGUUCCACAAAUGCUCUAGUCUUCCCCCCCUUUCCAUUCUGCUAACAGUUUCCCCUUUUCUUUGCUAGGGCCGCUUGCGCAGAUGCGGCUAGCACUAGAGCACAAUCCACACAAAUCAAAAGCCCGCCCAAACCGCAAACACCUAUGCCCCGGAAACGAAUUAAAACCGGCGACUCGGUGCCCCCGGAUCGGAAAUGGCACAGCGCACACACAGAGACUCGCAAAAGAGAUCGCUAAUCAAUAAGUAGUACUCCGUAGCAAGGAAGGAAAGAGAAGACCCAGUGCUCACCGCCAUGCCUGCUGCGAUGCUGGAGAUCUCGAACCCUAAACCGCUGACUUGAAUCGGGAAACGGGAAAUGGAACGGCCGUGUCCAGUGGGCGGGGUUUAUAGAGGUAGCGGAGACAGAGGCGGAGCACGCGGCGCGGCGGGGCCAUCGAGACGACGUGGCGACGUGGGGGGCACGCCCUAAAUGAUGGGCCCCACCACCUUUCGGCUUUUACUUUGGGUCCGGUCCAAGGUCCAUGGGAGCUCUUGCGAUCUGGCCGGCAGGUGGGCCAUGGGACUUAAUGGGCCGAAAGUUGCGUGGUCUGAUGAGGUUCACGAGGCCCAGCAAAGGUCGUAACGCCGAUACCAUAUGCUUAUUUCUUUCGUUUUCUUUUGACUGAAUAAUACCACACGGGCCGGUGAGAUGAGAUAGCAGAAAUCUGGGGCAAAUAAAACAUGAGGCAGGUUUACCAUGGAGGAACAAGCAACAAAACGUGCGCGGAACGUGCACUUAGCAUCUCAAAUCAGAAUCCUGACGGCGCAAAGGCCUUGCCGUAUCUCCAGCAGAUAUGGACGUCAAUUUUUGGCAACGGGGCACGCUUUCGAGCGGCCCUACCAAAGUUCGAUCCAAAUGUUUCGCGUUUCGCCACAUGAUUUUUUUUUUUUUUUUUGCUACUCGUAGCCAUGGUGUUUUUUUUGGUUGGCUACUCGUAGUCAGGGACGAGUAGGAGGCCCUUUUCGGCUAAGCCUCGAGUUGAAGAGCUAAACAAACAUAAAUGUGAAGUUCAACAAAGGUAUUUAACACAUUAUUAUCAUAGUACCAUAGGUCGCUUGCAAGCAUAAAGGUUGGUUAAUAGGAGAUGCGCUAAUUCUUCCAGUGAAGCAGUGACUACUAGUAACUGAGAUGUUUCAGAUUCUUCUUCUUCUUGGGAGGCAGAAGCACGGAGCUGAGAGCAUCGCGAUUCAUCAGGGCAGCUCUCUGCAGCUCCAUAACCUGCAAAAGUAAACAACGUGCUAGUCAAUUCAAAGAGGCAAGCAAAACAUCGGCAGCUAUAGCAACGCGCGUGCUGAGUUGCGUAGAUAUCCCGCUUAGCUACCUGGAACUUUGUCAGAGUGACUUCUUUCUCCACAAGCUCCUUCAUCUGCAUCUUGGCCUCAUUGGCUACCCGCAGACUGCUAUCCAAAGAGAGGGGGCCAACACGGAGAUCAUCAGUCACAAUGAAGUUGUGAGCCGCCUGACCGACAUAUGCUUCAGAGUUGCCACUUUUCGCACCAGGCGACUUUUGGAUCCAACUCGCAAAGCUCAGCAGUCUUCGUACUGUUUUCACAAUUGAUGUAUUCAUGUCUGUGAUAACCAUGAGUGGCGCUAUAACGAUAGGCUUGUUCGUGACAACGGCCAAGAUUAGAAAAACCACCAAUCUUGAAGCAGCUGAAACAAGAAUUGAUCUUUAUCUUUUUGGGAGCCGAUUCAGCAACCAGUAGGAUCUGGCUACCGCCGGAACCAAAGAAGGGUGGCACCUCUGGGUCUAGUAGCAGCCUCUGGUAGUCUGGUCCCAUGCAUCCUUCAGCACUACCACUUAUGGUCCUGUAAAGAUUAUCAAUGCAUCCAUUUGGUAACCUCUGACCGAAUGUCUUUGUAGUACAGUACAGUGGAAUUAACUUUAGUCUGACGAACCUUUAUUUUCACGUUGCCUAUCUUGUCCUCGGCCUCGCUCACUUGUUCAGGACACAGGUUCCUAGGGAGCAUACCAAGGCUGCCAUCAUCGAGUGGUAUAGGAACGUCGAAAUGGAGCCCGGUUAAAGGUUGCUUGGAUGUCAAUGAUCUCUUGAGCAAACUAGAUAUCUGUAAGAAACGCAUUGAAGGUUAAUCAGUCGCGCGCCAGCAUGUCAGUUAAAUCUGUAAGCAAGUGCGUUGCCUUUUCUUUUGGAACCCAAGUGUACUGCAAUUUUGAAAGUUUAAUGGUUUGAUGUUCGAACAACAAAAUAAUCUAGUUCGAUAGACAAACCUUUUCUGAAGUGAGCUGGAGCAUACUCUGCUCAAGAUCGGCUGGAUCCUGUACUCCAAAUUUCUGACAAAGGGACAGCAUCAGAGAUGUGGAGGCUGGUGCUACCUGAAGAUCAUCAGUGAUGAUAAACUUCUGGCGUCCUCUAACAAAAAUUCCAAUCUCAGAACUAGCAGCCGCAGUCUUGCCAUCGUCCUCCGGCCUAUCCCCAGCGUACUCCAUGACUUUGCCGGAUUUGCAGAGGGUGUCAGGGACCGAGCUAAACGCGCGAUCGCCAUGAGCGCAACAGCCCGUGUCUUUGCAGACAUAGACAGCCAUCGGUGUCAUCGAUGUUGAUCUUGAGUCGACAGCAAUGGCUGGAAGCAGCGUUGAGCGGUUUCAGAAGCAUCACCUUGCAGGCCUUGGUUUUGAAGUACUCCGAGUUCAGAUCCUCGACACUCUUGUACAACUCGUCAAGGCACCCCAUCUGAGACUGCUUGCCCAGAAGGCGAACGAUGGUGCCGAGAGGCAUGGUGAGGAAGCCGAAGAGGACGUCGACGUACUCCUUGUCGGACUCUGCAAAUAGCACCUUCUUCUUCUCCUUGUCAACAAACAGCUUCACGUCGAUGGUGGACGCUUAAUUCUUAGCCAUGGUAGAUGCAAUGGGUGAGUGUUUGCUGGAUGAACUGGUAUGAUUUCUUAGUGCUACCUGUACUCGUGAUCCUUAAAUACGUCCUGAUACAGACUGCGGUGAGUAGCCCUGGCUACGGAAUUUGAUCAGCCAGGGUAAUAUGAAACGGCACAUUGUUCCUUGGGAAUUCGCACCAAGAGCCCGGCAUUGAAGGGCUAAUUAUGCCCGGAACAUCUCGUUUUCCGCAGGAAGUUUAAGGGCUCUUUUCUACCAUGAGUUCAUCGUGAAUUACUUUUACUCUUUUUUACUUACAGCGAACGGCGUUCUUGCCAUUGUUUAUGGGGUGACGGGACGUGGAAGUUUAAUUUUUUAAAAAAGUUUCCUUACGUUUAUCCAUACGAUCAUACCACACGGUAACACUAGUAAAGUAAAAAAUGAUAUGAAAUAUGAAAGAUCGUCCUACUAUCUUGUCUAAAAUUUUCCUAAACGAACAAUCUUUGUGGAUGGAAGGAUUAAUUAGGUCAGUCUCAGUGCACGGUUUUACUUGUACAGUAAUUGUGCCUGUUGGUGUCAUGGGGAUGAAACUCCUCUUUCAUAAAAUGAAAUUCUCUUCUCAUAAUUACCUUACCAAAUCAACAAAAUUGAUAAUGUGACAUAAAAUUUUAAUGUUACGAAACUCCUAUGAAACCUCCUGUUGAGACUGGCCUUAAGGGAACAUUGUUACUUCUCACAACUAUUGUGUCUAAAAUUUCCCAAACGAAGACUUAUUUAGGGACGAAGGGAGUAACAAUGUUACAACCACUUCUCUUUUUUGAAAUCCUUUAAUUAUGCGUAUAGAGUGAAAAUAUUGUAAUAACUACUACUUUUGAUGUUCUCGACAGAUAAACAUUAUAAGUAGUUUUUUUAUAAUUAAAGGGAAGCUAAGAGAGGCCAACUGAACAUGUUCAUUCCACGAAAAGCUUUUACAUGAUUAGGCAAAUCAGCCACCAAAGGGAAUUAGUGAUCAAGGUACAUAUUAGAGGUGGAUAGAGAGCCAUACAUUAAGGAUUAUAAUCUCAGCACAACCACAACCAACACAAAAUGGUAAAAAAUAAGAAACAAAAGGAAAGAAACCGAGAUAAAUCGUUGCCUCUCCUAAACUACAAAUCGUCGGUAGGCACGAUCACAAUGGAAACCCCACGCGCGAAGCUAUCCACUCCACAAACCACGGGGGAGUCAUCACCACGCAAAGUGGUGGGGAAAAAGUCAAUUUUACUCCCCUCACCUAUCCACUUUAUCCACUUAACCUCCCGAACAGUCACUCUACUCCCCUGAACUAUUUCAUUUGAUCCAAUCUACCCCUAAUUAGAUUUCUUUUUUUCUCCGUGUAUGACUUGAAUUUUCAGUUCAAAUUUUGUGAGCAAAUACAAAAUAUGACGCCUUAUGUUAAAAAAUUAUACUACAAUUUUUCAUAGUUAUUUUCAUAGGUUAGAAAUAUUUAAUACAAAAUUGAUCAAAAUUGUAUCAAUGUUUUAAAUAGUGGCUAUAAAUUAUAAGUAUCUAGCAGGAGCCUUCCGUAUAUAUCCACAAGAAUCCGUUAUUUCUGUUGCAACGCCACAGCAGUAGCUCUCCAGAUUCCACUGUAGAGCUACUAUGGUACACUAUUUAAAACACCGAUUUGUGUCUGAGAGAGUUGACCUAUAUUUUAAGCACGGUUUUCUACUUUUUGAUAUUGAGACUAAUAAGUUUUAGUAUCUUUACAAAUCCCCUUGCAUUUGGACACGAAGAGAGAGCAUGUAUAAAUGCUAAAGUGCUGUCAUAAAAUGUACCAAUAAACCCACGUUAAGCGCAUCAAUCAUGGGUCAGAACUUCAGAUCAACAAGGGGACACUAUUUAUAUAGUAUUGGUUAUAUAUGCAAUCAUAAAUUGGGGAAACAUUAAACUAAGCAUAAUCUUGAGGGCAAUGCAGUGACUGAUUUUCUGCUAUGAACAUUAAAUAGAAAUUGCGAGUCAAAUUAGAAUUUUGGAGACGGUGUCUGAGUCAAACCGCCACGUGAUGGCAUCAAUCAUCAGUUCAGGCAACUUCAGUUCAACAAGGGGACACUGUUUAUACUAUAAUAUUGGUUACAUGUCCAAUCGUAAAAUGGGGAACUUUUGAACUAGGCAUAUAGGCCGGAAAGUGUGGUGAUCUAGGCAUCUAGCUUCCUCUUCUUGGGAGGCAGAAGCACAGAGCUGAGACCGUUGCGACUCACCAGUGCAGCUCUCAGUAGCUUCAUGAUCUGUACAAACAUUAGGAACACUCGGAUCAAGUCAACUAGUCAAGCAGGCAGUAUACAAAAUAUAAGUUAAGGAUUUUAACAAACUCCCGAACACAAAUACGUCUAGAUUUUUUUUUUGGAAGAAAAAUACCUGGAGUAUUGUGAGAGUGACUUCUUUCUACAGGAGUUUUCCUGGCCGAAUCUUCGCUGCACGAACAGCCUGUAGAGUGCUUGACAUUGAAAGAGGAAGAAUAUGCAGGCCAUCAGUCACCAUGAAUUUAACAGAUCCUCCCUUCACGUAUGCUUCACUGUCUUCACUUCCUCCGUUUGGCGAUUUUGGAUUCGACUCAUGAAGGUUAGUGGAUUUUACACUGUUCUUGCAAUAGGUACACUCAUAGUACCGGAUCCUGCCAAAGUUACAACUGUAAACAGGAGUUUCCUUCAAACAUCGGCCAAUGUCAGCAAAACCACCGGCCUUGAAGCACUUAAUGCAGGCUUUGAUUUGUAGCUUUCUUGGAGCUAAUUCUUCAACUUGUAGGAUCUUGGUGGUUCUGCAACCAGAGAAGGGCUCUGCUUUUGGGUCUAUUAACAAGCUCUGGCACUCUGGUCUUACACAUCCUUUAGCACUUCCAUCUAUGCUCUUAUAGAGAUUAUCAAUACAUCCUUUAAAUGAGCCCUGAUGACAAUAUGUUUUCAUGAUAGAUCCUAACGGGAUGCUUAACGAGCCAAAUAGAAGAUCGACGAAAUCGUCAGAAACUUCAGCAUACAACACGGAGUUGUUUCUUGUCUGAAGAACUCUUAUCUUCACGCUGUUUAGCUUUUGGUCUAUAUCAUUAUGUUGGUCAGCAUACAAUUUCUCAGAGAGCACAAACAGGUCUACAUCAUCAUAAUCGAUAGGAAUAUCAAAAUAAAUCCCAGUUAAAGACUGCUUGGUCGUCAAUGAUCUCCCAAGCAGGCUAGUUAUCUGUAACAAGUGGAUGGACUUAUCAAAAAAAAGUUUUAAGCUAAAUGCAUCUUGAAUUCGAGAGUAGUUCGCUCUGGGAAAAACAAAAUACAUAGCUAUGAGGAGGCAAACCUUUUGUGAAUUGAGUUGGACAACCGUUUUCUCCAGAGUUGCUGGAUCACGUACUCCAAAUCUUUGAAAGAGAGACAUCAUGAGAGACGUCGAAUUAAGCUGGCGCAACUAUGAGAUCAUCAGUGAUGAUAAACUUGAAGCAGCCGUUCACAAAAAACCCCAGAAUCAGCGUCUCCUCCAGCAGGUGCAAGGUUCCCAUGAUUCUCCGGCCUAUCCCCAGCGUACUGCAUGUCUUUGCCACAUUUGCAGACUGCGUCAGGAACCGAGCUAAACCUGCAAUCACCACCAGAAGCGCUGCAGCUUUUGUCUCUGCAGACUGCUUUUGUAGAGAGCUACCUGAGUUUCGUCUAGUGUGAUUUCUUUCUCAGCGAGCUUCUCCUUUGGAAUCUUUGCUGCACGCAGUAGUUGGAGAGUGUUCGAAUACGUAGACUGUUUGUUACUAUGAAGUUUCUCGAGCCUCCCUUGAUAUAUGCGCCAUUACUACUCGAUGCGUACGCGCUUGUAGUUUUCGGGUUCGUCUCGUAAAGACUUGCGCCCGAAGGGUUCUUGCAAGGACAAGUCUGUGUGCGUGCUCGAAGACAAGUCAGCACUUGACCUUCAAAUGUCUUGUAUCUAAUUCUUUGACAUGCAGUGCAUUGAUACUGCAACCAAAGUGGGGCGCCAACUUUGGGGCUAUCAGUAACUCUUUGCACUCACUUUUAAUGUGCCCUAUCCCCGCUAUAUUCCUGUAAAGAUUGUCAAUACAUCCAUUUGGGGACCACUGCCCAUAAGCCUUGAUUAUGGAUCCAGGUGGAAUGCUAAGGAGGCCAAAGAUAAGAUCAACAAAAUCUUGCCCAGCCUCCGCAUACAGCACUGAUGCGUCGUCCUUUGUCUGAAUGGGUUUAAUCUUGAUGGGGUCGAACUUGUGUUCAGGGUGUUUCGGUUGUUGAAUGAAGUUCUCGGGGAGCUGAUCUAGAUUUACAGCAUCCGGUGUAACCGCAGCAUCAAAAAAUAGUCCGGUUAAAGCUUGCUGGGAUAUUAGUGCUCUCUUAAGCAAGAGAAUAGUGGGUUCUGCGUGUAGCCCGAACUUGUCCAGCAGGGAAAACACGAUACUUGCAGAAGCAGGAGACACAUGGAGAUCGUCAGUGAUGAUUAACUUGAUACCACUUAUGACAAACCCGCCAUCCCCACUGUAUGCAACAGAAGUAUGAACGAUUUGUGGAUGUUCCGCAAAUGUUUGCCCUGUGCCGCAGUUCAUGCAAACCGCAUCAGGGACUGAGCUAUACGAAAAACCUGGGCAACGCCGAUUUGAGCAAAUGCCGACCUUUCUAGGAUUGGUGUCAUCAAUCCUGAUUUUGAGUUGACCGCACUGACUUGCGGCAGCAUUGAGGGGGCUAAGAAGCAUGGCCUUGCAGGCCUUGGUCUGGAAGUGAUCUAUGCUGAGACUCUCCACGCUCUUGUACACCUCAUCGAGGCAACCUGCUCCAGAUUGCUUGCCGAGAAGGCGCACGAUGGUGCCAAGAGGCAGGGUGAGGAAACUGAAGAGGACGUCCACAAAGUCAUUGUCGGAUUCUGCCAACAACACCCUCUGCUUCUCCUUGUCGAGGAACAGCUUCACAGCAACCGUUGCUCCAUCGUUCGACAUGGUGUGUGUGGAUGUGUUCCAACCGGAAAGCAGGGUGCCUAUGCAGUCCUCUAAAUGCCUACGCAUGCAGCGAUUCAACUUCGGCAUUUUGCAGGUCUGAUCUCAAAGGACGCCCGACGAUUGAGAUCACGGCCGGGCAGCCGCCUAUAUUGAAUGGACGAUUCACAUCUCACAGUAGUAUCACACUGCAUGCAAGCCGCUUCGUUUUCCAACAGGAGAGGAUGGUGUUCACUGUUCAGCCAGCCUCGUUGCAUUGUUUCUCACUCAAAAGUCGAAACUGCAUGCCACGAAUGGACGGCGCGUAUCCUCUUCCGGUUCUAGUUAAUUUCUGCCAUGCCUUCAUUUCUCGCAGAAAUUGAAGUGCGGUGUUUGGAAGAGGGGUGCUAAACUUUAGCACCCUCACUUUAGUCCAUUUUAGUUACUUGUGCUCCCAAACAGGUGAGCUAAAACUGGUGGACUAAAUUUUAGCCCCUCACUAAUCCUUUAGGGGGUGUUUGGGAGAGGGGUGCUAAAAUUUAGCACCCCCAUUUUAGUCAGUUUCAGUCUCCAUAGCUUCGAAACAGAAGUGCUAAACCACUGGUGCUAAAAUUUAGCCCACUCAUAAUCCUUUAGCCACUUAAGGGUAGCUAAGGCCCUGUUUGGGAGGAGAGGGUUAAAAUUUAGCCCUGGACUAAAAUUUAGUCCCCUUAAAUGGAGCGCUAAACUUUAACCUUUUAGGGUGUUUGGAUAAGAAGCUAAACUUUAGCACUUUGAUUACCAAAAGACUUUUUUACCUCUCAUCAAUCCACAACCAUGAUGUGUACAAAAAUGUAUCGGAUGAUUAUUCCUCUCGGCCGAUCCGAGCAAAGCAAAGCACAUUUCUUCCCAAGCAUCCAUCGAGCGCACCUAGCAGCAGCUGACACAAUAGCAAAACAGCCAUCAGCUGCUCGUCGUGGCUCGCGCUCAGGUGGUGGUGCUUGCCAUGGUGGCCGCGGUGCUGCUCGCCGCGGCGGCCUUCGAGGCCGCCAUCAGCUGCGGCCAAGUCACCUCCGCCAUCGGCCAGUGCCUCCCUUGCGCCCGCGGCCAGAGCACCGCCCCCUCCAGUGUCAAGAACGCCAAGGGGAUCAACGGACUCAACGCCGGCAAUGCCGCCAGCAUCCCAUCCAAGUGUGGCGUCAGCAUCCCCUACUCCAUCAGCACCUCCACCGAGCGAGCGUGGAUGCGGCGAGAUGCGGCUUGGGGUCGGGGAGGAGCAGCGGGGCACCGGAGGAUGCGGCGGGGCGGCGGCGCCCGACGGAUGCGUCGACGGCGCGUCCAUCGGAGUUGGGCGGGCACCCAUCGGAGUCGAGGAUGGCCGCACUCUUGUUGGACCCGGAUUCGCCCGCGACCCCGCAUCGGAGCCGCAUGUGGGAGCUACUGUGGAACCUGGACCGCCAGCUCUCGAACCGGAGUUGAGGUGGCGAGGGCCCGCGGAUCUGGCAGCUAGGACCCACGGAUCCGGUGAGGCGGGGCCGGCUGGGCUUGAUCUGCCGACGGCGGUGGGGUCUGGCAAAGGAGGCGGGGCCGGGCGGAGCAUGCGGGGAGAGAGAGUGCAGGGAGGAGAGAGAGGGGGAGGGGUAGGGGGAAAGUGGUCUGGGGGACCACUUUUUAGUUCAUUUAGUCAGUUUUAGCUACCUUCAAGUGGCUAAAGGAUUAUGAGUGGGCUAAAUUUUAGCACCAGUGGUUUAGCACUCCUGUUUGGGAGCUAUGGAGACUAAAACUGAUAAAAAUGGGGGUGCUAAAUUUAGCACCCCUCUCCCAAACACCCCCUAAAACUAACGGGGCUCGCCACAGCCUCCGCCAGCGCCUCGACGGGGCUCGCCACUGCCUCGCCGAUCCCCUCCACCUCGCCUCGCUGGGCCUCGCCGGGAUCCUCGUCGCGCCUCCGCCUGAGAUGUGCCACGAGCAGGAAGAGGACGACGCUUUGAGAAGGAAGAGGGGGGUGAAGGAGAGAGAAAGCAGGGGUAAAUCUGUCUUUUGUUAAUACAUGUGCUAAAAUUUAGCCUCCUUUUCAAACACCCUGAAGGGCUAAAGUUUAGCAUCCGAUGGUAAAUUUUAGUACCUUCCUCCCAAACAGGGCCAGUAGUAUUUUCUUAUGCUUUUUCACGCUUCCAGUUUUCCUUCAGACAGGCCGCUAGCCCACUCAUAUGGCCUAGACCAGAAAGGUUUCUAAUAAGCCCACGAUCGCAUACUUCACGGGCCACAAGCACAUAACAAGGCAGCCCAGUAAGAUGAUGAUGGGGUUGGUCAGUCAGGGCCCAAAACAUCGAGGUCCACGCAGGGUUCCUGGGCCUCUCUCUUUCUCUACCUACCGCGGUCCGAGAAGAUUUGCUAGAAACGGCCCGGUUCGCUGUUCAGCGCUGCCACACAAGCACGCGGCGCCGGCAGAGCCGCAGAGAGGCGGGGCGCGCUCGCCGCACGACGGCACGAGACGAAACGAAAACCUUGGAGACGAGCGAGCCCGUGCGCGGAUGGUUGGUUGCCGCUGCCGCUCGCGACCCGCAGUCAGCCAUCGAGACGAGUCCGCGCGCCAGAACCCUGCGCUGCGCCACAUCUGCCUGCACUUCAAAAAUAAUAUCGCGGCCGUGCCCCCGCCCCAGUGCCACGUGGAAAGGCGUGUCCGUGCGCGCCUCUUCGGUUAGCGAGCCAACCGAGAUGGCGUCCGGAACGCGGCACGCGGAAACCGUGUACGUGCAUCGUCUACGAGUAAAGAUCUACGAGUAGCCUGUACACAACCCUAAGCACGUGCACGGAGCAGGCAGCUGCUAAAAAUGGCAUAGGUCAUUGACUGCUUUGCUUGCAUGCAUUGUGCGUUGUCAUUAGGGCUUAUGCGCUUCAGCCUCCAGCGUUUGGCAAGUAUGGACUUAAUCAGGAAGGGAAAGGAAAGGUCUCAUUGCAUGUCCAGCGCUUUGGUAGGUAUGGAUUUAAUCAUGAAUGGAAAUGGAAAAGUCUCAUUGCAUGUUCAUUUGUGGCCAUCAGUAUCCAAAAGAAUGAAGACAUCACGCAUAUGCCAUCUCUGCUAUACAGUAUGCAUGGCAGGCUUCUUGGUAGGUGUGUCGAUCGAUCAACUAACGAUGGAAUUCAGAAAUUGUUUUAACAUUUGAUUACUUCCAUAAUUAUCCCUUAUCAUGUAGACCACUUGUGGAAUUUCAAAUGAUGUAAAUUGCUCUGCAGUAGAAGUUUAAAACUUAAGAUAGGAAGUUUUUUUAAAGAUAGUUGAUGUCCAAAAUUUACAGAUUAUUGCUCAUUCCAAUUUCAAGGUUUAGCAUUAUUCUGUUUUAUUAUCAUGAGAAGACUACAUAAUUAUGUAGUAUAUCUUAGAUAUAUUAAACAACAGCAUACGCGUGGCCGUUGGCCUGUUUCAAAAAAGAUCGGAAUUCAGUUCCUUCAGGCGCGGAAUCGAUCUGUCGCCAAUUCGCCAUUGGCCAAGAUACCCCUUUGACCCAAGAUUCUCUCGUCUCCAACCACCCAACAAACCACCCGAAGCGGAUCUUCGGCGCUCCCAGCCAGCCGGGAUAUUUAUACCGCGCGCCGUCACAGGCUUGCUCUGAACCUCAACACAGAUCUGAAGAAGGUGCGGGCCGCCGGCUUGGAGGCGCCGAGCAGCGAUGGAGAUCGAGCACCAUUCCGGCGGCCGCGUGGCGGCCGUCGGCGGCGACGACGACGACGUGGAGCUGGUGGAGCAGGUCCGGCUGACGGUGCCGACGACCGACGACCCGACGCUGCCCGUGUGGACGUUCCGCAUGUGGACCAUCGGCGUCGUCUCCUGCGCGCUCCUCUCCUUCUUCAACCAGUUCUUCGCCUACCGCAGCGAGCCCAUCAUCAUCAGCCAGAUCACCGUCCAGGUCCGCCUCUUCUGUUCCCGAAUCCCGAUCGAUCUUGCCUGCCUGCCAUGUCUCGGCUCGGCUUCUGGACGUUUCUGGCAAGCAUGUGAACGCAGGUGGCGGCGCUUCCGGUCGGGCACUUCAUGGCGCGGGCGCUGCCGGACAAAAAGUUCUCGGCGUUCGGCAGGGAGUGGUCCAUGAACCCGGGGCCCUUCAACGUCAAGGAGCACGUGCUGAUCUGCGUCUUCGCCAACGCCGGCGCCGCGUUCGGCAACGGCGGCGCGUACGCGGUCGGCAUCGUCACCAUCAUCAAGGCCUUCUACCGCAGGAACAUCUCCUUCGUCGUCGGCCUGCUCCUCAUCAUCACCACUCAGGUACGUGCCGGUUUGUGUUUCGCACGAUUAAUUGUAGGUGUUGUGCAUGGAACAGGGCGCUGAUUUCCAUGUCUGUAGGUGCUGGGGUACGGAUGGGCAGGGCUGAUGAGGAGGUACGUGAUCGAGCCGGCGCAAAUGUGGUGGCCGCAGAGUCUCGUGCAGGUGUCCCUCCUCAGGUGAGAGACCACUGGUCGCUGAUGUGUCUAAGGCUAGUCCCAGUGCAAGGUUUCAUUGCACUAUUUUCAAAGAUGCCACAUCAUCCCAUGAGGUGUAUUCUCAUGAAUGAAGCAGGGAGUCCCAGUGCACAGUUUCAUUUCACGAUUUCAUAGGAUGCCCAUAACAUUUAAUUGUGAGGCAUGUGAUUGGAUAUGGUUAGAUGAAAUGAAACUCUAUAGCCCCCAAUGCAAGUUUCAAUAGGUUUCAUAGUAACAGUGUAUACACAAUUUCAUCCUGAUGAAACUCCUUCUCUCUCACUUCAUAACUACCAUGCCAUGUCAUCACAUAUGCUGAUGUGUCACCGUAUUUAAUGUGCAUGAAACCUCUAUGAAACUUCCACUGGGAUUAGCCUAAUAAUUCGACCAAAUCCUUUCGACGCAUUACUCACUGACAGUUUGAUUACGCACGCACGCGUGCAUUCAGAGCGUUGCACGAGAAGGAGCAGGGUCGGCGGAUGACGCGUGGCAAGUUCUUCCUGAUCGCGCUCGUCUGCAGCUUCACCUGGUACACCGUCCCGGGCUACAUCUUCCCGACGAUCACCGCCGUGUCGUGGGUGUGCUGGGCGUUCCCCAAGUCGGUGACCAUGCAGCAGAUCGGGUCCGGCCUCAACGGCCUAGGCGUCGGCGCCUUCACCCUCGACUGGUCCGUGGUCGCCUCCUUCCUCUCGAGCCCGCUCGUGUCGCCCUUCUUCGCCAUCGUCAACGUCUACGUCGGCUUCGUCCUCCUCGUCUACAUCAUCGUGCCCGCCUGCUACUGGGCCUUCAACCUCUACGACGCCGGCACCUUCCCCAUCUACUCCACCGACCUGUUCACCGGCGCCGGCCAGCUCUACAACAUCACCGCCAUCGUCAACGACAGGUUUGAGAUCGACAUGGGCGCCUACGAGCAGCAGGGGAAGAUCCACCUCAGCUUGUUCUUCGCCAUUUCCUACGGCCUCGGCUUCGCCUCCAUCGCCGCCACGCUGUCGCAUGUCGCCCUCUUCUACGGGAAGUACGUGCGCUCAUCGCUUCGAUCCCUGCUCGAUCGACAUGGAUGAUCGUCAUCGUCGAUCCAAUGAUGACUGUUUUGUUUGUGCAGGGAGAUAUACCAGAGGUUCCGGGAGUCCUACAGGGGCAAGCCGGACGUGCACACGAGGAUGAUGAGGAGGUACGACGACAUACCCAACUGGUGGUUCUACGUGCUGCUGGCGUUGACCAUGGCGGUGGCCAUGGUGCUCUGCACCGUGUUCAAGGAUGAGGUGCAGCUGCCAUGGUGGGGGCUCCUCUUCGCCUGUGCCAUCGCCUUCAUCUUCACGCUCCCAAUCAGUGUCAUCACCGCCACCACAAACACGGUACUACUUACCUAGCAAUUGCAACUCCAAUGGAUCGGACAUGGUUCCCAGUUCCAGAAGUCAAUUGAUGACUGUGGUUCGUGUUUGCAGACACCAGGGCUGAAUGUCAUUACAGAGUAUACCUUGGGGCUGAUCAUGCCGGGGAAGCCGAUAGCCAACGUGUGCUUCAAGGUCUACGGCUACAUGAGCAUGAACCAGUCCGUAUCCUUCCUCAAUGACUUCAAACUUGGCCACUACAUGAAGGUCCCCCCGAGAUCCAUGUUCCUAGUUCAGGUACUACGACAAGUCUUGCUAUACAUCUCUUUGAUCGUGGCCAACUGCAGUUGAUGUCUGACCAAACAUGCUAUUCGUGUUUGAAAAUCAAUCCUUCAGUUGAUCGGGACGGUUGUGGCGGGGACGGUGAACACGAUCGUGGCGUGGUGGCUGCUGACCACGGUGCCGCACAUCUGCGAGAAGGCCCUCCUCCCGGAGGGCAGCCCGUGGACGUGCCCCGGCGACCACGUCUUCUUCGACGCGUCCGUGAUCUGGGGCCUGGUCGGCCCGCGCCGCAUCUUCGGCCCUCUGGGCUACUACAACGCGCUCAACUGGUGCUUCCUGGGCGGCCUGGUCUGCCCGCUCUUCGUGUGGCUCCUGGCCAGGGCGCUGCCGAGGCACGCGUGGUGGAUCAGCCUCGUCAACCUGCCGGUGAUCCUGGGCGCCACGGCCAACAUGCCGCCGGCGUCGACGCUCAACUACACGGCGUGGUGCUUCGUGGGCACCGUGUUCAACUUCUUCGUGUUCCGGUACCGCAAGGGGUGGUGGAAGCGCUACAACUACGUGCUGUCGGCGGCCUUGGACGCCGGCGUGGCCAUCAUGGGGGUGGUCAUCUACUUCGCGCUGUCGGGGCACCCGCUCGACUGGUGGGGGUCCAGGGGCGAGCACUGCGACCUCGCCACCUGCCCCACGGCCAGGGGCGUGCAGGUGGACGGAUGCCCUAUCCUCUGAUGAUCAAACACCCAGGACAAGAAGCACCCGCCUAGAGGUGUAGAAAUUCAAACAGAUAUGUGCUGCUGUGGUGAUUGCUAGUACCAUCGUAUUUGUACAUAAAGAUUGUGAAAUGACAUUGGGUUAGGUAUGAAAAUGCUCUUUACUCUGGUCUGAUCGGUAGUGCUUGCAUUUGUCGUCCAGUUCGGCUUUUACUUGGAUGUUGGAAGUGAUUCUUAUCCCAGCAUGUGCCUGACUUAAAGUUCCAAACCUUUGUGCUUUGUGGCUGGGCUAUAUAUAUACAUAUAUAAAGAAGUCCCUCUCUCAUUUGCCAAGGCACGGUUCAGUUGCGGAAGAACUGAAAAAUACGCUAUUUGCCACACGAAAAAAAAUUACCACGAAUCUUCUUCGUAUGCAUGAGGAUGUAACAAUGUUCUUUCCACCGUCUAAACCACACGCAUGAGGAUGAGAGGCAUCAGGAUCGAGGCUCGAGCAACAUCUUCUUCAGACUCAGUUGAUUGAAGCCGCCUUGCUCGUUCCUUCCAGGGAGUCAUCGCCAUAUGAUUGCCUCCGAGUCAGCGCCAUACGUCGAGAAUUCUACCUCCUCCCUGUGCUUCCCUACGUCUAAAAUUCCCUGCGAUCCUCUUGAGAUUGUACCGGAGGCACUCAAUUACUCUUGUUAUUGUAAUGCGGCGGUCUAAGGCUAUACAGCGUUUGGUCUUGCAGCCGUGUAUACAUUUUCUUUUCAGAAAAAUGAUGACGCCACAGUGUAGAUGAAAAAUGCAUGAGCAUUUGAUUUCUUUUCAGCCGUUCAUUACUAGUUGCGCAGGGCAUCUUCAAGACUGCACGAGCACGAUUAGCAAGAUAAAAGAGGAAAUGAAAUCACUCGUACUAUAGCAACAAAAUGUCGAAAUGUGCACAACGGUUUCAAGAAAGCAGAGUUAGGUUGCAGAGUUCUUUAGCACAUGGGCGGUUGAGCUUGGUCAGUAUCGUAUACACAUCCUCAAACUGAAAACACACCCGCUUGGCCAAGUGCACGUCGUCAGAGCUCACGGUAAUAAUAAGCUCACCUACUCCUACUCCGCUGCCUAGAGUGAACUAUCACUACGCGACUCCCAUCCGCUUCAUUAUAAAAGCAGAACGAAGGCAACUAGUAGAAGCAGAAGAGAACAACAAGAUCCAAGAAAGACGAUAUAUAUAUAAAAAAAAAGGUGAGAAACUUAAGACAGAAAUGCAAAUGCCCCCAACCAUCCUCUCCUACUGCCCUCAUGGUUAUCAUAUGGUAGAGAUAUAGACUUCGAAUCGAAGCCUGAUGUUUCUUUUCUUUGUACACGCACCGCUCCAUCUUUUGAACCAGUAACUGAGGAUGAGAGGCGUCAGGACUCAUCCUCGACCAGCUCCCUGUCAUGCUCAAUUGAUGGAUGCCGCCCUGCUUGGUUCUUCAGAGAGUCCACGCGCCUCACGAGCUUACGGCGCGGUUGAAGGUACCCGAUGAUUUUGGAACUUCAAGAACUCACGUCCAUCAUCGCACGGCCUUCACGUCCAUCAUCGCACGGCCUUCCACCUGAGAGCAGAUCAGGUGGCUACGCAGCGUUGGUCUCAUCGAGUAGCUUUUGGGCGUUCGAACCCAAAACAAGGAGAGCUGUUGAAAAGAACACCAACGAAGAAUCGUGUUGCGAGUUACCAUAGUAUUGUUUUUUUUAAACAUUGGCAGGAGCACUGCUUAUUCAUUUAAUAAGAGGAAUAAAAAUUUUAAGUGUAGCAUUACAUGGAUAUUACACGAAAACUAGUUACUCUCUUACACAUAACGUAACAAAGACUUUCUGAAAACAUUACGAAAUAAUAGGAUCUUCACGGAGGAGCGGUGUGCCACAUGCCAUUCUUCUAAGUAGAAUCUCAUUCUGAAUGAGAUGAACAAGUUGAUCAGCCCUCAGCGAUUAGUUGUCGAAAAUUCAUCGAUUCCUUUCUUUCCAAAUAUUCCAAGUGGUGUACAUUAUUACUGCUGCAACCGUCGAUGCUUUCUUUUUAGUGGCUUCAAAGUUAAGUCUCACCACUCCUGUAUGUCCCCAUCAUAAGGUGAAAUGAAGUCAGGAGGCCAUCCACCAGUUGGACACUAGAAACCAAAUUUGCUUGGCAUAAGAGCAGUGCAAGCAUAUGUGAGUUGCAGUUUCCAGCUCCUGAUCACAGAGGACACACGUUUCAGAACACGGCCAGCUUCUAGCUAGAAGAUUAUCAGCUGUCAGAAGUUUCGAUUGUACUAGAAGCCAAGCAAAGAAUUUCAACUUCCCUUCAGCAUAAGCUCGCCAAAUAUUAUUUCCCUGCACUGUUGUGACAGUGCCCUGCAGCUGAACCAAAUACGCCGAUUUUGCAGUGUAUUGACCUUCUGCGGUCCACCGCCACCGAAUUGAAUCUUCCUGGUCAGUAAGCGCAUUUUGCACCAAGUCCCACAAUACAACAAAUUCAGACAUUUCUUGAAGAGUGGUCAUGCGCCAAAGCCCUCUUGUCCAAUUGUGAUUAGGUAGCUCUUCUUGAACUGUUGUUUGCUUUCUCCAAGCUAACUUGUAAAGGUUGGGAGCAAAGUGCAUCGGAGCUUUUCCUGCCAGCCAGCUGCUUUGCCAAAAUUUAGCCUGUGAUCCAUUCCCAACAGUUACAACCGUGCUCACUCUAAACAAUUGCCUGUCUAUAUUGUCACAUGGAGUAGAGGUGCCAACCCAUGGCCUCUGAGGGUUGGUCCAUUCAAACCAUAACCACCUUAAUCUCAAACUUUGCUAAAUAGCUCAAGGUUUAAAAUUCCCAGACCACCUAAGUUUUUUUGUAACAAGACCUUCUUCAAGUGACCAAGCAAUGACCCCCAUUGACAUUUUCUGAUCCCCUCCAUAGAAAACUCCUGAUUUUGUCUAUCCUCUUGAUAGCCCAUUUUUUCAGCGAGAAAACCAUGAGGAACUAAAUGGGUAUAGCUGUGAGUACAGAUCUGACCAAGGUUGCCCUUCCAAUCCUCCUCCUAGUUCGCCUGCUGAGGGCCUCCAAUGAGUUGACCAACUUCUUGUCAAAGGACGUAGACAACAGACAUCAAAAUUCCAAAUCACUAAUAAGGCAAGUGUUCUGACACAAGUUAAAAAAAAUUUACUGAUGAACUACUGAUCAUGGGCGACAUUAAACUUGAAACAAAUUUAACUUGCACUACAAUGCAAUGUUCAUGGAACAGGACAUGUUAUAUAAGCAAACAUUAUUGUUUCAACCCAUCAGUACACAUCACUAGAAUAAAACAAAGUCAUGCCACAAUCACUCUACUUGUUCAACAUGUCCCAGUUGAAUUGUAUCCAAUUCAGUCGGCCCUCUUUCGUUUUCAUCUGCGUGAACGCCGUCCGAUAAUCCGGGUUCCUAGUACAUAAAUAAAGUGCCUGGCAGUAAAGCGGAGACCCCUCCUGUAGACCAUCUUCUUCCAUAAGCUGCAUUGCACGGACCAUUUCCUCACGGUCAACACGUUUCUGGCUUCUCGUUGCCACAGUUUCAGAAAGAUCUCUGACGUAGUCCUCCAAGCUGCCACUUUUCCUUUUCGAAGGACCGUCAACAGAGAUUUCCCAGGAUGACCUUUUGAACAAGUUAUGAGCACUACUAGCCUCAGUCCCCACGCUAGGUGUCACCUCACGAAUACCUCCUGCCGUCAGCAAGGUGCCCCUGUCUUGGGUGUCACGGCCAUACAACGUGUACAAUUCAUCGAGGAACGGGGUUGGCUUAACAGAACUCGGCUGGGCAGCACCAGUACUGGUUUCAUGCGAUGACGAACAGUACAUGUCAAUAACAAAAAUAUGUUGCUACAAAUAAGAUGAGGAAUAAGUUAUGGGACUGUCAAAGGACGUACCCCUUCAUCGUCAUCCCAAAAGCUGGAAUCAGCAGCAACGCCACCAGUUUGUUUGUCACAACCUAAACUAGAUUGGGAUUGCAAGUCCUUCCAGCUCUGGAAUGCUCUCCGCAGGGCGUUCAACUUGUUCUGCAGCUGCUUGCUGCCCAAAUUCAGACCAGUCUGUUGUUUGAAGCUGCGGUACACGUGCUGCCAUCCCAACUUAGUGAGGCACAUGUUGCUCCAAUUGAAUUGGUUCUUCUCAACAAUGCACAAAUCCAGCAAUAUUUUCGUCGUGGCCUCGUCCCAGUUGGCGCGGUUACAAGCCAUCUGAAUACAUAGCAGCUGCAAUUAUAUUGCACCGAAGUACGGAUAACCAGGAGGCAUACAAGUACACAAUUUCAGCAGUAAUGGAUAUGUUACUUGCCUUAGCAGAUGUCUUGGCACAUUUGUGGUGGAAAUUGUACGGACAGACCGGUGGGGGAGAGCACGACGAAGUGGAUGACAAUGCUAGUGUGGGCACCGUUGCUAGUUCGUAGCGGUUGGGCUGCUACUAGGCUUGUAGCAGAUGCCUGGAAAGGUGACAAACAAAAACAGGCACAUCACUUUAGUUGACUGUGUUGUAGAAAAGUUUGCACAUUUAAGCUGAAGAGCAUGCUGGAAGCACAAUGCACACAAGUGAUAACAUCAUGACCAUGGACAGAACCAGGUAAACAGAGAUUAGAUGCUCAUGGUUUGUAGUAUGAGCAAACAUGUCAUGUAUGUCUGUUUGUCAUGGUAACCCAGUUAUGAGGUCAUACAUGUAUGGCAAAUUUUUAGUAGUUCAACAUCACAGUACAAAAAUGGAGCAUGUGUAUCUAAGUAGCAACAGGAAGCUAAAAAUUUGCAAUGCUAAUGCAUAGAACACCCAAGCAUUACAACACAAUGUUCAUAAUCACAGGCAAUGCAGAAGUAAAGCAUGUUCAGGAAGCCACACAAGAGUAAGGGCUCUACAUUAAGGAAUGCAGGAGUUACCAGAAGUGAAUCUGUUGGCCCAACCAACUGAAUGUCAAGAAUUUGUUGGCCCAACCAACUGAAUGUCAAGCAUGAACAUGCAAAAACAGUGGACAAUGAACUGAGGUUCAGGAGAUGCAACCCUUUUGCUACCAACAAUUGCGAGGUUCAGUAGAUGCAACCCUUUCGCUACCAACAAUUGCGCUUGAUCAACAACGUGAGGCGGGUAAAUACUUUGCGGCUACAGGAGGCAUACCUGGGUGACCACCUGCACCUCUAGUUUGUACGGUGCCAAGGGGAGGGGGGCACGGUGAAGGACGCGGCGGCGGAGAGCCCGGAUCCCGACUGCCGUGCUAGCCGGCGACCUUGCUCCCUGGCGGCGGCGUUCAACCCCAGUGCGGCGUGUGGCGGAAGGCCAACUGCUAUCGACUGGAGCUUUCCGCUUCACUUCUGUACCCUCCGCCACCGCGCCACCGACGUCCUCCUCGCCUUCAUGGAAAUCCACCUCGAGCUCGAUGCCUCGAUUCCGAUGUCCCCGCGCUCGAUUCGACGUCCGCGGGCGAGCGCCACCACCUCAGCCCCGGUGCGGGAGUGCUCCGCCGCACGAGCGAGGCGCUCCGCUGGCCUAGCCCCGACGUGCACGAGCUUUGCCAGCCCAGAGGAGGGGAGAAGAGGAUGGCGGGGGAGUGGAGCAGAGGAUGGUGGGAGUAGAGAGGGUCGCGGGGUGAGUAGAGCAGAGGAGCUCACCAUCCAUCGCCACGGGAGAGGAGCUCAUGGGACCUGCGGAUUGUCGAUUCGCGUGGAGGAGAUGACGCUGGCAUUGAUUCGGGGCAAGGGCGGGACUGGAUGGGGGCGGGCGAGCUCCGCCGCACGAGCGAGGCUCCUCCAGCCCAGCCCCUGGGUGAGAGAUCGGCGGCAGGAGUGGAGGACACUAGAGCGGCGACGCAGGGAUGGGAGAAGAAGAGGGGAGGGAGGAGAGGGCGGCCAAGGGGGAAUGGAGCAGAGGGCGGGGGACCAGCGCGGAGCGGUGGCGCAGGGACGGGGAAGAAGAGGGGAAGGGGAGAGGAUGCGUUGAUUUGUAGUUUGGCCUAAAAAAGGAUUUUAUUCAUAAUUUAGUCCUUGAGUGAAAUAUAAGUUACCAGUUUUAGGUCUGCUGGAGAAGCGCGCAAUUUUUUUUUUACAAAACCUUCUCCCCCAAAUUUACCAAUUUUACUGAAGAUGCUCUAACUAGCCACAUAGCGAGCAAGUACUCACAACUCAGUAAAUCAACAAAUUCUCCCUGAAAUGGGUGGUUGCUCGGUUGGUAUGGUAGACACACCAUCAAGCAUAUCGGCUCGCCCAAGUGCAUGUUGUCAGACACGUACUCCUACUCCACUGCGUCGAGUGCACUAGGCGCCUCUUAUAAGGUUCAGCCAUGAGCCAUGACAGAACCAAGGCAGCUAGAAAAGAAGCCUGACGUUCUCUUGAGAGAGGUGGGAAACUUAGAAAAGAAGCGUGGAUGCCAUCCUUUCGUUCUCUUCUCAUCUGUUGGUGUUCGAGAUCGAUCAAUAUAACCCAAAGCCUGACGUCGCAUUCCUCUACCCACGCACCAAACCCCAUCUUGAACCAGUAACUUCAAGUCUGAGGAUGGUAGGCAUCAGGAGCGAACCUCCGGCCAUGAUUCCUGCCGCCUGUGUUGGUGGAAGCCACCCUGUUCGUCCUUUCCUCAGCAUUAGUCGAGAGAUGCCUUCGGAAUGCGGCGCGGCCGCAGGAUGCAUCCUCGGUCGAUGACUUUGGAACUCGCAUGAGUUCCUGGCGCGUCGCGAAGUCCCCAAACACAGCGAAUUCAGCAGGCAACGCAGUUUGGUCUUGUCACGGCCGUGUACUACGCCUGUUCCUUCUUCUUUUUUGAGCAUUUUGUGGUUACGGUACUUGAUUCUUUUUAGCCGGUUGUUGCAUGUUGCACAGCACAGGCUACCUUCAAGACUGCACGAUCAGCAAGUAAUAUGGAAUUGAGUUGUGUUCACUUCAUCCUUCAGAGCAAUGAUGAAAUGUGGACAACAGUUUCAAGAAAGCAGAGAGUUGCAGCGUUCUUUUCUUUACUACCCUGUAACGAUAUAUCGACACGAUAAGCUUUUAAGCGUUCCCAAAAAAACAAAACAAACAGAGCUAUGACUAAUGAAGAAACUGAACAAUGAUCGCGCCAUUUCGUUUUCAUCCACUCUGUUACACGCCAUCAGGGAAGAACGCUCCCCGCCUCAGCUUUGGACCUUUAUUUGGUACUUAGUGGCAGUGAUGAGGCCGUCUCUUUGGUUUGGUUGGCAAGCACCAAGCAGGCAAGGGUUAGCGCUUCACGAGAAACCAAUGCCGCCCUCAGCAGGUUCAGUACCUGCAAAAAAUCGAUUUUCACGUCAGUAAAUUUGUGUUGUACUAGUAAACAUGAAGUUCCAGAAAAUGUUACUCUGAUCACCUCCGGUUGCGUAAAGGUGAACUCUCUUGUCGCGAGCUCUGAUACAGAGUGGUCCUUCUUCUUCAGUUCGCUCAAGGCGUUGAUUAGCGAGAAUGGAGCUACGCCAAGUUCAUUAGUCACUAAGAACUUGCCUGGGUCCUUUGUAUAGCUAUCACCGGUCUCUGUCGUAAUGGUUGGCACCUUGGGGUUCACUGCAUGUAAUUUCGUACGGCCGUGGGAACAUUCCACUUCAGAAAUGCCGAAAGAACUGCAGUUCCUUAUGCAUGAAGAGCAGCAAGCGACAGCAUCUUGAAACCGCAGCAGCUCAUCAGUCAUGAGGAAGUGGUCGCUACAACUGAAGAAGGGGGGCAACUUAGGGGAAAGGACCAUGGCACGACAUUCAUCUGAUUUAAAGUAACCACUCAUGUUUUUCUCCAUGCUUUUGUGGAGAUUAUCAAUGCAUGAGAUUGACGAACUUCCUUAAUUCCCAAAUUAGCACACAAUGCGAACCAAAUUAGCAAAAAGAGUACAUUACCUCCUCCAAUCCAAGUUCUAAUGUCUUCUCUUCAAGCAAAGUUACAUCCUCAAUUCCCAUGUCACGUAAAAGGAACAGGAGAUUGCCCGUAUCAGCAGGCACGACUUGCAGAUUAUCUGCAGUUGCAUAGCUCAUCCCGCCUCUAACAAAAGCCCCAUCAUCUUUGGCUCCCCCGUCGCUCUUCGUCCACCGCAACAAAAGUAUACUGCCCACACGGCACAUCUGGAACUGAACUAUACUGAAACGUAUCGGCGAAGCACUCACGCUGUCUGCAGACCCAAACGUUCCUGUGGUUGGUGUCGUCAAUCCUGACAACAAGAUCCUUGUACAGAUUCCCGGCAGCGCUGAGGGGCCUAAGCAGCAUGUUUUUGCACGCCUUGGUUUGGAAGUGGCUCGCGUCAAGGCUCUCCACGCUCUUGUAUAACUCAUCGAAGCAGCCUAGGGAUGACUCCUUGCCGAGAAGCUGAACAAUGGUGCCCAGUGGUAGGGUGAGGAAGCUGAGGAGCACGUCCACGAACUCCUUGCCGGACUCUGCAAACACUACCUUUUUGUUCUUCCAGUCCACUACGAACUUUGACUCGUAUCUUUCCAUUUCCAGCAGACCCAGCUCCGGCCAUAGAUUUCUUCUGUGGGAGAAUGUUGAGAGAACCUGAAGCUUAUGGGAGGGUUGAGUGAGUUGCUAGAGGCGGAUUCAGAACCAGAGUUUGUAUUGUGGAAAUCAUGGUGCCUUCAGAAUGAUCUCUUCGGAUUCAGUGUUCCACUUUAAUUGUACUAUCUCAAAUGCAGCACCGGAGCCCCAAGGGUUGCCUAGAUGUAGGUGCUGUGACAUUUGGUCUUCUGAAUCCAAGCUGCAAUCGCAGUGCUAAUCUGAAAAGCCAAGCGAACUGUGCAUAUUCAUAUGGAAAUGCAGUUAUUACUACUAUAAUUAUGUUAUUGUCACUUACAUCUGCGAAAUAGACAAUUCUUUUGCUCGUGAACGGAAGUUCCAUCAUACUAAUCCAAACUAUAAUCAGUAUUAAACUUUUGAGGAUAAUAACAUUUAAUAAUUUAUAAAUAGAUUAAAUAUAUAUAAACAAACUUUAUACAUUAGUUUAGUAGGGGCCGCGCGAACGCGUACCCCCUCUACCACAAAUUAUGACGUCCACUCUCCUGCUUGAGGAGAUGGUAAGCCCGUGCUCCUCCCAAGUGCAAUGGAGGCCACUGACUUAGGCCAUAACCCUUCUUGAUCGGCCAUAGACCCCGUCCAGGUAAGUAUGUUUCUAAGCUGCCCCUCCCUCUUGUUUUAUGGCUCUCCCAAGUUCUUCCGCAGUUUGAUUAGACGAUGUGGUACUAUUGUAUUGUAGGAGUAUCUGCGGGUGGUUUGCUCUUGGCUAACUGCGGUCACAAUCAUAUUUGGACUCAGCACUAUCAUUGCAGACCGAACCCGGCCCACGCACGCCGAGCCAACGCGCGGCCCAUCCAAACUUUCCGACACGCGUUUUUCUGCUAGCGUUGCGACGACGGACUCGCGGUCGAAGCCCCGAGCUCCUCCUACCGGCGGCUGCCGAAUGCGCAAGGAUUGGGACACGGAGUUCUGCAGCCAGCGAGCCACUACGCCAACGCUGCAGCUACGGGGCGGGAUGCUGCACGCCCCGACAGGCCACAGCCCCCGGCUGGGGUGACGCGGGAGGCGAUCGGCGCGCACCGGACGUACACGCUGCGUGCACUUCGACUUCGCGACAGCUAACAGGACAGCAAAGACAAAACGAAGAACCGGGAGACAGUGUUACAGUGAACGGGCAAGAUUCAGAACAUGUUUCCGUGAAAUUUUCGAGAACAUGAAGUAUUUGAGUAUCACUUCUUACUUGCUUGUUAGAUUACACACCGGAUCAUGUUCACUCCCCUUUGAUGAAAAUCAUAAUCCUGUUAGAGGCAUAGAUGGGUGAUGCUUUUGGCUGUUACUGAUAGCGAGCAAGAACCAUGACUACACUGAGAAACAGGUCAGAGAUGGAUCCUACCCUAUCACAUGUACAUUAAUGACUCCCAAAAUGUAUAGAAAAGGAGGCACAUUCAACUGUUAACAAAAUGGUAUUUUGACUCCACGUAACUCUCAGCUUCCCAGAGGAAGGAUCCGAAAGCAACUGCCUCCAAGACGAGAUGAUUCAACUCUAUAAAUGUGAUUGUUAUCAUCUGACCAUCCCUUGCAUUAACAGAACCAUCGUCCAACACUUUGAUGUCCGGUCGUCCAAACAAAGACUGAGUUUGCUUCUCGAUCAGUGAGACAGCUUCCUUUGACCUGAUAGUUGCAUAUCUUUGCAAUGUAUCAGCGUCCAGUUGUGAAACAUAAGAUCUCAACUUGUUUGGAUUUGAUUCUUCAUCGUCCAAACUGAUCUCCUCCCCGUCAGGCGUAAUCUGUACUAAGGACUCCAUAUCCCAGAAUGGAUUUGGUUUCAAGUUUUCAAAUACUAUCUGCUGCUUGGGGUUUGGCGGGAGAGUCUUCAUAGUUUUCUCGAGCUGGAACCGCUCAUCCACCCUCUUAAGGAAGUAACCAUACAUGAUCGAUGCUGCAUAAAGCUUUCCAAGAUUCAAGUUGCUGAUUUCAACAACAGUGUCCAGUGGUGCUGCUAUCUUUUCUCCCAUGAUAAGGUUAAGAUGGUUUUGUAUCAUCUCAAAGGCAUCUGGGGAGUGUAUGCUUUGCAGUUUAUCCUCUUGGUUAGGCAGCGAAGAUAUGUCGCGCACAGGGCCACCACCUGGUGCUAAUGCAGGAGUCAUAGAUAUGUCAUUGUCCAUAAACUUGUAGAUAAUCCAGCAGUAGAUGAUCUCUUCUAAAGUGUUCUGCCUUUCCUUCUCUUUAACUUCUGCAAUUCUCCUGUAGUUCUUAUCAUCAGUUAGUGCAUUUUUUUAGUGUUGAUGGAUGGGAUUAUGACAAUAUUCAUUUUUACAUGCUUUUCUAUCUAUGCUAGCCACCUUUAUGUUCUAUUUUUCUUUUUUCAUUACAUAGCUAAAUUACAAUUUCUUGCAAUAAAUCAGAAAACAUUUUGUUUAAUGUUGUGAGAAUAAAAGUGUAUCAUGGGCCAUGGGGUUGCCUAAUUGAGUUUACAUCUUAGCAUAAAGUGUGAUGCACAAAACAGCAGAUGUGAUAAUUGAGUGCUUGACAGCUCAGACAAUUGCCUUAUCCAGUUUACAUCUUAGCAUAAAACGUGAUGCACAGAACAGCAGAUGUGAUAAUUGAGUGCUUGAAAGUUCAGAUAAAUUCAGGGGACGUACUUGUAGAGGAGGUCCUGAGGAACUUUUGAAGCUUCUUCCUUUUGGGCAUCUUUCUCUGAUUGCAAAUUUUCAAGUUGCUGAUCAACUGUUGCAGGCAGCAGGUGAGGGUGUGAUUGUAGUAUUUGGACCAGAAGUUGACCGCUUGGAGAUUCAAAUCUGAGUGGCGCAAGACGUGUGUAGCCAUCACCAGAUUCCGUUUUUGCUUUAAUCUUGAAGGUCCUUGUACGGUAACCAUUAAUCUGGAAUCCAGCUUUGGAACGCAUGCUACAAGGAAACCCCUGCAGAGCAACAAACCAUCAUCCACUUGACUCAGGAUAACUAAGCUUGGAACAUGAGGUGGGAUAAAUGUUGAUCCAAUGUUAUACAGCAUCAUGACAUAAACAGUGAAUUGGCACAGUAAAGCAGGACUUUAUGAACAUCCGGGUUGAGCAGAAUGAUCCAAGCAUAAGGAUAAAACGCAAUGGUCACCAUCAGAUGUCUAGGAAAAGCCUCACAUCACUUGUAGAAAAUCGACUACACAUUGGGCACAACGAAUUUCAGAAGCAAGGCAUCAGAAUUUAGUGCACAAGCAACGAAUUUUGACGAUGUAAGUACCUCUUUUUUUUUUUGGCAAUACGUUGUAAGUACCUGACAGAAACAGAAGCAUCUGCCAAUCUAUGAAAAAAGGGUUGGCAUGCUACGAGAAGCAUCAUGAACAGGUAAAAUCACAACACCAAUAUCAGCACAAAUAUGGCAGCCCAGGCCAUUUUACCAUGUUUAGACACUGUAGUGUAUAGCCCCAAGACUCGAAGAAAAGCAUGUUCGCAAAAUUGUUACAAGAGUCGAAGGCACACGAAACCUCAUGCAAUGCAACACGGGGCAGAUUGGCACUACAGUCUACACAGCAGCAGAGCAAAGAGCACCGGAUUUAAGUAAAAUCAACCAAGUUUCCACAAAUUAUGCUCCAAGACUUAUUUUGCAACCCGAUCUAGACAACAUCCAAUUCGAGCAACAACAAGCAGUUCCGACCAAAAUUUCAGUACAAACAGAAUAUGAUGUUGCAAGGAGGAAUCACACAUACAUGAACACAGCCGGUUGCUUGACUUCAGCUUGAUGCCAAUGCUACUCUAAGCGCAGCAACCAACAAGUCAGCAGCAGCACAUCUGCCGAGGAACGACACCAACACCAGCGCGAGCCAAACACGCUUGCAAUCGCUAGCACAAGCAUCAGUACGCCCGCCUCACCACCACCCGGCCCGACCCGCUACUAGCACCUCGUAUUCGUAUAUGGAGUAAGAAAUGGCCCGGAGCGCACGGGAGGUGAGGACGCACCUUGCAGAAGAGCCUGCCGGCCUCCACGGCGGCGGCGCGCGGCCUGAUGACGCCGCAUGACGAGGAGGACGAGGAGGCGGUGGCGGGGGACGGCGAGGCGAGGACGAGCGCCGCUUCGGCCCACGCCGGCAUCGCGUGGUGGGCGGGGGAGGGCAAGUGCUCAGGGGGGCUCGGGGCAGCGGAGGCCUUGGUGGGUUGGGGAGCAGCCGAGCAGGUGAGAUUCCGUCGGCUGUUUGGAUUCCUGAGAUUUUCUCCGCUGCGGACUACUGAACUGGCAACACCCUGCCUGAUCUUUUUUUUUUUAUCGGGAGCGCGUACUCCGCGGCCUCCGCCUCUGCUUGCGCCUAGCCGUCCAGGGGCGUCGGGCUUGCCUGCCGCUUGGUUCAAAUCCAAAUAUAUAUUAUCUAAUUUUAAUUUUUCUUAUUUUCAUGCAUAUUCAAUGGGUAAUUAAUUUUAUAAUAGAUAAUAUGGGUAUGUAAUGGAUAAAUUGUGACCUUUCCAUACACUACCCUUUCCAUUUCCAAUGAAUAUAUAUAUUUUUAAUCGUACCUUCCUAUUUUAGGUAGGUGUGGAUUUAGAUAUGAAUUAUUAAUACCUUAGCCACAGGACUAGUCGGGCUGCCACCUGCGACGCCGAUGCGCGACUCGUGAGCCAGCCAGCCGUUGUGCCGUGAGCGUGCGGAGCAGUGGCGCACUACAGGAAAGUUGCGACGAUGACACGUCACACGAGACAAGCUUGCGUGAUUGCGUCUUUCGGUUGGGCUGGCCUGCCGCAUGGCGCUCCGAGUGCAUCGUGUUCAUUCGGUUGGCCUGCUAUAGCAAUCUGCAGGUUUUUCGUGUUCAUGGGCGUCCAUUGCAAGUAGGAAAACACAACAGACAUUAAAACCACAGAAUUAGAAUAUGAUCAGUCGUGCCAGAGAAACGAAACUCAACAAGAAAUCAUGGUUUCUUUACGCAAACUAUGGCCAUGCUAUCAGAAAGUAGGCAUUUACAAAUAAAGAAAGAGAGGCAGCUUAUGCUCGAGGAUUCUGGGAUUCUCCUACUGAGUUCAGUUGAUUGUGUGGGUAUACAGCCACAAAACGCCGUGGCACUGACAACACUGCGAAAGCUACAGCACAAGACCUGAUUACAUCAUUUCCCCUUAGCUCAGGGAGGUCACAAACACCAAAACCGUCCAGUAAAAAGGUCACAAUAUAAUAACUGAAAGGGGCGGCGAAACAAAAUCCAUCCACACGUCCUGCAACAGCCAAGGGCAUCCCAAUUCUCAAAAGAUAGGAGUAAACUCCAUGGGGCCAUAAGCUUGUGUGGGUUCUGAACAUUAACACCGUGGCGCCCAGAUAUGUCCGGGCCUCAGUCAAAUGUUGGCGACAAGCACUCCUCCACCAUGUCCAGUAGGUUUGGGUUUUCCAAUGCAGCCGCGACACGUUCCUUAUCGUUCAGUUGCUUAUUCACUGCAACAAAGAACAGAUUUAUACACUGAGAUAUUGAGAUGGUAACACAGAAGCUUAUUCACUGCGACACAUUCUUUGUCAUUCAGUUGCUUAUUCUCAAAAUACUGUAAUGCAGAAGCUGAAGAACAUAUACCAGCAGCUUCAGUUGAAUGUGAUCCAGGGGCUACCCUUAUGUCCACCUACAAAAAUUAGAUUAAAAAACAUCUAAAUCAUCUCAUCAAAUUACAAAUUAUAGAUAGCAAACAGCAAUAUGCACCAAAAAAGGAGCAAUUUCCCUACUAUGUUGACUAGGAAAAAAACUAAGUUUCCUCAUCCGUACAUCAGAUAUGUACAUGAGCUGGUAAAUAGUCUACUUGACUACAGAGUGUACAACAGGCAUGUACAUGAGCUAUACAAAUUAUAUAACAAUUUUAUCAGUGACCAAAUUUUAUGUCCAACAAAGUUAUAAGGGCAUGCAGAAUGGUGGACAUUUCAGGAACAUGUGCCACAUCUGAAAACGCACCAAGCAACAGUACUAAUCCUUUCUGACAAAAUACUACAUUUAUUCACACAUUACUAGGAGGAUCAAUGGGAUGACUGGUGUCUCCUGAUGGUGGGCGUGAAGAUAUGAUGGUCAACAAGAUGUGCUAAUAGUAGCUCCCAGCUGCUGCCAGGGCACCAAGGGCAAGAGGAAAGUGAGCUGCACUGGCAGAAGGGUUUUGAGUAGGGUGAGGUAGUGGAUAAUCUGAUAGGAAUUGACUGGUUUGGAGGUAACCAAAUCUGGUAGUGAACACGGAGGGGAGCUCCUCAGGUUGGUGUUUAGCUACUUUUUUAAUGAAGUUAAGUCAUGUAACGAUGAAAAGAGUAUGGUAGUGUGAGCCCCAGCUUGGACCAAAUCUGCUGUAAAACAGAAUUGAAGCAUGAUGAUCCCUGUCGCAGUGCAUAAAGGCUGGGGAAUCUUUUCCCUGGAACUCGAAAAAACUCACAGAUUACUAGAACUUGAUAAACAGGAGUACAGGACAUAAUGUCAGCAUAUCAAAACCUGAUUGCUCUCGCAAAUAAUCGUAACAUUAAUUCUUUGCCACAAUCCCUACACUGAUAUCAUACCUUGUAACGAGGAGGGAGACUCCGUAUGAGUUUUACGCGGAUGCAAAGGCCUAUAACAGUUGCCAUGCUGCAGUGCUCCACUGUUGGGGUGAAAGUAACCCUGAUGCAAAGCAUAUACAAGUCCUCAAGAGUGAGUUUCAUUAGCAAUCCUGAAUUGUAACAUCCAAAUCAACAAACCUUAUGAGAACCUACCUGACAUGAUUACUUUCAUCAUUGAGUUCAAUUGAGUCUUCAGUUACCACAUUAAGCUGUUCCAAUGAGUAUGGGUGCUCUGGAUCCUUUAUAUCUCUAAUGUGAUGUAAGAAUGUUAAGGACCACAACAAAACGUCUAGAAUAUAAAACUUCAGAUACAUGGUAUAAAAGAAAAAUAAGGUUCACUACAUUCAUAUUAGGGAAAUCAUAAAGAAGGAUAUCAAAUAUUUCCAGCUGGUCUAUAGGCUCUACUGCAUUUUCAUCUGUGGUCUCCGGUGCUUGUCGUACACGCCUCUCUUUCUUCUCAUGAAUUACAGGGUUAGCAUUUAUCAACCCCAUAACCAUUUCCACGAAGCACAAUGCACUAACUUUAGAUAAGACAAAUCCUGCAAAGUCAAAAGGUAUGAAAAUGUUUUACGAACAUUAUAUGUUAUUUAAAUUGCACAGACUAGUUAAAUCUCACAAAACUGCCCAUUGAUAACUCAGUUUUCGAAAUAGGAAACAACAGCCUAGUUGUACUUAGAUACUUGCAGAAAAUGUUUAUUUCGCAGACUGCACUUUGAAUUUUGAACUCAUCCAUUUGUAGUAGCCAUGCAAAAUAAUGGUUUGUUUUCUGAUUGCUAAUGCAAACUAGCCCCUUGGAAGAUAUAGUUACAAACUUACAAUCAAAUAUCCCCCCCUUGCUGAACACUAGGAAUUCAUUUAGUUCAUGAAACUUAAACAAAACAAAGCCUAGCAAAUUUGAUCUAGAAAUCACCCUAGCCAGUCUAGUUGAAUCCCAACAGUGGUACCUCUAAACACCAGCCGCCCAGGUCAAUCCUAUACAGCUAAUAACCAGCCAAACGCCACCCAACAAAGUACCACAGGGUGACAGGGAACAGGGGGCUUGAACCCAGCCACCAAAUUCCACCCUUGCUUGGCCCCCUCUGCGAGGAAAUCUCUGAUUAUCUUCCUUCAAAAACCCAACCAAUCACAAUUCCCCAACAACAGUAUCCUAAUCGGUGUCACCCAACGAAAAUGCAUAGAUAACAGAGCAACCAAACGACUUGCCCAAACAGGGGAAGCCGCCGCGAAAGGGGGUCACGACAGGGAUAGAAGCUCACCAGCAGAUGGCGGCGGCGGCGGCCGGAGAAGGCGGUGCGCUUGGCGUGGUUCGGUCGCCGGUUUGGUCUCCUUUGCGGCUCAGCUCGCGUCGGGGAAGACAACUGGGUGUUUUGUGUUGGACGCGUUUCAUUCCAACUUUGCUUCCGCUUAUGUGGACCUUCAUGGGCCGUUUGGGCCGCCUCGCCAGAUAGACCAAGAUGGAUGGAGUCCGGUGAGGUGAGCAGAUCGAUCGAUCGUUCUUCCAGUUCAGUGCUCGUCUUCUUGGCCGGGAAGAAAGAAAGAGGGAAGUGGAGGGGUGUGGGAUUGGCUGGCGAUGGCGGCGGCGCUGGAGUUCCUGGAGGCGCAGGGCGCUACGCGGCCGGAGCUCGCGGAGUGGUACGCAGCGCUCGCCGACCUGUACCAACGGAAGCUGUGGCACCAGCUCACCCUCAAGCUCGACCAGUUCCUCGGCCUCGCCGUCGUCCAGGUCCGUCACUUGAUUGAUUCCGCCGAUGACGAUCUCUCGUUUUGUUGCCCUCAUGGUUGUUACGCGGCGUGAGGUUUGAUCUGAUUAGGGUUAAAUGAGGCGUCCUUUUUGGGUAAUUAACUUUUAAUUUUAGUAUGAUGCUGGGCGCUGGCUGCAGCUCGUGCAGUAGAAUUGUUAUGAUCUCGCAUGGGUGAGAUGAGUUCAUCCCCCUUGGCGUUGUGGAAUUGUUGAAAGAGCAACUAUUUGCAGAACUAUCUAGUUUAUAUUGGUGUACUCCUAGUUUGGUGCCGAAAUGUGUCUUUUGUUGUUUUUAUAGUUCACUGCAUGUAAAAUUGCUAUGAUUGUUUAUUACAGCUACUUCAUCUCGCAGGUAUAAACAGGCAUAGUUGUGCUGGGAUACAUCUUGAUCUCUUUCAGUUUAAUAAAUCAUAUAAGCACUCUAAAUGUAGAUACUGUUGUUUGUGCUCAAAAUUUUGGUUGCUAACUCUAGUAAUCGAUCGCAACUCUGACCCUUUUGUGUUUGUUUUGUAAACUAGCUUGCUCGUGUUGGUAGAACAUUGUAGUUCAUUGGGUUGAAUUGUUAAUACAUACUAUGCAAUAUGGAAUAGGAAUAAGUCCAUAUUUGUAGCCUGAUUAAUCAAGGGUUUACUAAUGUGCAGUUUUUUACUCCAAAACACCUGCAUAUUUGGUUUAGUAUUUAACCAUUGUCACUUAACACAUUGCAUCAUGGCUACUAUAUCUAUGCUCUGAAAUCACACAGUACUCUUAUUGCAUGUAAAUUCAUUCUGAUUCCCAAAUACUUCCAAACCUUUUUCAUCAACAGUCUGGUUGCCCUUGUACUAUGUAUAUGCUCUUUGUCCUUACCACUGUUCUGAUUACCCUUACGUUUUCUUCCUUUCCAUUCAGGCGGGAGAUGCCCUGAUUCAGCUGUAUAAUCAUUUCAUCUCAGAUUUUGAGACCAAGAUCAAUCUUCUGAAAUUUGCUCACUUCACAGUGGUAGUUUCACGCCAGUAUCUGGACAAAGAUGCUGGUAUAAACUAUCUUGAAGGUGCAAUUUCAAAGCUGCAUGAUACCCGGGAAGCACGGGUUGAAGAGCCCAUUCUGUAUGUGAAGAUGCAGAUUGCAACGUUUCUUCUUGAGAAGGGGAAUCAAAAGGGGUGUAAGAAACUGCUAGAAGAGGGUAAAACAACUUUGGAUAGCAUGGUUGAUGUUGAUCCUUCGGUACAUGGUACCUAUUACUGGGUGUCUUCUCAGUAUCACAAGGCCCAUCAAGAUUACUGUGAAUUCUACAAGAGCGCUCUUCUUUAUCUUGCAUAUACAACAGUGGAGUCACUUUCAGAACCAUUCAAACAGGUGCCUGCUUAUAUUUUGAUACCACAAGAUUGGGUUUAUUUUUACAGUUUCUGAUUUGCUUUCUGUGAGUUUCAGAACCUGGCAUUCGACCUCUCACUUGCUGCUUUACUGGGUGAAAACAUUUACAACUUCGGGGAGCUGCUUGCCCAUCCAAUCGUAAGUACAAAUUUUGCACCUGAUUGUUCUCCCUAUUUUCUUUAGCAUACACUACUAUACAGGUUUUAAAUAGCAUUGUCUAGGAAUUAUAAUGCUUUUGUCUAUACAUAAAAGGAGAUUGUAGAUUGCCAAUGGUAUAAUCAAAUGCGCAAUGGGUUUUCUUAUAUAUGGAGGGAUGAAUCAUUGGCUUCACUUAACAGGAAAACACAGCCUGAUAAAUGAACUUUGCUGUAUUCAUAAAGCAAACUCAUUACCAUAUACUUAGCAGCUUGCAUAAUUUAAUUUCUCCUCCCUACACUGCAAAGCUAAACUGGUGUCAUAAAUUCUGGUGUCGCUUUGCUGAGUUUGUCAAUUAAUUUUUGACAUCAUGUAGAUCCAUAGCCUUUUGGGGACUCAGGCUGAGUGGAUUUUUCAUAUGCUGCAAGCAUUCAACUCUGGUAAUAUAGCACUGUAUCAAGAACUCUGCAAAACUCACAAUGGUGCUUUGAGCGCACAGCCUGCAUUGGUACAAAAUGAGAGGAAACUUCUUGAAAAGAUCAACAUACUUUGCUUGAUGGAAAUCAUUUUCAGGUAUUUCUCGUGGGGAGAAAUGAUUGAUGUCUGGCAUCUGGUGCAUCAUGAGCUAAGCUUUGUCACUAACAGCUUCAUGUAUCUGCAGUCGAUCAUCUGAAAACCGCACGAUCCCAUUGAGCGAUAUAGCAGAACGGACCAGGCUCUCGGUUGAAGAUGUGGAGUAUCUACUGAUGAAGAGCCUCUCUGUAAGUCCUGCCCUUCAGAAACCACCAUUGGUCGUAGUCUUAUGACAUUGUUGUUUUCUUCAGGCUCGUCUUAUAGAAGGCAUAAUUGAUCAAGUUGAUGGAACCGUCCAUGUUUCAUGGGUUCAACCGAGGGUCUUGGGCAUAGACCAAGUGAACUCCCUGCGUGACCGUUUGGAUACCUGGGUUGGGAAGGUGCAUACGACCUUGCUUUCGGUUGAAGCCGAGACGCCAGACUUGCUAUCUUCGUGAUGUUCCUCCCGCUCGAAGGAUUGCUGUGGCAUUUCCUGAUGUGAAGACCUUAUCUGUUCUUGGAUUGCAGUUUCUUCAGUGACGAUUGUUGUAACCUUGCUGCUUCAAGCAGCUAAGUAGUAGAGAUUCUUGUGCAACUGUUGUUUCGCAGAAUGCUUUGUCUGAUUCUCAGCCCGAGGUUGCAUCGUAGAUGGCAGGGUCUAUUUUACUCGUCGAAAAAUUAUUAUCUCCCGCUUCUUGCCACCUCCGUCCACUGUUGCUAUUGGAGCAGCAUAGAUGAUAGACCCUUCUUGCAACCUUGAUACCGAAAUAAGUAGAUAACUCAGCUGCCAAAGGCUAAUCCCAGUGGGAGUUUCAUAGAGGUUUCAUGCACAUUAAAUACGGUGACACAUCAGCAUAUACGAUGACAUGGUAUGGUAGUUAUAAAGUGAGAGAUGGAAGGAGUUUCAUCAGGAUGAAACUGUGUAUACACUGUUUCCAAGACUAUGAAACCUAUUGAAACUUGCAUUGGAGGCUAUAGAGUUUCAUUUCAUCUAACCAUAUCCAAUUACAUAUCUCACAAUUAAAUGUCAUGGGCAUCCUAUGAAAUCGUGAAAUGAAAUUGUGCACUGAGACUCCCUGUUUCAUUCAUGAGAAUACACCUCAUGGGAUGAUGUGGCAUCCUUGGAAACAGUGCAAUGAAACCUUGCACUGUGACUCUCUCAGUAGUCUAGCGAAAACACUUCAUGCUCGGCGAAAACACUGUCGCGCCGAACCUCAUCUCUGCCUCGCUUGACUCUACCACCUGGCGAGACCGUUGAAUCCCUCGCCCCUCGACAUUGUCCUACCGCGCACGGCCGCUGCGCUGCCGGAGCAGCUUGCCGCUGCCCGCCGCCGCCUAACAGUCCACGAACCCGGCAGGCACGACGAACGAGAAAAUGAACAGACCCAGGAGCGCUGCAGUUCAAGCCUUCAAGCUUCGACCAUGGUUGAGGAACAGAGGAAGAGAAGGGUAAACAAGGAGGCUUGCAGAGUUGAAUGCUUGCAGCAUAUGAAAAAUCCAACCGUUGGAUCAAGUUGUGAGUCAAAACGGUUUGGCCCGCCGGACUAUAUGGGCCAACUUGUUUGCGGUGCGGAUAUUGGUAUGGGCCGGUGCAACCGUUUUCUCUUGUCGCCUUUUUUUAUUAUUUUUGCUUGUGUUCUCUUAUGAUGACAUGAUUCUCAGGCCAUCUCGAACUAGAAUCGAGAAUUCAAUUCUCAAACUUGUGCCAUAUACGUAUCAGUAUUGUGUAUUAUUAAAAAAACAUACUAUCAAUGCGGUGAAAAAAUAUGGUACAGUGAGUUUGUCGAUAAUAAAAAAGAAAGUAUAUGAAAUCACUACAAUUUUUUUUUAAAAAAAACAAAAGAACAGUACAAUUAAAUCUUUUUAAAUAAUUCAUAAAAUGUGAGCACUCAUAUAGAGUUGAGAACUCAAACCUUGUUGACAAGUUUGAUCGCAAGAAAUCUAACCAACUGAACUACAUGCAAUUUGUAAAAUCAGUAUAUUUAUUUCUCCGGGAGAACUCCAAGCGUGCAUUCGGUCAUUUAUCUACAUAAAACACAAGAUUAUACUUUGAGGGCUAUAAAUAAAAAAUUAACGCAUAUCAGGAGUGAGAGCUCUUCUAUGAGCUCUCAAUAUUCAAGAGAAACAAGGAGAAGAAUUUCAACUAAUUAUUUGAUAGUCACAGUAUAAUAUAUACACUAAUCAGAUUUGGCGCUGCGGCAGCUGUGGGAGGAGGGGCUUUCCAGGCGAAAGUCUUGCUCGGCCUCGUGCCGUGCCGGCAACAACGACAUUCAACGAAUGUCGUGUUCCUCCUUAGGGGUGUUGUUGGGGUGCCCUUCUCUCCUUGACGGGAUUCUUUGGGUGAAAACCAUACAUGAGUUCUCAGGCGGGCGAUGGCGGCGCCUUCGACGUCGUUUUUUUUCUUGAAAGCGUUGUCUUUGGAGAUCCUGUUCCAGCCUUCUUCUCGGUGGUUCACCAUCGGCUUUGUGGUGCUCUUAGCUGUCAAGAUGGUGGGGUUCUGCGUGGGGACGAGUGGAUCUCUCUUCUCUCUCGCCCUCACCCCCGCAACCUUUGCCUGUGCUGACGUCCGAGGGUCUGCACGUUUCGAUGGACUGCUACCUGGUUGGCCUAGCGUUUGCAACUCCACGUUCGCCUAGCGGCGACCAGCCAUGCAUUGCGGUGGACGGCUCGGUGCUAGGUUCUUUCUCUUGGUGGAUCGUCUGUUGUCAUCGGCGCAUGGUGUUCCCAUCCUUCCGGUCGAGUUCUUCAUCCAAUCAGGCCGCUGCGAGUUGAGUGGGACAAUACUUUGUGUAGUGUGUGUUGAUAUCCCAAUCCAACCAGUCAGGUAUUGCUGUUGAGUGGUGCGUCGUGUUGAUGUCCCAAUCCAACCGGCUGAGAUUGUUGCCUGAGUAGAGUGGUGUGGUCAUGUUGACUAUAGUUGUCCAUUCGGACCGCCCGGCCCGGUCCGGCACAGGCCUAGCAAGGCCCAUUAUUUUUCAUGUCGGGCCUGGCCCGACGGGCCAUGUCGUGCUGUGUUGUGUCGGCCCACAGGCCGCAUCGGCGGCCUAAGCAUGGGUCCGCAAGGCCUUUUUCGUGCCAGGCCGGCCCGUAAAGCAUGGCUAGCUUCGGGCCACCACGAGGCAAGGCGGGCCCUCACGACCUGUUUCUUGUGAUGUGCGCCACUGCAGGCUGCAGCUGAGUUGUUGUCUCCUCCUGCGCGCCGCCACCGUCGCCCCCCUCGCUGCCACUGCUGCCGGGCCCCUCGCGUCGCCGGCCUCUCGCGCCGCUACUGCCGCUUCCCGCAGCCAGUCCCCAGCCUCCCGCACCGCCGCUGUCGACGCCGCUCCCCGCGGCAAGCCCCGUGCCGUCGCGGAGAAGGGCACAGCGACAAGCGGUGGGGGUAGGGGGCGACAUGGUCGGGGAGGCAGCCGCCGGAGGCCAGAAGGGAGGCGGAGGUUGGAGAGGAAGAGGAGUGGACGGGGUGUUUGAGCGGAAGGGGAGGAUGGCAGGGAGCUUGGCAGGGAGUGGACCGUGGGUGAGAUGGUGUAUUGGUGUGGAUAAGGUUGAAUGGUUAACGGGCCAUUUCGGGCUGCCACCCUAAAAUUGUGCUGGGUUGGGCCGCCCAUCGUGCCGGGGUGGCGCCUCACGCCCGGCAUGAGCUACCAGGCCAGGCUAGCACGGGCCCAAAGAACUUCGUGCCGGGCUGGGCUAGGUUCGAGCAAAAAAGGCUCCGUGCUGGGCUAACGGGCCGCGGGCUGCAUGAACAUCUAUAGUAUUGACGUUGUAAUCCAACCGAUCGAGUUUAAUUGUUUUUUCUUAGCCUUUCUUUUAUUUUCCUAUUUUCCUGACUAUGAUCUUUCAAGGUUGUAGUCUUAUAUUUUUUCUGCUAUAUCAAUAGAAACUCGCACUAAAAAAAUAAUCAGAUUCGGAAUUCUUUAUGCAAUGACGUGCAGCUGCUGAGCAGCAUCUCGUGUUCAUGCAACUGCUUCCUCGUGCAACAUCUCCUAUACAAACACACUAUAAAAGCAACAUAAUAAUCCAACACUAGGGUUACAAGAUAAAGCAACCGGGAUGUGUGCUCGGUGCUUGCUCUCCUCCGAUCAACAUCGGCUCCAUCAGACGUCAGACCCUGAGGGGAUCGGUCGUGACGUCGGCCCUCUCGGCGGCGAUCUGCUCGUAGAGGUCCCUGACCUUGAGCCCAACGAUGGUCUGGAAGAGCCCCGUUCCGUUGCUGCUGCCCGGGAGGUCGGCGUGCUUGAGCAUCUGCUGCGCCACCUCCCCGUAGAACUUGGUGGACAGGUUGCUCAGGUGGGUCUCCACGUAGAUGAGCUCGUCCAGCUUGUCGAACUGCCCGUCCAUCUCCAGCACGGACACCUCGUGUCCGAAGUAGGUGCCGAAGCCGUAGGCGAACUUGAUGCCGGGGUACGAGCAGGAGAGCUUCCGGCCGCAGGGGAUCCAGGUUACGACGGACCCUUCGUCGAAGAGGUACACCGGGGCGAAGUGCCUCACGCCUUCCUUCAUGAUCAGCCUCACGCGCAGCACCUUGCCCUCCUCGUCGUUCGGGAUCAGCUGCGUCGGCAGGACCUCGAUCACGGCGUCCGCGUACUGCUUCUGCGGGUCUGCACCAGGGAAUGAAGAGACAAGUAUAGAUUGCUCAGCUCUGCAGGGUGGUCUGUGAUUUUUUAUAUAAGGGGUGAUCUGUGAUUGGUAAUGGAAUUCAGCAUCAUGCAAGGAGGCUGGCUUUACCAAUGUAGGCGUCAAAGUCCGGCUUCCUGGCAUCGAUGCUCGCCUUGAUGCUCUCUAGGCUGUGCCCGCGCUCUGCCAUGUCCCUCUGCAGAAAGGAAGCUUAAAAUGUUAGUGAGAUCAAGGCAGAAGAACUACGAGUCAGCAAUCUUGUUACACAGCUGACCUGGAUUUUCCAUGCAAACUUGACCUCUUCGCUGAUGUCCAGGUAGAUGCUGAAGUCUAGCAGGUCCCUCACGCGCUCAUCGUACCUGAAGUAAGCAGCAACAGAUCGAUCAUUAUUGAGCUUGAGCAACGAAUUGUAUUGCAGUCAAAACUCAAAUUCGACGAAACAAAACGAAGCAAGAGGAGCAGUCACAUUGGGUGCAGGCCCUCGAUGACGAGGAUCUUGGGCGGCGCGAUGCGCUCGGGCGGGUCGAGGAGGCCGGUGACGUGGUUGUAGACGGGCUUGUCGACGGCGCGGCCCUCCUUGAUGGCCCUCACCUGCUCGUACAUGAGGUCGAAGUCGUUGGCUCUCGGGUCCAGCGCCGUCAGGCCCCGCGCCUUCCGCUCAGCGCGGUCCAGCGAGUGGUAGUCGUCCAGGCAGAUCACCGUGGCGGUGCCGCCGACGAGCGUGUUGGAGUCCGGGUUCCCGCCGCUCGGCGGCUCCGCGCCGCCGCCGAGCACGCUCGUCAGCCGCCGCACGAACGUGCUCUUCCCGCACCCGGAGUCGGCCGCCAGCCCGAUCACCACCGUCUUGCCCGCCGCCGCCGCGGCCGAGCACGACACGCGGGAGGGGAAGUGGCCCCGCCUCCUGCUUCGGAGAAGGAUGGACGUGCCCGCCGGCGAGUAUCGCGUGGUGGCGGCGCCGCUCGUGUGCGCCAUGAAGGCGUCCAUGGAUCAGCCGACGACGCCAAGAGACACACCAAUGACCUUCGGUUGCCACUAGGACGACCAGCAGCACGAUGAAAGCUGCGAGGAGAACUAGCUUUCGGAGGUGGUGACUGCGUGGUGACACGGUGACAGAUGAAAGGCGAGGUAAGCUUGUAGCGAGCUCAGCUCCGAUCAGCAACGAGAUCUCGGCUCCAGUUUGAAUCAGCUUGUGGCUGUGUGAUUUGUCUCUGCUGUCUUCACCAGGACAGUGAAAAUCCUUCCUCUGCUGCUCUGUGUGUUGUCCAUGGUGGUGCUGUUGCGGCUUGCGAGUUGCGACGGCCAUGAAAAAGCGUGGUGGUGGUUUUGUAGAAGAAGAUAUGGUGGGCCCCGCGUGGUUUACGUGGUGCCAGGAGGCACGCCUGUUGCGGAUGAGAACCAGUGACCGGAAACGGAAGGGCCGGAGGCCGGACACAUGGUGCUUCGAUGCUGACAUGGUAACACAUUCAACACAGGACACAAGUUUUAACAUUUGCUUCAAGUACAUGCUACUUUUUCCCUGAUGUCAUGAUAUGAAAGGUGCUUAGUUAAAAGAAAAGGUAAAGUGCUUAUAGUUACCCCCACACAGCCACAGCCCACAGCAUGACAAAAAAAUGUCACUGCCUGUGGGUAAUCAAUUCUUGGGAUCGCAGGCUAUGAAUAUACUGUAGUCAAAGAUGGCCAAGAUAAAUACUCGAGUCGACAAAUUUGAUUUUCAACAAUAGCUGUUUGGAAUGGACUACAGAAAUUCGUACGUCUUGCACCAGCAGGACAACUGCUUGCGCAACAAGAGGAAGCCCAAGGUAUCCGACCGGCAAAACCGAACCACAGGGUCACAAUCGCUUGCCCUGCGAGGCGAGAAGUAUUGACGAUGUUUUCUUCCGCUGAACACAUGCACAAGUCAACGAAGAACCAUGAAGCCUCGGAGUACAUGGGAAAUGGUGAGACAGACAAGCGGUUUUCGCGGGCCGACAACCAUGGUAACAACAUUAAACAAACCAUGUUAACACAUUCAACAAACCAUGGUAACAACAUUAAACAAACCAUGUUAACACAUUCAACAAACCAUGGUAACAACAUUCAACAAACCAUGGUAACAACAUUCAACAAGGGAAAACUGUUGCUGUUCGGGCAGAAAACUUUGCUAUACCGUACAUACAAGAGAAAUUUGCUCCGACUAGGAAAAAAUCAAUAUAAAGCGGCAAGCACAGUAGCAUAUAAGAAUUCAGUUCAGACACCAUAUGGCGGUUGCUCUUCUGCAUUUCAAGAAUAAUAUAAUACUGCGUGCCAUAACGGUCGCCGACAUGCCAAACUUAAGACUAAACUAACCAGAUAAAACAUGGGCAUAGCUAAUGAAGAAAUAAAACACCCCGUUCCGCAAGCAAACCUAUAAUGACAGUGCUACCAUCCUAAACCAUACCAGCUUAAAAAAGCACCACCACUGACAUAUGAAACGAUAGACUCAAGGUGUGCUGACAGGUAUGCACAAAACCACACGAAAAGGUGCUGCUAGCAUUCAUAAGUAAUUCUCCAUCACAUUUUCCCACAAAUGUAGUUUUCCACUAUGGCUGGCCUCACUUGUUCCCUCUGAAGUACAUGUACACUCUCUGCAUAACACAAACAAUAGAAUAUUUAGCAUUAGCAUUGUGUAUAACAUGUAGUAAUGAAAACAAAAGGCAAUUAAACAUCUUGCCAUUCACAAUUUAGCUUCCGAUGCAAAAAAACUCUUAGGUUAAUUUAUAUAGCUUCUAUGCAGUGGAGGGGGGCAACAAAGAAUGGAGGGUGAAUAACACCAGGGAGAGGAUGCCAAUUUUAGGCUUAGCUAGCAAUUAUACCUAAUAUCUACUAACUUCAUCAAGAGAUUGCAAAAUUUCAGAGAGAGGGGGGGGGGGGGUGCGCAUGACCCCUGCUGGCCAUCACUAAGCUCCGCCAGUGCUUCUAUGCUAAGCACCUAUAGCUCAAAAAUAGGUAAUUGCUCAUCCAUGACAUUAACUACCAAAACAAGAAUAGCACGGCACAUCAGAAGAAACUGUUUACCAUUCAGAUAUUAACAACUCCGUAACAACAGCAUGUGUUUCUCGAUUAAGUGCUAUUGUGAAACUAUAAGGGGUAAAUAAAAUAUCCUUUCCUAAUUUAUAACAAAAUUACUCUACUCAACUGUGCAGAUACAGAUAUAUAACAUAAUUCAUUAAGACUUGUUACAAUAUUCAUUAAGUUAUUGUGUGAAAUAAAAGCUUGAACGGUUUAACAUGCUGUGAACAAUGGACUGACUAGUAUGCACGCAUCAAGGGGAAACACAGGAAUGUACGAGAAUGUUGGUUGCUGAGAAUAGGGUUUUAUUUUAGACCUGAAGAACUGCAAUGCUCAGCAGUGUCUCCAAACAGAACAGCCCAAACCCCACAAAGUAGAAGAUCUGCAAGAGCAAAACAUUCAUUCUUAAUGCCCCGUAGCAUCUGGAAGUUCCCUUCAGAAAACCGGACACGUUCAUAAAAUAAUGCCCAGCAUUCACAGGCUGGAGCUGUAAACAGAAGUUCAGCUUACCCCAAUUACGAUAUGCUCAGAGAAGGUGUCGAUCGCAGCCAGUAUACCACUGAAAAGAAACAGAAAAGGUUUUGCAUUGGAUGAAGCAGAACAUUUCCAAAAGCAGGGAGAAGAAAAAAAAUUCAAACCAUGGAGGAGCUCAGCUUAACAUUUUCAAAAGAUAUCCACUAUAUAGUAAAUUAAGAGUAGAUUUGCUGGUCCAAUAAAACGGAAAAUGAUAGAUAGGUUCACCAGGAUACUAACAUUCAACUGGUACAUUGUCAAACAUUUCUUUUCAAAGAGAAUGAAUGAAGUCAGCCUAUUUCAUAUCUUUCAGAUGAAGAUGGAGACAUCCAAUUUAAAAAUUUUAGGGUUGUAUAUUUUACACGGGAAAUUCCAAGAUUAUGGAGCCGCCAACAAGAAUACCACUGUAGACUGAUGCGGCGGAAAUUAACUAUAACAAUGACUGGUAACUGUAGAUACAGCAGAGGGAACUUACGUUAAUGAUUUCCCAUGGAAUACAAUGGGUGGAGCAAUGGCAGCAAUUAUGCAGAAACCAAUGUGUAUCUGCACCAAGUAUCAUCGAAAAAACGAUGAUAUGACAUGUGUGACAAGUGAUAACUCUUGCAGCAGUUCAAUUGAAAUGUCAAUGAUGCAAAAAAAAAAGUAUCCAGCUAGAUCUUACCAGAUAACAGAGGAAAAACCAUCCGAAACUGAAAGCACUGUUAGUCCUGUUUAAUAAGAAUUUAAAAAGACAACGUGUCAAACACACAAGGGCCAUAGUUCCAGAAAUAUAUAUCAUAUCUGCAUCCAAGUGCUGUUUUAAGCACCUAGGGAAUUUGCAGCCAUAUCUACAAGCAGUGUCUUAAGUAUAAUUGGGAUAAAUAUACGCAUUCCUCAGCCUCACUCAUGGAUAUACCUAAAAUGAAAACAGUGACUAUUGUAUGGGGGUGUGCAUAGACUAUUCAUGCAAAGUAGUUGCUUUGAAAAAUGCAGGUGGAAAGCACUAAAACGGAUGUAAAUGCAUGUGUAAAAAUGCAUUGCUUUGUAAAAUCCAUCCAUAGUGAUGAGUGGUGAGAAUGGUAGUACCAUACCUCAUUGCACGAUAGAGGGGCCUAUACCAUAUCAAAUAUGACAGGGGAAUUCCAAGCAAAGCAUAGAUAGUUGCAAGGAAAAACAGCUUUGAAUCUGCAAGGACAGUAGGUACCAGCUAUUAAGUGCAGCCAUGAAGGGCCAGUAUAAAGUGAACACAAGCAAUAAAAGAGAACCAUGAUACGUACCUCCCUCCUUGAUCCAGCAGACUAUGACAGCAAUGAAAUUCCAAGAGAGGCAAAGCACAAUUCCUGCAAUUUACAUUAAUCCAAAACAAAUGCUAUCAUGAGCAACCAAUGCUGGAGUCUUUGUAACACACCAUAUCUACUAUCGCAGUAGCAUGAUUCUGCCCUCUACCUAGAUAAAAAAAACAAUUUACUACUUUUAUUAAAUCACUGAUGCCACAAAAUGUUCCUCGCAAACAUACCAAGCCAGCUUGCGAAUGCAAGAUACUGCAACCUCUGCACAUUAGCCGGUAUCUCAUUGGCAAUGUCAUGGUGGAUGAGCGGGAAGAAUGGCGGCCAGUUCUUCUCCUCCAUGGGCACUCCGGCUGCAUCAAGCAGAAGGAAAGCGCAGAUGAUCAAACUCUAUUUAACACAACUGGUAACUCGAAAUCCUGACAGCAGCAACCAAACUAUUAUGCUACGCACCAUUCUUCAGCGACUCCUCCCUCCUCUUGAUAUCCUACAGCCACAAAACAAUCACCAUGAGACACCACCGAGUCAAACAGAAGCUAAAACCUCAGAAGUGGAAAUGGAGGGUAAAACCCCACCGCCUCACGCCGCUUCAGAUCUGAUUCCCACGACGAGAGCUCCCUCGCCUUGCCCUUGGAGUCCUGCAUUGCGCGCCCAUACCGCCCCCGGAACACUCGGAUUAGCACGCGAAUAACCACCGAGGGAAAAGGGGGGAGCAGCCGAAUGAACGAAAUGCCUUACCCCCAUGGUGUCGAGCGGGACGUCGACGACGGCGUCGCCCCUGCCGGCCCCCCCGAAGCCGAUGGGCUCGGUCGGCCGGAACCCGUACUGCUGCUUGCCGCCUCCGCCUCCUCCAUUCUACCACGCAAACAGCGAGGUUCCACAGUUACACACCCAAAGCCUCCAGAUCUACCAAAGCACCCAGCAAAAAUCUCUGAGGAAGAGAGGGAGGGUUUUUGGCUCACCGAGUAGGGGUUGUCAUCGGCGGCGCCCUCGUCGAAGGGGUUGGGGUCGUGAUGCAUGCUCGCUGUCGCCUCCGCGCUCGGCUUGCGGGCGAGAGGUGAGCGGAGGGGGGAAGCGGCGCGGCGGGGGGCUCUCGGUGCGGUGGUUUGGACUCGGGUCGCUUCCAAUUCAAGCAGUUUCUCCGCCUUUUUCUGCGCUGCUGCUUUUCACGUGACCUGCGGAUGGCGACGUGACGGGGGGAGCGGCCGAGCGGGUGGUGACGGUUCGGUCCGUCCGAAGCCAGCACGCGUCGUGGCGACGCCCACCAACGCCACGCGGAGCAGGCCGCCAGAAGUGCCCAUCGUCAGGGUCGUUUACCCAACCGACGGCAGCCCACGAAUGAAAGGGCUGGGACCCACUCAAGCAAGUAAGGCCCGAAACAAAGCCCGUUGUUUUAGGGGCCCCAGUUUUCGGCCCCGUGAAAUUUGUUUGGUCUUUCACAACCACUUGGGCCUUAUCAUAGGCCCACGAGAUAAUUUAUCAUUUGCCCAUGCCUGCCUGCGGCUGCAGGGGAGUCAAAGAGAUUUGUUUUGGGAGGGGACGCGGGUGAGCUCACUCCAAGGAGCAGAAAUUAGGGCGAGGUGAGGGACGGAUCCAUGGAACCGGACGAGGAACGAAUGCCUCUCAACCGAAGCAAAGGCUCGUCCCUAUCUCCUUCCUCUAGCAAAAUCGGUCUCAUUUAAUUUGAGCCAUGUGCGAGCUCCACAUGCCUCUCACGCCUCCCCAGGCUUAUCUCUACUACUACGCGCUCGCUGGUGGAGCUCAGUUCUUAACAACAAGGCACUUGUGCGUUUAGUGUUGUUUACGCUAAUCGCAGCCGCUUAUUAAGAAACUCGCAAAUAGUAUUGGAGGACAGAGAAAAGGUUGCGGCUGACUUAGGGUUUCACGCGCGACAAGUAGUUGGCUUUUUUUCAUUCCUUUGCUUCUUCUUCUUUUUUGCUUGGAUUUUGAUCGGCGUUUAAAGUAUGGUCCAUGUGGAGUUGAGGUGAGAGUGAGUGAGAUUUGUGUUUUGUAGGAGUUCGAUAAUCGAUAUCUACGAUGGUGGUGAUGUGUAUACGGUCAAUGAGAUGCAUACUGAGACACAUGCUUUCCUGCCUCUUGGUAGGGAGCCUCCCUUUCUGUGGUGAUCCAAAGAAAGCUAGUUUUGCAACACGGCCAGAGAUUGAGUUGGCAAAGUGUGGUUGCUAACGUCUUUUGGCAGUGACGUAAGGGACCAAAAUAGCAAGGCCCUUGAAUUGAUUCAGUAGCAUUGGAUCCUAGUACUUAAUCACCGAUCAAAAUACAGUACUCCCUAGCAGCACAUAGAGAGGCAUGUGUAGCUAGUCGUAGGUCGAUCGGUCGUAUGCUUGAAAGUUUAGCCCAGAUAAAGUUGAUCAGAUGUAGAGGCUGAUGAUGAUCAAUCAGCAAUGUCAUGCUAGCCAGUCAUCAGUUCGACUUCAAAUAUCCCAAUACCAUAUGUAAAAUUCAAAACUCUAGGCGGUCAGCGAUCUUUUGAAUUCCAUGGAUGCGGAUUUUUGCUUUAGUACAGGAAGUGACCCUGAUGAAAGUAUAUACUGGAUGCGGACAGAAACGCCACCAACUUUCUCAAACUCAGCGAGAUCAGCGAGUUAAUCGCGACGCAAGCACACUCGCCGGCCCGUAACUCUCGAUGCGUUCAUUAUCUUUCUAGGCGCGCGCGCGCGGGCACGGAAAGCUCUGCAAUUAACGGAGCACUGCACGCAUCCGAUGUCAUGCAGAGUUCACCACUGCUAGCUACUAAUCGACACACGCCACACGGGUCCCCAUAUGUCAGAUCGAUUAGCUAGCUAGCUAAUUUAAACAAGUGCCUAAUAAAUGUGUGCGAGUGCAAGUGUCACUCCCAUCUCGAUCGGAUCAUCUUCGAUCCAAGUACAGAUCGAGAUGCCUGCUCCUUUUUUCUGGUCCUACUGCAAGUUCUGCAGCUAGCUCUGCGAAGGCCUCUAGGCAGCUAGCAGCAGAGCGCACGAGUUAACACGAGCGAGCUAUAGGCCCCUAAAUUUUUCAGAUAAAGGAAAUAAUUCCAGCUAAAAGCCAAGUUGUUAUAUCAUUCUCAGCUUAGAAGCUGAACACAAAAAAUAGGAAAACGAUAUCAUUCUCAGCUUAGAAGCUGAACACAAAAAAUAGGAAAACGAGUACAUAUAGAGCAAGAAAAAUUGAAAAGCAUAUAAUCUAUUAUUAUUUCUCCAUCCAUUCUUAACGAAUUUAAUCCAAAGCGACGAUCUCUAUUGCUUUGCUUGCCAAACAUAUGGUCUCCCUUAUGUCCUAAAUAUUACCCUCUAUCCUGUCCAGUAGCAUAUGUUAACUGUUAAGCACUUAAAACACACAAAAGAGUACUCCUCAACCCUCAUCCAGUCAUCCUACAUGUGUAGGAGUAACAGUUACUUUGUUCUCCCUAGCCCUACUUGCCAAUUGUCAUCAUCAGUCAUCACAGAUUUUUUGUACACGACUUGUAGUACUUGUCUUUCAUGUCUUCUUCCUGAUUUCGCAUCUGAUGGUCAGCUUCUAUCCACAGGCAGAUCAACUGAGAGUGUGUGAUGCAGAGAGGUUCUCUUUGGGUACAUGUUGGCUUGUGGCACUAGAAUAUACCCCGGGCGUCACAUGGCCGGAUGCUUCUCAUUCCCUCUUGCUGCACUGGCCCAUAUCCUAGCCACGCAUGCAUGCGCGAGCAGCAUGGCUACUAGCAUGCGGCAGAGAAUCCCGCGGCAUGCAGCACAUACAUGCGUGCCGUAUGCAUGCAUCAGAGAUUGGGAGAGAUGUGAUGCGGAGAGAGUGAAAAGAGACUGAGAGGGAGAGAGAGAGUAUAGCAGCUGGCUGCUAGGGCGCCCUCUUUUUGUGCCCCGAGAACAAGAGAGAUGGCUCGAUCGAUUUGAUGGUGGUCGCCAGUUUUUUUAAAAAUAAAUCCCCGCCGGCUCACGCGCGAACGUGGGAGAGGGAGUUGGGGGCAACGAAUUGAUGGCCUGAGCUGGACAAAAUCCAAAUUCAUAUGAUGAUGUGAAGGUUGGUGGGGAUCAUUCCACUUUUUUCUGUAGUGGUAACGAACCAACAUUGAAAUUAUGGCGCCAUCGGUUACCGGGAAUACUAGAAUAUGGGAUUGCCCAGUGAAUGCUGCGUGCAUCGAUAUACAAUAUUGGCCCCGGCUGCUUAUUUGUUUUAAAAUAUAGUAUAGUGCUCCUACGCAUAAACUUCUGAAAGAAAAAUUCCUUCUGAAUAUGAGCCACUUCAAUUUACCUUUACUUCUUUAGCAAAGCCUACAUAUGCAUGAACCAUGAUAUCGCAAUGAUCAUCAACUCUCUUCUAGUCUUCUGUGACCAAAUCACAAGUCGGUAACAGUAAUUGGUAGUAAUGAACUUUUACAGGCCGAAAUGACGGGCAAAACUUAGAAAAAUUAGGAACACAAAAUAGUGGAAGCGCAAGGACAAAGCAUUUCUUAAUUUUCACAUCUGGACCUACACCUUUGCGACAGUUUAAAGGGACCACUACUGCACGUUUAAUUUCUCUCUCAAAUGACAGGAAGAUCUAGCAGGAGGAUUCUUCCCAUUCUUGCUGACCAAGUUAAUGUGGGUGCUUAUACCAGGAAUUUAAAUAAAUCAAAUAAAACAAUGACAUCCUUAUUAGUAAGACGUAUGCUACAAUUGAAUUACCUAAAAUACUAUAACUAAACCCUUGUCAUUCAGACACAGCGUUCUCUAUUCUACACUUAUAUUUUUCAUUAAACAAAAAUUAAUAUAAGGAUUUUAAUCGAUGAAGCAUGAUGCUGUUGCCCACAUAAAUAGUGAAUCGUGUCUCUCUUGUGGGCCUUGCAUUGCUAUCCAAAAUAAUACUAUAAUAGGACAUAUGUUCGACUGCGAAAAACUCACAAUUGUUUUGAAAUAAAAGUUUCAGCCACCGAUCACAAGCUUGCAUGCUGGCAUUCUUAAGUUAUUCAGAGUUACUUAACUAUCUAGCCUGUGGGGUGUUUUCAAAUCUCCAACUGAUCGCCUCUUGGCUAAAAUAAUGGCCACUCCUGGCAACGAAGAUUCUCUAGCUUUUGUUAAAGCGUAUCACCUUAAUCACAGCAAGACACACAAAGGACAAAUGCAGACAUCUAGAACACCUAUUCCCAGUUGUUUAAAAUAAUCGUACCUUUAAAAAAUGGAUCUGGCUAGUGUUUAUAUAAUGCCGUGACAGCCUGCCCUCGAAUAAUUCCAAUUCAGAGACAGUUCUCCGUAACUAACUCCAAACAAUUCCUUUUAGUGCUCCGUGAAGUAGAGAUCAGGCAUUGAUCGCCUUUUGGACAGUACCUCAACUCCUCAUGUCAAGAAGUCAAUCCAAUCCCAAACUGUGGUAACAAGGGGGGAGACCAGUGGGGACUGCAGUUGAGAAGAGAGCUAGAGAGAGGGAACCCUAGCUAGCUAACUGGCACAAUGUGCAGUUGUCAGUAGAAAAGAAACAUAGCGCGCGCGCAUCAAAAAAUACUCGAUGAGUGUGGUUAAGUGACAAGACUCUUUGUCUUGACUCAACUCCAAGGUGCUAAGUCAAACUGAUCAGAUAAUAAGUUCGUAUAGUUUCUUAAUUAGUCUACGAAGCUAUACAAGUAAUGCCUAUACGUGUGGAAUAGAUUCCGCAGAAAGGUAAAGAGAUUAGAAUGAAGAGAGACGCAGGUUGAAUAUGGUUUGACCAGUAUUACGCCACGAUGUAGCCGCUAACAGCAUCCACACAUGCAAGUUUUUUUCGUUCUUAUUUUUAAAUAACUUAUGCACUCGAGCAUGCUAGAUGUUUAAUGUUUUCAUAAUACUGUGGAUGAUCGAUUAGCGCUAGUCAGUUCCAUCAAAGUGGAGUUGAUCACAAACAAUUGUCCAGGAAACACAUUAUGAAUACUUUUGGGAGGAGAACACAUGAUAUUAAGUCCUUUAAUUACCUAAUAUUGCAAAAAUGAAGUCAUCUACCAUCAUGUAUGGCAAACACACCAAAAAUCACCUAAACAAGGAGCCAAGAGGCGCAUCAAAAUAUCUGACUUAAAUGUACAUUUUAUGUUCCCACAGUAUUAGUACAAAAAGUGCGUGAAUAAGACAUGCAAAUUUGGAAUAAACAUGCAUGCUAGCAAGAAAAUUGAAGGGCAAAUAAAAAUUAACAAGAUUAGCACAGGAUUACAUUUGAAAGACACUGUUCCCGUAUCUCUAAACCAGGACCAUGUUGUAUGCAGGGUUGAUUGGAAUCAGCUAGAUCAACUGAUCAUGAACGAACUACCAUUUCAACUAUAGCUGGACAACAAUACUGGAAUCACAAAAAGGAGUAUAUAUAUUUCUAUUAAGUAGUAGGUGUCCAUAUAUUAUUCAAACGUAUACACGACUGCGAUGACGAACGAUUGCAUGCUGGGUUUUUAAAGCUGAAUCGGCAUCAGCGACGGCUGCUGAAUUAAUACUAUCAGUUGCAGGAGAAGAGAUAACAUCGAGCCCUAUCACCCGAAGCAUGUCCUUUGCGCCGAAAACGCCUUCAAAUACGGGGGCCAGGAUCUUCUGCGCGGUGAACCGGCAUGCACAGGAUAGGGUUACAAGGUUCUGGGCGCAUGAGAUCCGCCCUCAUGGAUGUCGUUGGAUUCAAAGAAACUUCCACCAGAAAGCAACUGCCCUUUGUUUAAUCCCCAUGGCAGCGUCACCUUCGAGAACCACUUGCCCUAGAUGCAUAAGCAAUUGCAGAGCAGCAAGAGCUAUCCGAUCCUGUGAAAAUCCUGGAUUAUUGAUCAAUUCCAACUGACCAUUUUAUGUCACGAAAUCUAUGUGCUUGAUCACACGGUGAGAUAUGCGUGUCGCGAGUUGCUUAGGCAAAGGAAUUUGUACACGCUUGAUUGUUUGGAUUAUUGUUGCCAUUCGUGUUGUUUACGUGCGUCAUUGAACGUAAAAUACUUCCUUGGUGUACUAAAAUAUAAGCUCAUGUGGCGCAUACAUCUUCUUGUCUAUUAGUCUCUGAUGAGCUAUUACAGUCAUUUUCCACCUCAUUGGCUGGUCAGAUUUGUUAAUUUUUCCAUUCCAGAUAGUUUAUCAUAUGGCAUCAAGAUAGCUAGCUUUGAGAUUAAUGUGGAUACUAGAGAUGCAGUUCUCCAUCUGCUGAUGCCUGCAGGCCGGCCACAUCUUAUUUUUCUGCAAGCAACAAUGCAAUCAUCACGUUGUUGCUAGCUAUGCUGUGUUUCACAACGAGCACGUUCAUACACGUACCUGAUCUCAAACGAUAAGAAGAUAGAGAUGAUAAAGUUAAAUAUGAGAGAUAUUCAGCAUAUUUUUAAGAAAAAACAUAUCAUCCCACCUUUUCGAAUCUGCCAAUAUCUCCAAAGCUGGAAUAUAUGGUUUUCAUAGAACGAAGUUUCUGCAACUAGGACACAGACGGAGAAAACCCUAGCUACGAUCCGGCUGUUGUGUGUUGCUGAUCGAUUUGGGGCGGCAUUACAAUUAUUCACGAGCAAUCAUCGCGAGAAGAACACACACACACACACACCAGCAAUUGCCAAUUUGCCAUGGUACAAGCGCACAAUGCAACCCACCCUGUUCGCCAGCGUGGCCUCGCCGCAUAGAAGACAAAUUCAUGCCAUUUCAGAUCAUAGUACUUGGGGCACACAUGCAUGCGCUUGUGCGUGUCCUGUGGUGAAACGACCAAAAGUACACACAACUAUGCGCCGCACUGUAGCCGCCGCAUAUGGCAGCUCGCAUACGCAUUUCCAUCGUCGGCCAAUGCAACAAUAUUAACUCCCCCCGGCCCGGCCCCUGAUGAUGAUGAUACGCACAAAAACUAUAAAAUAUUGGACUAUAUAUACAUCUAUAAUGUACAUGAAUUUACGCUGCUUAUACAUAUAUAAAUGUUUUACUGAGAUAUGUAGUGCUACAGGGGCACGGAACCACGGAAAUAUGAUGUGAAUUCUUGUGUGCAGAGCGAUCAGGUCGCCAUGAAGAAGGCCUGAGAAGUGCAAGCAGGGUUGCGUGUCCGGCCUCGGUCAUUCCGUCCGUCAGUGGGUCAAGAAGAGGGGACGACGCCAGGCUCACAGGCAGACGUCCGGCGAGGGGCAGGGACCGGGUCGGCUCCUGUUUUUUCACCGCCGUGCACGGGCGCGGCGCGGCCCCGUGGUUUGUUUUUACCAGGCGACAGGCGCCCGCCGCGGCCAUGCCGCCUUGCGUAUGGAGGUGGCACACCGGCCGGGCGCGGCCUCCCCCACCUCCCCGGCCCUGGAAAAGGUCAGCCUCCAUCCGUCCGUCGACGGUCAAUCGUCCGUCAGCAGGAGGGCCAGCAUAGGCAUAUGCAUGCACACAACACAUCGCCAGAAGGAAACAAUACAAAAACCACACAACCCAUCACUCUCUCCCUCCUGUCCCUCUCUUGAUCUCCUCUCCCUCUCUCUCUCUCUCAUCUGCCCUCACAUACUUCUUUAUUGUCCUCUCUUGGAAGCCAACUCAAGUUACCCAUCUCUCCCUCUCAUUGCAUCCCUCCUCUCCUGUUGCUUGCUUGGUGUAAAGAAAAGAUAGCUCGCUUUCCACAGCCCAUCUCUCACAUCCUGCUUCCCCUCCACCCUACCUCCUUUUCUGCCCCCACAAAAGCAAAAAAACAAGUUUGCUUGCUUGCUUGUUAGCUACCUCCAAGCAGCAGAUCGACCCAAACUGCACCUUCAACAGAUCACUGUCCUGCCCUAGCCCCUUUCUUCUUCGUCCCAACACAUGCAAAGCCUGAAGGCUACUGCCUGAGAGCAUCACGCGGCUCCUUGCUAGCCAGCAGCGCAGCUAGCUAGCCCCCUGGUGCCAGUUGAUUGGAAGGGAGAGGAGGAGGAGAAUUAUUGGGAGCGGUUGGUAGCAGCAGCUUGCAUCCACUAUAGAGCCUGCGAGGGAUCGGCAAAGGGCGCCCUAGCUGCCGCUACAGCCAUGUGCGACUACUUCCUUCAGAGGAUGGAGGGCGACCAGGCCGGCGGGGACCUCACCGACAUCGUCCGCGCCGGCGGGGCCAUGCCGGGCAGCGCCGAGGUGCCGUCCACGGCCGCCGAGUGGCAGCUCCAGGGGGAGCCGACGAUGCUCUUCCCGCCGCCGCCGUCGUCAUCGGACGGCUGCGCCGGGGGUGCCGGCGGCGGCGCCGACGUCUUCGGCGACCCUUUCGCCGGCCUCGGGGACCCGUUCAGCAGCGACUACGCAUCGGGCGCCGACUUCCUGGACGCCAUGCCCGACGCGAUGGCCAAGGUCGGCUUCGACACGGCUGUCGGCGGCAGCGGAGGAGGGGGAGGAGGCGGAGGCCAACUGAUGGACAUGAGCCGGAAGCCUUUCUUGCCGCGGGGGUUGCAGCAGAUGCCGGCGGUCGGCGUGCUGGCUCCGAGGGUGCUGCCAUCGCCGCUGUCGCCGAGGGCGAUACGGCCGUACCCGGCGUUAGCCGGCGACAUGGUGAAGCUCGGCAUCACAGCCGGGCAGGUGGCCGGGUGCGCCAUCGACGCCGCCGUUGUCGGCAUGCAGAUGUCGUCGCCUCGCGCCGCGGGCGGGAUCAAGCGCAGGUUGGGGCAGAUCCGCGUGUGGAUCCAACAUCUGCUUUGUUUGCAUCUUGCAUGUUACAAAUACGAACAUGUACGACCGGCGUGUUUGCUAGCUCGUGAUUCUUAGGGAAAGUUCUGCGAUCUCUUUUCAUGUGUUCCUUCUGCUUUGUCCUCCUUUUGUGCUAGUAGCUCUCUCUGCACUGCACCUCCAAGGAAAGGUAAGAAAAGAGGGAGGAUUCCAAGGAUUCCUCGGGCUGUGCCAGGGAUUGGAAAGAUCGUAAGUGUUGCCUACAGCUCGAAAUUUUAGGCGUGAGGGUCAUCAUGAACACAUGGUGUGAUCGGUGGGAAUAUUUCUGAAUCGGCAAACGAUGCCUACACAUAGGGUUAUGUGCAUCUAGACCUAGCUGGUCUUCUCCCCGGAAAGGCCGGCUUUUGUUGAGUUUUGAAAAGUGAUCUGUGAAACCCUAGUAAUAAGCUUCAAUUAGUUGCGAAAUUUUUGAGAAGACGACUACUUAGCUUGUCUCAAAAGAUUAUGCAGUAUUUGCACUUGAGGUUCUGUAAAUUAAUCAUGCGAUUACUGCUGUUUUACCAAAUGUUAACUUGCUAAUAAAGAUUCAUGUGUGCAGGAAGAACCAAGCAAGGAAGGUGGUAUGCAUUCCGGCGCCGACAGCGGCAGGGGGGAGACCCACCGGGGAGGUGGUUCCUUCUGAUCUCUGGGCGUGGAGGAAGUACGGCCAGAAGCCUAUCAAGGGAUCUCCCUAUCCAAGGUAUGUGCUUCACACAUCCGCUAAUUAUAGUUGGGUUUAUGUUUCAAGAGAAAAUGGUUCGUGUGGAACAAUUAAACUUAAGGUGAACAAUGUGUUGGUGAUAAAUUGAGGAUAGAUGGAGCAUAUACGAACUGAUAAGAGUAAACAAAACUAUCUUCUGCAUGUUCUAUAAUUAUACAAUUCUCAGCUCCAUGAUUCUUUGUGUCUGCAUCAUCGAUGCGGUUUGAAUUAAUUAGCUGAAAGCUAAUUUAAUACUUAUACCUGGCUACUGGGUAGCAAGGCGUAUUGGCAUGCUUCUAAUUCUCGUAUCCAACUAGUUUUAUCCCUCUAUGAUACAAUGGCAUUUUUUGGGUUGCACAUCGACGUAACAGAUACGGAUACUUUAUUAGCAAGAUACAAGUAUUUUUAUACAUAAAGUAUGUUUGGGGAUAAUGUACCGAUCCAUAUUCCAAGGCAUACACACUAUCAAUAUAAUUGUUCAUAUUUUUUUCAGAUUUAGUUCUCUUCUAUGCCAAGUUUAUGUUGCACACUACACCAGCUGGAUCAAUUUUUAAGCUCUCUUGUACAGUUUUUAUAUACAUGUGAUAUGUCAGCUAUAUUGUCUAGAUUAAUGUGGAAAAUGUAACUGCUGGAACAAACUUUUUUGGUAAAAUCAUAGCAAAUAUGAUAAUGAUUUUCAAACGCUAUAAAUUAAUAAAAACCAUAGCUGUAUCGGCACAUAAGUACAUAUAUGAAGCGCAAACUUUAUCUUUCGAACGCUGGUUGCAAUAUCACAGCAAGUGAUGAAAAGGUACAUGCUUGCUUGCUGAUAAAAAUGCUUUUGUCCAUUAUUGGAAUGGACGAUAUUCAGGGGGUACUACAGAUGCAGCAGCUCAAAAGGAUGCUCAGCACGGAAGCAAGUGGAGCGCAGUCGGAAUGACCCCAACAUGCUGGUCAUCACCUACACCUCCGAGCACAACCAUCCAUGGCCGACUCAGCGCAACGCGCUGGCCGGGUCAACCCGUAAUCACCACGGCAAGAACAGCAGCGGCAGCAGCUCAGGUUCCAAGAGCUCGCAGAACGAGAAGCAACAGCAACCAAACGUCAAGGAAGAGCCCAAGGAUCCGGCCACGACGACGACCACCAGCACGAUCACCACCACGACCAGUACCUCUCCGGUAGCGGCUGUGAAGGAGGAGGCGUUGGCAGGAUCGUCAGAAGCGUUGGGGAGAGUCAUGGAUGCAGCGGUCGUAGACCACAAUAUCGAACUCAUGGACCAAGUGUUCAGCGAGAGCUACAAGCCGAUGAUACCGGAGGCCGGUCACUCCGACGACUUCUUCUCCGACCUCGCGGAGCUGGAGUCAGAUCCCAUGAGCCUGAUCUUCUCCAAGGAGUACAUGGAAGCAAAGCCAAGCGGUGGCGGUGAUCGUGCCCAGGAGAAAGCAAUAACCAAGGACUUGGAUCCAUUCGACAUGCUGGAUUGGUCCACUACCUCUUCGGCAGCAAGCUCAUUUGAGCAAGGAAAGAGAGGUUAAUAAAAAAAACACCGUGUACCCUUGGCAUAUGUGCACACAUCAUAUACAUUGGAUGAGCAUCAGCUAAUAACCUGAAAUUAAGAUUACCACAAGGUCAGCAAGGAAAGAUGAGAGGUUUUUUUUUUCACUUUUCUCUUCCUCUUUGGGUCGUUCUUUGUGUCCUUAUUAUCAUUGUGUGAGAGAGAUUGGAAUUUUUGUUCAAGGUUUAGAUAUGAACCUUGUUUUAAAAGGUUUGUGUCAGCUUGAUGUGCUGUACUUAUGCAUAUGAGAUGAGCUAGUAGCUGGUAGCGCUGAGGAUCCUGGAUCCUCGCUCGCGCACGCUAAGCUCCAUUGAUCUGCUGCAGGUGUUUAUGGUUAUCUGACAUUCUAUGUGCUCGAAGAAGAUAUGACAUAAAAAAUUGGAGAGAUUGGGGAGCUUGGGCCAGGGGUGUGUGUGUGUGCGCGUGUGAAUGUGAUAGACGAAGGAAAUGGGGAAUAGAAGAAGAGACCCACAUCCUUGAAGGUGAUGUGACAGAAAGCAGAGGCAGGGGCGCCCGUUGCAACGGAAGAUGUUGUGUUACAAUAGCUGGCCGCUCGGGCCACUCCUUGCUUUUGCAUGCCGCGCUGGGGCCUGGGAGCCUAAGUUGGAUUCUCUGGACGGUACAUGUUUUUGUCCGUGCGCCAAGGAAAAUGCAUGCACGAACUUUUACCUGUUCCUCUCCUCCAGCAGUGUGACCAGCCACAGCCGCUGCUUAUUACGUACACUUGCCUAUUUGGCAAGUGUACGUGCCGCCCCUGUGCAUUAGUACAUGCGAUAUACAGCACGCUGGUCUAUUUGGCAAGUGUACGUGCCGCCCUAGCAAGCCAGCUCGAUCUGCUGUAGUAUUGCCUGACAGCAAGUGGUGAAGCAGCAUGUGUAUCCGGCCGGUACGGUACAACGUUCGGUAAAUACGUGGCGCGUACGUAUGCUAGCUUCCAAUUUGGACCCACCUGCUGGGAGAGAGUAUGUAGGGACAGUGGCUCUGCGUACGUACAUACCCUGCUCUCGCUCGUCUCAUGGCGCCGGGCUGAUGUACGUACGCGUACAACAAUAAUGCGGUCAAGGAGUAACGCAUGCGUGCGUGAGUCGGUGUGAGUGAGUGCCCCUCUGCCGUUGCUGCAGGGAUGGCCACGUGCACGUGUCUUACGGCGCGGACAGAUGUAACAUCGUGUCAAACGACACGUAACUGUAAAUUUGUCAGUGGUGGGCUGUGCACCAUGAUUACAUUUUGUGAUACAUAUACGUGCAUCCAUCAACGAACACCCGGCCAGCCGGCUGUCCCAAAAGUAACGCACUUUUCCGGCCGGACAAUGUACACUGUUUUUUUUCCUUCUUCUUACAUGAAAAAGAGAAAAAAAAAUGUAGCGUGAUGAGCGAGGUAAUGACAGGUCGACGAGAGAAUCGCAAUUGAUCCGGGCGUUGUGGCUGCGGGCUGCUGAUUGCAUUGGCGGGUGAUAAACCGGCUAUCAGUUGGGCAUGCAUUAUCCUAAGCAACCGUUACAGACUGCAAAGCUGCCUGCCGCCUCGCCCGCAAGGUCGUCGUCGGUGGCGUGGCGCUCCCCGAGCGAGUUCGUGCGUUGCACGCGCGGGUGCGGCCGGCCUGGCGACUUGCGACGUGAGCGAUCGGGCAACGGCGCACGCAAACCGAGCUAUCGCGCACGCAGGCCGGCCGUGUGGGGGCCGUACGCGGAGCUCCUGUGCCGUGCGAUGGGCACAGCGGCCACGACGACGACGACUGAGGAAGAAGAGAUUGGGUCGUGAUGCGCCCAAUAAUUAGGCAUUCAAGCGCUGGGGCAGACCUGUCCGGGCGUCGGAUAAGCAACUGCUACUAUAGCGAGCCACACGGAUCACCGAGGGGGUCAGGUCACGCGUGCGUGCGUGCGUGCCACUAUUGCCUUAUUGGGAGCGCGCCAGGGGAGACGACCCCCGAUGGAUUGGCGCCGGGAAUUGAAUGCGAGUCCAAGGAAGGAGCCCUGUACCGGCACAUUUGGAUGUUCGGAUCAGAGGGUGGUGGUGGUGCAUGCAUGCGAUGCAGGGGUUGUUGCAGCGUGCCUUUCACUGGUAAAUACCCCUGCGACGUGCUUAAACGCAGGUGCUGUGCCGUGGGAGCCCACCGCAGGGGGGGUGGCAGAUGGCAGAGGCAUUUCUCCGGACAUCCUUUGACGAUCGGUCAGUCAGUGAGCACAAUUACCUUGUCCUCAUCUCAAAAGGGUUUGUUUAAAAAGAAAGGAGGAUCCGAAAACGAAAAUGCAUGUGAGCACAAUUACCCUGCUGGGCCAAUCAAUAAAGGUGAGCAGCUAACAAACAGCCCUGCUUGCUUGAUUUGCUUUGGGCCCCUCCAAAGCCCAGCUGAGCUGGAACCCCAAUGUUGGGCCUCGCUUUGCUUUUAGCAAGGGCCUGUUUGGCAGAGCUCCACGCAGCUUCAGAUCCAAAAAACGGUAGCUCCACUACAAAGCAGCUCCAGCGUGGAUCUAUGUUCUCACUGUGGAGCUGAGCAAAAGUGUUUGGCUGAGACAACAGCUCCAAAUCCAGAAACAGAGUUUUUGGUUGGAUUGUCCACUAAUGCCCUUGGUGUUUUCUAUUUUUUCUUCUCAUUUUUUUCUGCUUAUAAGAAAUAAAUGUAAAUGUGAGAAAACAGUUAUGCGCCAAUUACCGAUUUGUUGUCAACUGUGUCGUUUAGGUGGUUGUCGGCUUAUAUAAAGUUUCUGAGUGAAUUUAUGUUCGGCGUGGUAGCUACUGAUUGGGUGUUUUCCCAUUUUUUUCUUCUCAUUUUUUCUAAUUACAGGCGAGGUAAGCAAUAGUGAUCAUCCUGCUGUCAUAUCUGGCUGUUAAAUCCAUAGACCGAUAAAAGAUCGGACAAAAGCCCAGUCAUUUUCCCAAGCAGUUGAUUCAUUGUUCAUACAUAAAUUAAUUAUUCAUACAUAAAUAAUUGUCCAUACACUUUUUUUGUUUUUUUCCACCACUCGGCGUCCAUAUUGAUAGUUCCCUUCUCCCAGUUCCAACCAGUACCAGUUUGCUUUCUCAUUAAUUUUUUCCAUGCAGACAAAUCAACCCUCAACUUAUCCCACUUGUUCUUAAGUCGACUUUUUUUCAACAUGAUACCGGUACUUUGAAAAAACCUUUCUUUCACCUCGGAAUAUCCCACAUUGUUCAAAUGAGUGUUUGGUCGAUUUUCUUUUCUAACUUGUUCAACGAAUAACUUGCAACCAAUGGUGGUAUAGCCAUCAUUCCAAUCCAUAUGAUCACCCUAUUAAUGAUUUCCCCAAAAUAUUGUUCAAAUUCCAACUGUAUUAUACAACAGCUCCACUACAAUGGAAGAAAAAUAUACCUCAUCAUCCCUUGCUCUUUUGUUAGCUGAUGCAGCACGCCUCCUAACUUGCGCAAUCGGCGUAGAAGAUGCCUACGACGCCAUCAGGAACUCAUUGCCGAUCACCGCGUCCUACAUGCCAUUUGCUAAUAAUCCAAUUAGUAUAGCCUAUCAGAAGAUGCUGUUAGCUGCAAGUUUCAAUAGUGAACAUGAACUCGUUUCACCACUAAAUACCAAAGAAUAAACAGGAACUCGUUUUGCAGCAGGUUUUUCAUAUAUAACAUUUUUUCCUGCAAGAGAGCAUAGCAUGAUGAAAUAAUGUGAUAAUGAUAAAUUCCCUUCCAAUACACUUCGAUACAUUUAGAGACAAAAGGUGCACUUGUGAACUAAGAAUAGAGUUUGCCCAAGAAACUUUAGCUUCAUCAUGUAAUCAUUUCCUCUGUGACAUCAAUUUUUUUUAAAGUUUUGCAGACGAAUGCAGCAUUUUAGAGGAUAUAAUAUUUCAUCUAGAAAAAAAUUUAAAUCAUUGCUUUUGUGAUUUUUCAUGUUGUUUCUCGACUUAACACGUGUAAAAUCAAACUAUACUCCCCAGAGAUGACAGUAACUAAACAUCGUUAAUCAUGAAGCAGUGACGAGCAUGCAAAAAGAUUUCUGUCAAAAGAACAAAAGGCACCAUUUUACAACAUUACCUACUCAUUAUCACAUAAGCACAACAAUUUUCUUAAAAGCAAAGAAAGCUUCCAAACAAGUUAAGUAACAUGAUAAUUAUGAAGCCAGGGGUAACCCAGAGUGGUUUGCAAAGGAAGAGAAGGUUGAGGAGAAGGAAGAAAGUGCAGAUGUAAGAUCACUGUUCUGUGCCCCGAUUCCCAUUUGUUUUGCAACAUUUCUAUUCCCUAUCAUGAUGAAGAUCUCGUGCAACUCUUUUUUUUAGAAUAUCGUAAUGAGGGAUAUGCAACUUUCAAUGCUCUGAUGCCAUCUAACCUGAAUGCCAUCUUUAUAUCACUAUCCCAAUUCUUCUGUAUCGUUUUGGUUCCUUUGGAUGCUGAGGUAAAUUCAGAGACAUAACUAUGUUGAAUAUAUAUUUGCAGGACAUGGGCUUCAACCUCUUCGACUGAGCUGUGCAGUCAUCAGAGUCCCCUUUUGGGUGGAAAAAUAGUUGUGAUGUUUGGAUUCUAGCCUUAUUUCAUGUUGGUGGAAUGACUGCUAGGUAGUAAUUCAGCUGUAACUUGCUAUCCUGGCUUGUGUUUUUACUGGUGAACCAGAGUUUUUCUAUCAAAUAUAUUAUCCUGGCUGGUGUUUUUACUGAGACUAGAUUUUCCCAAGGGUGUUACAUAUACAACAUACAAGCAUACUGUCAUUAACCUUGUGACAAAAGCAUAAUUCCGCCAAAUGCGAAGGCCAAGGCAAAGCCACUGAAUUGAGCAAACCAGACAAUGCCUUCCAGAGCAUGAUGGCACCAGAAUUGCCCAGAGUGGCCAAGCGAUUCAACUCAUACCACCCUUAAACAAGCAACAAAGUACAGAAAUCAGACAAAAUAUGCGAGAAUGCCAAAAUCGUACCAAGCCAUCCGCGGCCACGCUACCAGCGCUGGCCGCGCCGCCCAGGCCAGCCGCGGCCCGGCUUGCGCCGUCCAGGUCGGGCGCGCCAUGCUCCCGCCACCGCCCAUGGCCGGAGAUCCAGUGAUGCUGCCGGGACGGGGAAGUCCAACCCUAGGGGCCGGACUGGAAGACGAAGGGGGCGGAGGAGGUGGAGGAGGCGCUGAUCUCCUCAUUCCCGGCGGCGGUCCGGCCACCGACGGUGACGAAGGCGCUGGAGGCGGCGGCCGGCGCUGGAAGAAGAAAAGGCGCCGGAGGAAAAAAGAAUGCGGCGUCGGAGGAAAAAAGAGAGGCGGUGUGCGGAAAAAAAAAUAGACGCGAACCGGUACGAGGAUUGUAAUGGAUGGCAUUGGUGGAUAAUUUCCACCAACUCCAUGAGGGGUUACAAAAACAGCGUUUUGAGAGCACCCCCUGAGGUGCUCCGUGGAUUUGGUGGAUUUGGGAGCUAGAUCCAUUUUUUUUGCGGAUCUGGAUUUCACAGAGCUGCACCGUUUGGCUGGAAAAAAUGGGAGCGGAGCUGUUUUUAAGGAUCUGAAGCUGCGCGGAGCUCUACCAAACAGGCCCCAAUUAUGCUCCCUGACUCCCUGUUCCUGUUGUUUUUACUUUCACCUGCAGCAUCUCACUCAGUGCCUGGGAUCGACGUGCCCAGUUCAAACUGUUCGACCGCUGCGAACUGUUACUCAAAUCUUGAUCGACCAGUCCAAACUGUUCCUCAAAUCUUGCCCAGUGCAACAGUAAGCUCAUCUGCUCACGCUUACCUCCCACCCCUGCGUGGCGUUCGGAUCUCACCUAAUCUCCUGUGUUCCACUUACACGCAGCUCGCUGUCACCCUGUUAAGCGGUGGCUGACAUGCUCAUUACCAGGUAAUCCUCCUGACGUCACACGGCGCGGCUGGGCUGUCAAGUCCAGAGGAUGAGCGCCCGGAGCCUUGCUUGGACCAUCCCAGCCGUUGGAUCCGCAUCCACGUACCUGUUUUGCCAGUGGAAAGGCACGUCAUAGAUUCGAGCGAGCGGUCACGUCGAAAUGCUCGCAGACGGAAGAAAACUUGUGCAUCGCAAAUGGCAAUGGAGGCGGAGAGGGGCCCGUGAAAGCAAUGGCUUCGGGACCCUUUUGUCACAUCCGUUCGGUGCGUCCAAUCAGAAUCAAUCAUGCCCCGCAAUUUCCGCGAGAGCACGCCUUUUUCCAUUUGGAGUAACGUGCAUUCCCACCCCCAAAUCGGAGUCCUCAGUCGCUCUCGCUCGCUCUCCCAAUCUCCCGUCCUCUCCGCCCACCCAAAUCUGCCGUGCCGUGACCCUCAAAGGAGAGGCCAGCGGAAGCGGACGCUGCCGCCUGCCGGCAUGGACGCCGGCCUCGAGCGGAGGAGCCCGCCGCCGCUUCCAGGGGAGGCCCAGGUACGUCGUCCGCGUGCUUGCAGUUGCAUCUAUCGGUUCGAGCCCGAGGAGGCCUCCCGUUACGCGCGUCCCGCCGGUCGGACGACGCGACGCGCCGCGCCGCCGCAGGAGGCCCCAUGCGCGCGUCUGAUUGGCGAGCACGGGCACGGGUGGUUUUAGAGAGUUCCACCGGCGCCCGGUGCCAUUCUGCUGCGGUGCUAUGGCGGCCUCGCCGGCCGGCGGUCAGCUGCCUGUGUUGUGACCGUGCACUGACUGUUCCUUUUGUUACCGUGCAAGGCGUCUAGUUCAGGUCAGAGCCUAGUGCCACUGCUGGGAGCUCAGGAACAGGAACUGGGCAAGGAUAGUAGUAAUCUCUACUCCAGGGCGUCCAAUAUAGUAUUGUGUAAGUAUCUGGCACUUCUUUCCAAUGUUAGUCUUGAUCCAAGAACAAUGACCCAUAGGUGACAAAUUAUUUACAGCGUUAUACGAGAUGUGCUUUUUAUCUCAAAAGUCUAGUACGGUGCAGUAUAUCCUUGCUUGCUUCAGAAUGAUAUAACCAUGCGAGUGAACUCAACUUACUGCGCUACUAGGCCUGGUGUUCUUCGAAGUCGUAGCUUUCUACGGGGUCUACCUGAACCUGGUCGUGUACCUCCAGGACGUUCUCCAUGGGGACAGUGCUUCCAACGCGGCGGCCGUCAGUUCCUGGGCCGGUGCAAGCUUCCUGAUGCCCGUGAUCGGCGCCGCCAUUGCCGAUUCUUACUGGGGCAAGUACAAGACGGUGCUCGUCGGCCUCUCCAUAUCUCUUGCCGUAAACGCUCCGCACAAUUUGGCAUCUGAACUCUAAAUAGUACUGGCAACUGUGUGCUUGCUUCUCUGACGUACAACUGAAAGCAGGGGAUGGCCGUGAUCACGACAUCGGCUACUCUGCCGUCGCUGAGGCCUCCGCCGUGCGAGCACGGCGGCACGUACUGCGCCCCGGCGACCCUGAGCCAGCGGCUGGUGUUCUUUGCGGGCAUAUACCUCUGCGCGAUCGGGACCGGCGGCGCGAAGGCGGCCAUAGUCUCGUUCGGGGCGGAUCAGUUCGACGACGACAACGGCAAGAACGCGGCGGAGCGGGAGAUGAAGGCGUCCUACUUCAGCUGGUUCUACGGGGUGGGCAACCUGGCCGUGCUCACCUCGGGGACCCUGCUGGUCUGGGUCGAGGAGAAGGUCAGCUGGGGGCUCGGGUACGGCGCCUGCGCGGCGUCGAUGGCGGUGGCCGUCGCCGGCCUCGCCGCCACGGCGCCCGUCUACCGGAUAGUGCCUCCGGUGGGCAGCCCGCUGAAGGGCGCGUGCCAGGUGCUCGUCGCGGUAGCUCACAAGGCGGGUGUGAGAGUACCUGACGACGCUGCUGACCUGUACGAGGAGGUGCACGUCAAGACGCCAUUGCUUGAUGAACCAGCGCGCGAGCAGCUGGAGCACACCGACGAGUUCAGGUGCCUGGACAAGGCCGCGGUCGUCACGGGCGCGGACCUGGAAGGCGCCAGCCCGUGGAGGCUGUGCACGGUGACCCAGGUGGAGGAGCUCAAGACUCUGCUGCGGCUGGUCCCGAUCUGGCUCACCUCCGCCGUGUACUUCGUCGCCAACUCCCAGACUCAGACAACCUUCGUGCAGCAGGGCACGAUGACGGACACCAGGAUCAGGAUCGCCGGCGGCGCGUUCUCCGUCCCGGCCGCGUCGAUGACAAGCGUCAUGACGGUGUCCGUGGUCGUCUACAUCGCACUCUACAACCGGGCCGCCGCGCCCGUGGCGCGCCGCUUCCUGGGCCGCGCGGAGGCGCUCACGCCGCUGCAGCUCAUGGGGCUCGGACACGGCGCUGUAGUCGCCGCGGUGGCACUCGCCGCGUUCGCCGAGGUGCGCAGGCUGGCGAGCGCCAGGGCCGGUGCGCCGCCCAUGGGCAUCGCGUGGCUGCUGCCGCAGUACGUGGUGAUGGCCGUCUCCGACGCGUCGCUCAGCGUCGGGCAGCUGGAGUUCUUCUACGACCAGGCGCCGGAGACAAUGAGGGCCGCGUCGACGGCGUUCUACUUCCUGUCGUUGUCGGUCGGGAGCCUCCUCAGCUCGCAGGUGGUGACGCUGGUGGCGUCUGUGACCUCGGCGGGCGGGCGGAAGGGGUGGUUCCCGGCGGACAUGGACGAGGGGCACCUGGAUUACUACUUCCUGCUUAUUGUUGGAAUCGCUGCGUUGAACUUUGCCGUUUUUGUUUACCUCGCCAAGAAUUACACGCCCAAGACCAAGAGGGUUAGAUAGUCAUAGGAUUCUUUCUUAUCUCUAUUAAAGUUCAACAAAAAUCUCAAUAGUCUGCUAGCACUUGUCAAUUAUCACCUGCAUGUAAUCAAAAUGCAAAUAUAAAUUGGAAUUGAUGCACGGAACAUACAAUUUGGAUUGAACUUCAUUUUGAAAUGUACUUUGCUUAUCUUUUCAAGCCACAGACCGUACCCCCUCCAUCCCAUAAUACACGGCAGCGCACAUAAUUUAAUAUUCAAACUUUGAAUAUUUUGACCUACAACUAACUUUGUAUAAUGAAAAUUUUUUCUUACAAAGAUAAUAUCAUUGAAUUUAUGUUUAAAAGCACUUUAUAUUGCUAUAAACAUUAUAAUUUUAUUGCUAUAAAUAUUAUAUUAUGAGGGAUAUUUAAAGUCAAAUCUUAAUAUUAGAGACCGAUGCAAAAUUAAAUUACGUCGUGUCUUGGGAUGGAUAGAAGGGGUACCGAUGAAAUGUUUGGCCCGCCCCAGUAAGUACUGGGCUUGGGUGAUUUGCUUUCUGAUUUAGAUUGGGCUGGGCUGACUGGACUGGUAGUCAGCUGGAAGGAAAGGAUAAUCUAAAAAAAAAAACAGGCUGGAAGGAAAGGAAAAUUGUCAUGUACUUGUACUUCUCUGACAGACUGGAAGCAACACUCGAUGCCUCCGUAAUUCCAGUGCUACUACUUCUGUUGUUACCGAGUCUUUCGGCGUUUCUACUGUAACAUACUAGUACAGUACAUACUACUCCUCCAUUUCUGACACUGCCUUGUUUAUACCUCCGUUGCUUUUGCAACAACCACUUGUUCUAGAGUUACAUGACGAAAUGGUCGGUAGCGGAAAUUCAGUCUUGCGGUUGGUGAGAGCGAUGCGCCUGCGCUCUACGAAUUUCGUCAGCUGUCUGAGCUGACCUGAGGUUGUUGAGCUCAUUGGUCUUCAGUCCAUGCGUCGAGCACAAGCGAUUUGAUAACACCAUCCCCCCAAAUUCUCCAAAAUGAACGCCACCGUACUUUAAACCCAGUUAGACCAUAGAUGCCCUUCUCUCUCUGCUUCCCCACUGGUAGAGUUCCAUCUUUGAAUUGAAUGGAAGUGGCUCGUCACUCGUCAGCUUGUUGCCCACCAACCAUUCAGGAUGAGGAGAUCUCGGGUCAAUGUCAGUAUGAAUCGGACUAUUUGGGUCAGGUCGAGGUUCAUUUUUAUCUGGAUCUGAAUGCAUGCGGGCGGCCGUUUUUGGCCAAGACUUGGAUUCUGCAUUAGUUGAGCAAACCAUGUGUUCAAUAAAAAAAAUUAGCACAAAUCAGUCGUCACUUUCCGUAAUUUAUAUCGGUCAAUUACUAUGGAGAUAUGCCAUGAGUAAGUAGUUUCUCAUGCAUGUUUCAAAUUAAAGCACAGGACAGAAGGCGUAAGAUGGUACUGUACAUGAGAGUCUGAGGCCAUGACGGCUGCGCUGACGGGGAGGCGCCGAGGCGUGGAUACACUCUCUCCUCAGGUCAACAGAACAGGUCAUGUGUUCAUCUGAUCUUUCAAGGUGAAACAACUCUUGUCUGGUCAACAAGUCAUGUAUGUGUUCAAUUGAUCUCUUUCGAGGUGAAUCUUUGUCAAUUUUACUGAAGCCUCCUUUUCUGGUAUCUGAACGACCGAACCUCUCAACAACCACACAACAACGGUGUCCUCCUGCAGCCCAGGCGCAGAUAAAUUCAAAGGAUCUUAUCAGAUUAUUUUGUAUUUGGCCAUGUGCUGGUAAUGCUUUUUCUCACCCAUGUGAUCUUUUUUCAAAUGAAGAGAAGUCUAAUUUGUGCGUGGUCGUCUGGUGAUAAUAAUAAUAUGCCGUAUGUUAAUUUCGUUUUUGUAACCUUUCAACAAGAAGGCAAGACCAGCCGGCAGGUGGAGCCUUGUGUCUGUCAACACCAAACACACUUUCCCCUAAUCCCCUUUUAGCACGCUCCUUGUAGGCUUGCAGCAAGACUGAUACUGUUGCAUAUUGGAAAGGGAAAGUAAAAGUGAUGUAUAAGCAAGUGGUGGUAGGAUGAACAUAAAAAAAAAAGUGCAAGAAUAUGUUUCUGUAUCUAUUUGAAUUCUGAACUUUGCAUUCAGAAAAGUUCGAAAUGCAUGUCAUGCUAACUGCUAAAGGUUUUGGUCGAUUGUUGACUGCAUUGGAGACUUGUGCCUCCCUAAGCUGAACAACUUUCUAAAUUGACAUUCUUAAUCAGCAAAGGGAUAUUUGCAGGGAUGCGAUACAUGGCGUGGUAGUCGUUGGAGAUAAACUCCAUUGAUUCAUGCAGGCAAAAGGAACGAAGUGCAUGAUAGAUUUUCCCCCCCGUUCUUACUCAUCGAAUCGAAUUAGAAAAAGGCUCAUUAACUAAAAACUUUCGAUGUCUUAUGCCUUUCAAAUAAACAAAAAAUAGGUUCUUCACACAAAGGAUAUUUACCUUUAGGGAAGUUCACAUGCACGAUUAAAAAAAAUCCAGAGUGCGAAAGUGCUAUUGCUAGAGAUGAACAAGGUUAUCCAGGAAAUCGGCAGGAAAUGGUGCAGCUGAACACUCUGUCCUGGGGAUAUAUAAAUCAAAACCUUGGCAAAGUGACAGCAGACAGGCUUCACACUCUUCAGAAAAAAACGGCGCGGCCUUACAUUUCGCACGUAGCAUCACACAUAACCUAAUCUAACAACGGCACUACUUAUAAUAUACAGGAAAAUAGGACACUGAUUUGGUCAAAUAAUAUGACCAAGCCGAUGCAAUUGCACUUGCACCCAACCAGGGUGGCCUCCCGUACCGUACGUGUCUGGAGAGCUGUUCUGUGAAGACCGAAGAUACGGUAAAAGCUUGCUGAAUGCUGAUUGGAGUUAAACUGCAUGGAUAGAUGAAUGAACCAGCUCUUGUCACUUGUCACUUGUCAGGGAAAAGAAAAGGUCAAAAGCAAAAGGCAAAUUGGUGUGGUGGAAAAAGAGACGGUGACUCAGACGGAUGUCUGUCCUUGCAGUUUAUCUGAUGACAGUGGACUAUGUGAAGCAACACGCUUCUGCUGAUAGAAGCCUUGCUGUCUCGCCUGCUUUCUUGGAGUUCGACCGUUUCAAAAACAUCUCUGCUCCUAUAUUAAUAAAGAGAAAGAGAAAAGUCCGGAUGGGUAAAAACAGCGGAAGCACUGUACAACAUAUACACUCACACCCCUGUUUAGGAAAAGGAGAAAGAGACUUAUAGGCUAGCUACGUACAUCAAACACGAUGAAGAAAAUGUGCUAGAUGUUUUGCUCCUGCCGCUAUCCAAAUUGAUGAUUGAUCUUUGAUCUUUGUAACUACAUCAUUACAAGUUUGCUAUAACAGCGGAAGCACUAUACAACAUAUACACUCACACCCCCGUUUAGGAAAAGGAGAAAGAGACUUGUAGGCUAGCUAUGUACAUCAAACAUCAUGAAGAAAAUGUGCUAGAUGUUUUGCUCCUGUCGCUAUCCAAAUCGAUGCUUGAUCUUUGAUCUUUGUAACUACACCAUUGCAAGUUUGCUAUUUCCGUUGGAAGAUCCUCGCAUUCCGCUCAAGCCAAAUUUCCUACAGUACUAGGAGAAUUAGGCUUUUUAGCCCUUUCCGGCCAGCCACCUGGGCACUUGCUAGUGCUGUCCACCACUCGUGUACGGAGUCCUGGCUGCCCCAAUGGGUAGGGCUUAGAAUUGCGCAGUGGGACUAGUUACUCAUUUCUUCCCAAAUCGUUGUCGUAUAGGUGCAGCUCCUGAACAGAUGGAGUCCCGUUUCUAGCGUAGAGUCACAGAGGACACAAAGCGGGUUGCACGACCAUCCCCGCCUUGCCAAUCUAUUUGCUGUCCAUAUUCUGUUCUGGAUCACCAACCAUCUGAAGAACUUGCAUUUGGGUGGCGCCCAUGGCUUCCAAAUGAUGUUAUCAAAGUUAGUGAUUGUUGACCCGAAGAAUUGUAUACGGUAAGCCGACUGCGCGCUAUACUGUCCGUCUAGCGUGAAUUUCCAAAUGAUGGUGUCCUGCACUCCCGAUGUGAGCUGCACCUGUGACACCUCAGUCCAUAGGCGUAGGUACCCCAUUAGAUGUGUGACCGAUGAGCCUUGUUGUUGUAUGAGAUUCAAGCCUCGAACCCAUGUGUGGUUCGUGGUGGCAUGUUGUAGUGAUCUGUUCUUCCUACCAAAAAUCCUAAAGAGGUUAGGGGCCACAUCCCUUGGCCUUUGCCCAUCAAUCCAGCCACUUUCCCAAAAGGAUGUCCUCUUACCGUCCUUAAUUAUGAUCUUUGUGGCUGCCGCAAAUAGCCUGCGAUCCGCUUGCAAGCAUGGGACGUCACCAGGUUCCCACCGAUUGUCUUCAUUCAUCCAUUGGUACCAUAGCCAUCUUAGUCGGAGCGCUCUCGAGAACUUUCGAAGGUGCAGCACACCUAGGCCUCCCCUUUUCUUGAUCUCGUUGUCCGCACCCAAUUAAUCUUGGAUUUUCCUCCUGUCAGACUCUCCGUUCCUGCCCAAAGAAAUUGUUUCCUUUUUGCAUCAAUGAGCUUUAGUAUUUCUUUGGGUGCGUUAAGUGCUGUGAGCAGGUAGACCGGUUGUGAAGUGAGUACCGCUUUGACAAGCGUUAGUCUACCGGCUGCCGACAUAUUUUUUCCUUUCCAGCUGCUCAGAUUGCUGUUGAUCUUGGCCACUAGAGGCUGGUAGUCGAUUGUCCUGAGACGGGUUGUAGAUAACGGUAGGCCAAGGUACUUGACUAAGAAGGCGCCAUUUCUUGCUAGUAGGUUCUUUAGGACUUCAGCGAGUUGUAUUCCUUCGCAUUGGAUCAGGAUUACCGUUGAUUUUUGGAAGUUCGUUUUCAGCCACGUUGUCUCUCCAAGCAUAUUUAAGAUGCUGACCAACACAUCUAUCUCGUCCUUCUUUGGUGCGAUGAACAUUGCAGCGUCGUCGGUGUACAUCGAGAUGCGGCAGUAGGGUGUCCGCCCACGUAGUAGAGAGUACUCCCAUCUCUGAUGCUAGUUGCAGGAUCCUUUGCAGAGGAUCAAUUGCUAUGACGAAUAAAAGCGGAGAUAAGGGGUCACCCUGGCGUAGGCCUCUACCAUGAAUGAGUGGCGGGUUUGGAACCCCGUUGAGUAGUAGGCGGGAGGAUGACAUGGAGAGAAGCGCUGCAAUCCAGUCUCGCCAGCACAUCGGGAAACCCAUGUAUUGUAGGAGUGACAUAAGGUAAUCCCACCUUAUGAAGCCAUCUAGCCGUAUUUCGCACCGUCAUAAAGUUAUCAUGGAUACUCCAUUUUUUGAUGAAUGCGCUCUGGCACUUGGAGACAAUUGAUGACAUAUGUGGUUGCAAUAUGAGGGUCAAUGCUUUGGUGAUAAUUUUGAUGAAUGAGUGUAUCAGGCUGAUGGGCCUAUAGUCCUGUACAGUGUCUGCCCCUUCUUUCUUCGGUAUUAGUAUGAUAUUUGCAGAAUUGAUGAGUUGGAGGCUAUUACAGCACAAUGAGUAGAAAGCAUUCACUGCUGCCAUCACAUCUUUCUUAAUGAUUUCCCAGCAUGUUUUGAGGAAGAGGCCCGUGUACCCAUCCGGCCCUGGUGCUUUGUCCCCUGGCACCCUGCCAAUGGCAUGCUUGAUUUCAUCUUCUGAGAAAGGGGCAUCUAGCGAUGAUAAUUUGUGGUGGGCAAUCCCUAAAAUGUCCUAAUUGAAAUCCGCAUGACGAGGCAAUAGCCGCUGCAUAGUUGCUUUGAAGAAAUUUUGGAUUUCAUUUGCUUUAUCCUCAUGAUUACACGCCCAUCCAUUGCCUUUUCUUAGUUUUUGAAUGAAGUUCCUACCCUAGCGUUCGCUCUUUGGUGAAAGAAGCGUGUGUUGGCGUCCCCCAACUGUAGGUCUCUGACUCUGUUGGCUUGUUUUUUACGCACCCGCUCCACGACAGCUAAACCCAUGGCCCUUGUCUUGAGUCGUUUACGCAGGAGGUGCUCCUGCUAUGAAAGUGGUCUGUGUUCUUGCGCCAUGUCGAGCCGCAUAAUGAUCUCCAGGGCCAUGAGCAGAUGUAGUUUGGCGUCUGGGAUGAGCUUGGUACUCCACUCCCUCAGGGCUGCAGCCGUUUGCUGGAGUUUGUGAUAUAAUCUGUGAAAAGGUUCUACAUGUGGGGAUUGAGUGGUCCAAGCCCCUGUGAUGACGUCCCUAAAUCCUGGUAGCUUUGUCCAAAAAUUCUCAAAUUUGAAGGAGUUUGGUCAUCGCAGACCUCCUUGGUUAGACAGUAGUACGAGGCAGUGGUGUGACAAGGAGGAUGAUAGGGCAUGCAAAACAUGCUUGCUGUAGGCAAAGUCCCCGUCAUCGUUUGCAAAAACUCUGUCGAGCUUGAUAGGGGUAGGGUUUCGCCAUUCAUUGCUCCAUAUGAAUUUUCUAUUUUGUAAUUUGAUUUCAUGUAAGUCACAGGCAUCAAUCGCGUCUCUGAAUGUGGACAUUAGCCUUAGAUUUAAGCUGUUGUUGUUAUUGUCGCUUGCUUUGUAUAUCAUAUUGAAGUGCCAUUGGGAACCCGCUUGGGGCUUUAGGGACCAUAUUUCGGUGAGGAAAUCCAUUUUUCUCCUCGCACUGGUUGGGCCGUAAAUAACCGAUAUGAGAAAUUUGUUGAAUGUUUCUAGCACCGUGACCUCUGCCGUGAUGUGAAACUCUCCUAAAUUAACGUUGUCCAACCUGAUUGGAGUUCCACAGGAGCAUCAUGCCGCCUUUCGUGCUACUGAGACCCCCUGCUGGUUUGAACACAUACUCGUCCAGCCUAUACCCUCCCAAGUAUGUCGCUGUAUAUCUGUCUAUUUCAUUCAAUUUUGUUUCCUGGAGGCAUGCUAUGUGGCAGGAUGUGCCAUUAAUCGUUUCACGAACAGUGUCCCUCCUCGCUCUCUGAUUGGGCCCUCUCACGUUCCAACAUAGGAUUUCAAGGUUGCAGCUUGUCAUUGGAGUCAUUGGGCAAGCUCGUUAGAAUGUGUGUGCCUGUCAUGCAGCGCCGGUGACUAGCUAGCACAUGUAAAAGCUGAGCGGCUAGAGCAGCACCCUGCAUCCUGGGGCUGAGACGAACUAGACCGCCUGGGCAGCGACGGUCUCGCCGCGGUGCCCCGUAUGGCAUCGUACUCACACUGCGUCAGCGGUGGUUGUCACGGUAGUGCUGGGCAUGCCCUUGCAUUUGUACGUGCUGGUCCCGUGCGCCGUCGAGGAUGGUGCUCCUGCCGGCUGGACCUCCGUACACCGCUCUUGCUCGCUAUGCGGGUGUUCGGCGUGUGCCGUGAGCAACGGGUUUUGGCGUCUGAUCUCCCACUGCACCAGCGCGCCCAGCAGCCCCGCCCGCGCCGUCAGCGGGGGCAUGCAUGCCCACCGCACCGGCUUGUACGCGCGCUUUGCCGCCGGCGUCAUGGGGUGCCAGGCGUCUCCGGCCAGCACCACGCAGCGGCCCCUCAACGACGCGCCCGGCGCCAGGCCCUGCCAGAGCCACCGGUCCACGAGUGUCGACACAGCGCCCUCGGACGUGCACAAGGACUUGCGCGUGCGCUUCAGCCGCGGCGGGCCGGUCGCUUCCCAGUAGCAACGACGAAGCAUGCUGGAGGAGUACACCGGUGGUGACGGCAGCCUGAAUUCCCACCAUUAGCAGAACACAUACAGACCCGCAUACCAUGCCGUUAAUUGUCAUCAUCAACAUAUGCAGAGGGAUGAACAAUCAGAUUGAAAUAGAACGGCAGGUUCAGAUUUUGCCUUAGGAAAGCAUUGCAGUUGCAUACACAAGCACUGGGAGGAAGUGGACUGCAGCAGCUGGUUAGCCGGCGGCGGCAACGUUCAGGCGGCUGCCUGAACUGACUGUGUGUGUAGGUUGUCGACCGUUAUCCUCAACAACAAUAGAUGCGUGCACUGUUUUUAUGCUCGCAUUUCGCCGAUAGAUGCUAUGCUUUGUUAGUACUCCGUAGCUCACUGACUGAUCGGGUCGAGACAGAUCGUUCCCUGAACUGAAUCUUCUGACACCCUCGGUCGCUCGUAAGAUAGCAACUGAGCUGAAUAUUCCUCUGACAGUGAAAAACUGAUCGGGUCGGAGGUAGAUAGAUAUUUAGAUAGAUAGAUGAUUCCUGGGGCUACUGCGAGGAAAUUAGGCACGUUUCCGCGGAAAGGUCGGAGCUGCGGGAAUUCGACGGGGGAGGUUACCACGGCGGCCCGUUGUCUGGCGGGGAAAUACCCAAAAAGUGCAGCAGAUCCGUUGCACUUUUGCACGCAGAACAGUCUCCUCUGCUACUGCAUCAGGAAUUCAGGAGCCUCCAGGAAGGACUAGUCAGACACUCAGACGUAUACGACGGAGAUUCAGCAGCCUUGGCGCGCAGCGCAGCGAACUCGCGUAUUAAUCGCGCAUGUGCGGAUUAGGCUAACCGAGCUCGAAAACACGCGCUUAUACGCCGGUUUGAAUUAAUCUCGCCUCGGACGAGCAAUAAAAUAUCGUGUCGCUGCGGGGUCAGUGACGCCCGCCGCUUUACCUGUUCGCUGCCUCUCCGCGUAUAUAAGCCGCGCUGCUUUGCCUCUCCUUUCCAUCCCAGCUCGGCAGCUCCAUAGACUCAGGCUCUCUCGCCUCUCCCGCGCCGCAGGCCCGCCGAAGGCGCGCGAUCCCGGGCGGCGCCGAGGAAAGCGAGAGCACGGCUUCCUUUCCGGGGAGAUUUCGACGUAGAUUGCAGCGGAAAUGGACGCCGGCGACGCCAUGGAGAGAGGCCAGCAGCGCUCGCCGCGGCUGCCAGAGGUGCGUCCGCUUCUUAGCUACUCACUCCGUUCGAAAUUAUAACUUAUUCCAAUUUUAUUGGAGAGUCAAACCAUUUUAUAUUUGAUCAAAAUCAUAGAGAAAAUUACAAAAAAUUAUAGCAUCGAAACUAAUGACACUUAUUUGAUAUCAUGAAUAUUAGUACUUUAUUGUAUAAAUUUAGUCAAACUUGAGAAGUUUUAACUCUCUAAAGUUAGAAUGAUUUAUAAUUUAGGACGGAAGGAGUACUUUACAAGCAUUGGCUCAUCCGGUUGAAUUACUGCGUGCCCCCAUUUUUUCUUAACAAAUACCGCCCGCUUUUCAGUUUUUGCCUGCAAAGCUCGCUGAAGCCAUCACAGAGCAUUCAUUAAGUCCCAGUUAUUGGACGCUAAAAAUCAAAAUGCGACAUCGCAGAACAUUACUAGGCCGGCCGGGCCUUGCCCGCUGGUGUUGUGUGCACAGAAGCGAGCCCAUGCGUAGCAAGCAACCAAGGUUCGCGCGUGUCCCGCUGCAUUAGCUAGCAACCAUGAUAACGUAUCACGCCACGGCUAAUAUUAACCCAGAGCUUUUACUGUGUCCAUGCGUUUUUCGUGAUUGGUUUACACGAUUCACGGGGGACGGGUUUGGUGACAGCAACCUCGCGGACCAUGUCUCCACCACGUCGAGGAGCGUAACGAUUCAAGCUGCCGACCUUUCACCCAAAGUAAAAGGGAUAAAGGUUGUCAAAAAAAGCGGUAGAACACACUUUAUCGCUUUACACAUCACAACCACUAUGUUCUCUCUUUUUUUUUCGGGUAAACCAGUUCUCAACACACACACACAAAAAAAAAAAAACAUUCCCCACCUGUUAUGUGAAUUCUUUCUAAAAAAGAGCUGUAUACGUAUGCUCGCAAAAUUGGGUGCUAGGACUAGGAGGCCAAGAAAAAAAAAAGCCUUGGGGUGCUAGUUAGAGAACCUGUAUUGUCAUGUACAUGUAUACCAUCAUGUUUCUCGUUCAUGAUUAAGAAAUGGUUGUGAUCAAUCAAUAAACAUUGUGAUCUCAGUAGUUCAUGUUGGUUGUAACCUGCAGAAGCGAAGAGUUUAGCUUUGUAACAGUUUGUACAAAUCAUAACUUUGCAGAGCCGGAGCCCAAAGAUCCAGGACGAAAGCCUCACGGUGCCACUCAUUCAAGACAAGAAAACUGGAAGCAAAGCGCCAGCUGUUGUUCUAGGUGAGCUCCCAAGUUUCUUCACACAGAACCAUCGAGGCAGCUACAGUAAUAUGCUACUGUCAUCGGUGGAAGUUUCUUUUUUUUGUUCACUAAGCAUCCAAACUUCACUAAAUGCCGGCGACAAAUUAAACACUGCUUCUUUUUCUGUAGGAUUUGAGUGCUUGGAGAGCACAGCGUUCAAUGGCAUUGGCACGAACCUGGUGGUGUACCUGGAGAGCGUCCUGCACGGCAGCAAUCUCGCCAGUGCGUCCAAUGUCACCUCCUGGAUCGGGACCAGCUACCUGACCCCCGUCUUCGGCGCCAUCGUCGCGGACACGUUCUGGGGCAACUACAACACCAUCCUCGUCUCCCUCGUCAUCUACCUUCUUGUAAGCAUUUUUUUCAAAUUCAAAUCGAAACAUUUCAACUCUUAAUUUGCUUAAUGACUUUGCAACCAUCUGAUCGGCACAUCAGGGCAUGAUGCUCGUCACCUUCUCGGCGUUCCUGCCGAUCACCGAGCUCUGCGGGGUCGGCUCGUCGUGCCACCCCGUGCUGGGCGCGCGGAACAUGGCCUUCCUCGGCCUCUACCUCGUGGCGUUCGGCAGCGGCGGCGUGCGCGCGGCGCUGCUGCCGUUCGGCGCGGAGCAGUUCGACGACGACAACGCCGUGGACCGGGAGCGCAAGAUAUCCUUCUUCAGCUGGUUCUACAUCUGCGUGGACUUCGGCAUGAUCGUCUCGGGCGUGUUCAUCGUGUGGGUCCAGCAGAACGUCAGCUGGGGCCUGGGAUUCGGCAUCGCCACGGCCUGCAUCGCGCUCGCCUUCGGCGGCUUCGUCCUCGCCACGCCCAUGUACAAGCGCACCACGCCCACCGGCUCGCCGCUCAAGAGCCUGGGCCAGGUCGUGGUCGCCGCGUUCAGGAAGGCCUGCCUCCGCGUCCCCUCCGACGCCGGCCUCCUCUACGAGGUCCACGACAAGAUCGACCAGCCCAAGAUCGCGCACACCGACGAGUUCGCGUUCCUCGACAAGGCGGCCGUGGUCGCCGACUUGGACCUGGAGGAGGUGACGGACGCUGACGCCGCGGGGUCGUCGUCGUGGAGGCUGUGCACGGUGACGCAGGUGGAGGAGCUCAAGAUCCUGCUGCGGCUGAUGCCGAUCUGGGCGACGAGCAUCGUGCUGUCGGCGGCGUACGCGCAGCUGAACACCACGUUCGUGCAGCAGGGCGGCGCCAUGGACAUGCGGGUGGCGUCCUUCACCAUCCCGGCCGCGUCGAUGGUGUCCUUCGAGGUGCUCUGCGUCCUGGCCUGGGUGCUCAUCUACGGCUCCGCCAUCGUGCCGGCGCUCCGGGCCGUCUCCCCGUCCCGCGGCGAGCCGUCGCAGCUGCAGCGGAUGGGCGCCGGGCGGCUGCUCAUGGCGUGCGCGAUGGCCGUGGCGGCGCUGGUGGAGACGAAGCGCCUGGCCGCCGCGGGCCGCGGCGAGGCCGUGAGCAUCCUGUGGCAGAUGCCGCAGUACUUCGUGCUGGCCGGCGCGGAGGUGUUCUGCUACAUCGCGCAACUGGAGUUCUUCUACACCGAGGCCCCCGACACGAUGAAGAGCAUGUGCACGUCGCUGGCGCUGCUCACCGUCGCGCUGGGCAGCUACAUGAGCUCGCUCAUCUACGCCGUCGUGGACGCGCUUACCGCGACCGGCGGCCGGCCCGGGUGGAUCGCGAACAACCUCAACGAGGGGCACCUAGACUACUUCUUCUGGACCAUGGCGGCGCUGUGCACGCUCAACUUCGUCGUGUACAGCGCCUUCGCAAGGAACUACAAGGUCAAGACGGUCGUGUCGUGAUCCGGAUGGAGCGCGCGCUCAGGCUCUGCUUCGUCGCGCACAAGGUCAAGACGGUGGAAUUUGCGGUGGGUGUUGCGCAAUGGCGCGUUUGUGCACAAAGAUUUUAGAGAUUGCUAGGAAUGCGUAGGUGCAUAGGCAACGGCAUUAUUUGUGCGCUCCAUUGUGUUACGUACGUGGUAGCGACGGGCCGGGGUUGUUAUUGAUUUUUUUUGGGUUCAGUUUCUUUUCUUUUCUGUAGUGUAAGUUGAAACAUGGAUCGGCAACAGGACAUCCGUGCAUCAUAUGAUAUAUGCCUCGGGAAAAAAAUGCAGCAAUACUGCGCAUUUGCCAACGAAUCAAUGACUGUGUUUGUUCAUGAGAGAGCGCGUUUUUUAUUGAACAAUAUGGUUAAAUAGAAAUGAAGUUGUUUUUGAUAAAUCUCGAUCAAAACUUUUUUGCAGGUACUAUUCACAACGAUAGAGUCUUCUUCAUCUCGGCAUGUCAAUCUUUCGAGAUGGCAUGUUUCUUUAGUUGAAAUGGAUGGUUCUUUAAUUUGAGAAUUGGAUUUUGAGUCAGUUAAUAUUAUCUAAAAUUUGUGUAUGAGUGACUACUUGUAAAAAUUAUGGACUGAUUCCCCUCGAUGUUGAAGCUGGAUUUUAUCCAUUAUUAAAAAAACAGAGGGCGCGGAAGUAUCCUAUAAUUUUUGGGCCUGGAAUGCCCGUCGCAAUGUUGGGCCAAGCUGAAGCUGUACAAAAGAGGUGGGGUUCUUAUACGGGCCAGACGAUGCUACAUACACACUAGUAAAGGACACCGGGAGUCGAGGCGGUGAGAAAAAAGUCCCGGCAGACCAACGAAUCGCUCGCUGGGGAAGAAAAUGUAAGAUUCAACUCUAAAUAAGGCCUUGUUUAGUUGCCUGAUUUUGGUUGUCCAAAAUCAGUGCGUUAGCACUGUAGCGCACUGUAGCAUUUCGUUUGUAUUUGUAAAUUAUUGUCUAAAUAUUGACUAAUUAGGCUCAAAAGAUUCGUCUCGCAAAGUACAACCAAACUGUGCAAUUAGUUUUUGAUUUCGUCUACAUUUAGUAUUUCAUGCAUCUACGGUAAGUUUGAUAUGAUGGAGAAUCUUCUUUUUACAUAGUGUCAAAGUUGGGAUUUUGGGGAACUAAACAGGCCCUAAAUUCCAACGGAACACAUACUUGGAAGAAAAUCCGUGGCAGCAAGUCAUUCGAUUUUUGAAAUUCAAAAUAAAUGCAUCGUGUUCGGACGCAGCUAGACGCCUAGACUUCUGAUCGAGACUCGAGAGCAAGGUAAGCCACGUGGCCUCUUGUGGUUCGACCAACAGGAUACAGUACUACAGUAGUCCGAUAAUGUGGGGUCCACGCCCACCGCCUGCCAAGUUUUUUGAGGGGAAAAAAUCCGAGGGAAUAAACAGGCCGCUCCAACGGUCGGGCUCCUCGAAUUCAAAUCCGGCCGCAGUUGCCUUUAUAUCCGACCCACACGCUCCCUUCCUUCGCUUUUCCGGAUGACCCAUCGCGGAUUUCAAAUAGCUGCGCAGCCCAGCUGAACCUACCCAGAUCGGACGAGAGGAGGAGGAGACACGGCGGAGAGGAGAAGACGGAGUCACAGGAGGAGGAGGAUUGCCGCCGCCCGCAGCAGGAAGAGAGAGCAUGGACUUCCUUGCGCUCCCCCGCCGCGACCUGCAGGCGCUGUGCAAGCGCAACGGCGUCCGCGCCAACAUGACCAACGCCGCCAUGGCCGAGGCCCUCGCCGCGCUCCCCACGGUAAGGAAGCCGCCCCUCGCUCGCUCGUCCCGUCCCAUCACGCGCGUCGAAUUCAGAUCUGGGCACGGCGGGUAGCUUGCGAGCUUACACGUUCCGUAAUUUCAGGUUGAUGGGAUCGGGGAGUACGUCAAGGAGCCCGUCACCGUUCCUGCGCCAGAGGUUAAGGCGGCGGCGGCGGCGGAUGAGCAGCAGCGGGAGAAGCUGGGGAGCCCACUCCCGCGCGGCCGCCGCGUGACGGUCAAGGCGGUCCAGACGGACGGCGGCAAGGAGGAUGAGAAGCGGGAGUCGGCCAAGGAGGACGCGCCGGCACUUGCAGUUGGGCGGCGCGGUCCCAGCCGGCGCGCUCGGCCAGCUCCUGUCGUGGCGUCUUCGGUGGCCGUGCCGGUUGGAAAGGCGGAGGAAGCGGAGGACAAGCAGGGCGGCAGCAAGGAGGAGGAUCGGAGGCGGGAGGCGAACAAGGAGGAUCCGCCAGCCCCUGUCGUUGGGCGGCGCGCUGCGAGCCGCCGCGCUCGACCAGAGUUGGCAGCAGAGUCAGCGGCGGCAGGGGCGGUAGAGGAGCAGAGGAAGCAAGAUGGGAGCCCGACCCCGCGCGGCCGCCGCGGUGCGGUCAAGUCGUCCGAGCCCAUCAGACCGGAUGACUGUGAGAAGGAGGAGAAGGAGCUCAUGCGGGAGGCUGGAACGGAUGGUGCGCCGGCCCUUGGCGUCGGACGUCGUGGUGCCAGCCGGCGCGCUCGCCCCGCGCCAGCGUUGGCUGAGCCGGCGGGCAAGGUAACAGAGGAGGAGAAGGCGCCACCGAUUCCUCGCGAUCGCCAUGUCAAGCUGAACGACGACAAGGAGGAUACAAAAGCAGCUACGAAGCCAGAAGGGGAGGAAGACGCGCCAGCACUGGGCGUUGGUCAUCGCGGUGCCUGCCGGCGUGUUCGGCGCGCGCCUGCUGUGUCAGGCAAGGUAGCAGCAGAGGCUGAGCCACGGGCUCUGAUCCCACGUGGCCACGGCGUUCCUGUCAAGUCACCCGAGGUUACCAGGCUGGACGAUAGCGAGGACGAGGAAAAGGAGGACACGAAGCCGGAUGAGAAGGACGAUGAAGCGCCUGCAAUUGGCGUGGGUCGGCGUGGUGCCAGCCAGCGCGCCCCCGCCCCUGCAGAUUCUCCGGCUACGAGAAGAAGGGCUGCAACAAGUAAAGCUGAGGCAGUAGGUGUGACCGAGGAGGCUGUGCCCAUGCGGGCCACUCGUCACCGUAAGCCAACUAUGAAAGCGGCCGCGGUGGCAGAGGAGAAGGCGCUGCCAAAGGCGACAAGAAGGAAGGCGGUAAAGAAGACCAUUUCGCAGCAGGAGGAACAAGAAAACCCACAAGGUGAACUUCAACAAUAUCUAACACUCCAAGGGAGAGAUUACAAUAUACAGCCCCAAGGGUCCAGUCCAGCCAGGACUUUAUCUACAAGAUAUUCUAGUUACAAACUUAUAUAACAAGAUAGCAACAAAUCUAUCUACAACUACCUGGCCGAACCAAAGCUCUUUGAGUCGAUUACAAUUGAACUUCAACAAUAUCUAACAAGAUUGACUUGAUCCCAAUCAAUUCAUUUCUGUGGACGAACUGAGCGCUGGUUUUGCUUAUGCCAAUUUUGAUUUCUGAACCUUGCGUCGUCUCUUAUGCAGAGGCUGUGCCUGCUCCAGUUUCUGACGUGGGAUGUGAUAACCCUGAAGACCCGGAAGAGGAUUCUGGCCCUCAGAAGAGAGAGCAAAAACAAAAGGAUGAAGGUGAGACCUGCACAUGAUGUGUCCGCUCCCAUUUCUUCUUGGUACCUGCUUUGCUGUGUCAUUGACUGAUAUAGCCGUUUUUGUGUUCAUUGUUCAAUUUCUGUUCAAUUUGGAAUUUCAUUGUUGUUCAACUUGGAAUUUCAGAUGUGGUGAUCAUUGAGGAUGAGAUACUGAUGGAAGAGAACCCGGCACAAGAGCUACUUGUGACCAAUCAGGAAUCCAUGGAUCAUUCAACACUGCAAGGACAACAAGUGGGUGUUGAGAACUGUCCUGCUCCUUCGGCCAGCCAGGAGGAUUCACCUAUCAUGGGUCUCGUUUCAAUGGCAACAGAACAGGCAGCUGAGAAGGACGAAUGUGCCAAUUUUCAGGAUGGUAAAGGAUCCUGCGGGUCAUUGGACAAGGGGGUGUCCGAUAAGAACCAUGAUGCCGGUGAAGAGAUAGAAAAGUUGUCCAUCAUCCAGGGGCUGCAGGCCUCACCGACAGAAGACCACAUUGAGGAAGUUGUCACUGAUGAUGCUAACCAUGAAAGUGAAAUGCGGAAUUUCAAUGAAGUACUGCAUGGCACAGAGGAAACCAGUGAGGCUAAUGCAGAAGAUGAUAUUGUCAGUCAGGACAAGGAAGAUAUCACUAUCGAUGAGUUGCAGGCUGACUUGGCAGAUGGGUCUGUUCUUGUUCAUUGCUCAGGGAAUAUCAAACUGUUUGUCGAAGAGGAGACCAAUGAGGUCAAUACUGAAGACGGUGUUUCUUUUCAGGAGAAGGGAGAUGUGGCUGUUGAUAUGGCACUGCCUGACACAGUGGCUGAGGCCAUUCCUUCUGGUUGCUCAAUUGAUAUCAGCUGUGUUGAAGUGGAGAAGGCAGGAUACAUCACUAGUGAGAUGUCUGAGAGCCCAGCUGCAUUGGAUGAGGAUGGUGAGGUAACAAACCUGUACGCUGAUAUCUGUCAUGCCGAUAAACCGAGUGAGGUGGUCAUUGGUGACAGUGUGUCCCAAGUCACAGUACCGGACAGCAAAGUUGUUCAGGAGGAAAAGGUGGUAGUGAUUACUGAUGAGAUGCCAUGGAGCACAGCUGCGAUGCAUGAGGACGUCGAGGAAGAUCAGUUUCAAACUAUUUUUAUUCAUGCUGCUGACAGUCUGCCGGAAGUUAAAAUGAUAGAUUAUGAAGUUGAGGAGAAGACAUCAAUGAUCAUUGAUGAGCAGCAGCAGAGCACGGUUACAAUCGAUGAAGAUGUUGUCGACAACCAUUUGGAAACUGAUGUUGUUCAUGCUGAUGAACAUAAGGAAGCGGUAACUAUUGAUGAAGUGCCAGAAUCCACAGGGACAGACGGUGAAGUUCUUGAGGAGGACAAGGCAGCUGUGAUCACUGAGGAGGUGCCACAGAGCACUGGUAAAAUGGAUGAGCAUGAAGAGGAAGAUCAGUUCCAAACUGCUUUUGUUCAUGAUGAUCAAGUAGUCACUGCUGACAGCGUGCCAGAUCUGAAAAUAACAGGUUGUGAACCAAUUGAGGACAAGACAACACUGAUAACUGAUGAGAAGCAACAGAGCACAGUCACAAUGGAUGAAGAUGUUGUCGAUGAUCAUUUCGAAACUGAUGCUGUCCAUGCCGAUGAUCACAAGAAAGUGGUAACUGCUGAUGAAGUGCCAGAACUCACAGGGACAGAUGAUGAAGUUGUUGGGGAGGAUAAGGCAGUUGUGACUGCUGAGGAGGUGCCACAGAGCACAGGUACCGAUGAGGAAGUCGAGGAAGAUCAGUUCCAAACUUUUUUUGUUCAUGCUGAACAAGUACUCACUUCUGACAGUGUGUCUGAUCUGAAAAUAACAGAUUGUGAAGAGAAAACGACACUGAUCAUUGAUGAGAAGCAACAGAGCACAGUUACAAUGGAUGAAGCUGAUGUUAGUGAUUAUUCCGAAACUGAUGAAUUGAAGGAAGUGGCAACUGAUGACAAAGUGCCACAACUCACAGGGACAGAGGGUGAAGUUGUUGAGGAGGAUAAGGCAGUUGUGAUCACAGAUGAGGAUGACUGGAAGGAGAGUGCAUUCACCAGUGAUCUUCCUCAAGAGCUCGAUGUUUCAGAAGAAUCCAAAGAUCGCAUAACUCCAGCACUGGUUGAUGAUGCCACUGAGUCCCUGUCCAAUAGCAUCCUCACUGUGGAGCCAGCUGCGUCCAUAGCUGCAGACGCAUCAGUGUGCAAGAACAGCAUCGAGAAGAACACUACUGAACUUGUGGCAAUGCAAGAUGAGAAGGUAGUAAAGGUGAACAAGAAAUCUGUGGAUUUGUACGCAUUUAGCCUACGGCAGCUCAAAACCAAGCUCAAGGAGGGGCUGAACGCCAAGAAGGUAAUGAACCAAUCAGCUCCACUCUGUUACUAUUCUGAUAUCUGAUUUGAAUACUGAACUGCCUCUAAUUUGCAGAACAAAGAAGCAAAGAGGGUGGCCCUUGCUAGAGUGGACGAGAAUGUGUGUCGAUCCCACACAAAGGGCCAGCAGCAGAACCUGAAUCUGCAACAGCAUUAACCCGGAGAAGAAGCCGCGGCUCUGAACUCUGACCAUAUCAUAUUUGCGUGCCAGAUGGUAUCAGGUUGUUCUGAAACCAUGGUUUCUCCGACCUUGGCAUCUAACCUAUAUUUGUGCUUGUUCUUUCGUGUGUUUGCGUGUUUGCUUGGAGAGGCAUGAGGCGAUUCGGCUGUAUUUUGUCAAGUCUAAUCGUAGGCUAGUACCCAGCUUUGAACUGUGAGUGGUUUGCUGGUGUUGGUUGCCUGUCUUAUUUUGAACUCCCAUUACUCGUUGGGAAAACCUGCUUAUAUAUAUUUAUGUAUCGUGCAAUAACAAGGUAGCAUCAGACUGUUUGGAAAUGAGUCAUGAAGCAUCGUUUGCUCGAUGUGGUAUCUUCCCUUUGGAUGCAGUAAAGUUAACUGUACACUUUUUCUGCCCCCAACAAUCCCUUCCACGGGCCUCAGCAGAACGUGUGAUUUCAGGCCUUCAGAAUUCAAAUCGGCAAAAUUCGAGAGUACAGGUACAGCUAUCUGCGUUUGGAGUUUGGACGAAUCUGAAUUUCGGAAAAUAAUCUGAACAUGAAGUGGAAUGCUCUAAACUUGUCUGCCACAGUAACAAUCCACAUGAAUACAUAUGGUCCUUGUUCCUCGGCCACCAUUCUUAAAUCCUGCACGCAUCUUCAUUCAGAUUCAGAUCGAAAUGCUACCAUCAGAUGGAGCUCGUCCACAGCCAGGUUAUCCGAGGCACGGAAACAAAUUUGACCCUGCCACGAGGUUGUGUGGCUCGUCCACAGCCAAAUUGGGAGUGCUCCAGUUGGCCACAGCGUCGCUGCCACAAUAUAUUAUUGGAUCCACUAUACCACUAUAUUGGAGCUACAUGAUGCCCAAACGCGGAACACGUCGAUCAAACAGUAACCAUUGUCACGAGUCACACACAAGUCACAACCACUCAAUCGCUGAUUCAGCCAUGUGGUUUUUUCUCACACGUCGUCCUCAACCAUGAAUGCCAAUGACAGCGAUUUCAAACCAAAAACAGAAAAGAAGCCGUACACGCACGUAUCUGGAAAUCUUUAUACUAGCUGUUAUCGAAUACUUGCACUACUAGCACUGAUUGGGACACUAGUGUAUCACAUCCACAGGCAACACCAACCCACAUUUGCGCGCUCCGUUCCAGGCAGCACCAACACGCCGUCGAAUGAAACCAUCUGUGUUCGUGGUUGAGUUUGGUGGAACAAACCUACCAAACGUGCAGAUUAACAAAAGCAGAUCCUUGCUCCGAAAAAAAAGGGCAGAUCAGAAAAAGAAUUCAUGUCAUAGAUUAGCAAGAUCAUAACAUACUUACAAACCUAAUGUCAGAUUCGAAAAGCUUUGAAGAAAUGUCAAUAUAGCAUGCUCAAUUGACCAAAAACCUCACUGCCACGAAAAUAUUCAAUCCCGAAGAGGCAGGGCAGGCGACGAACUCAUCGUAACGUUAAACACGUCGAUACAGCACCAGCCACUCGCCCACUCCAAUUCAGCCGUAAUCACGUGACAAGCGUGGUUACCGAUUGCUAAACAAUCACCGAUUGGAUUCAUGUCGCCCUCUACUCUGAAUUCCUGAUGCGGACUGAUUUGAUUUCAAACCAAAACGAAACCAACCAUAAUUGAAGGGCAUCAAGGACAUGAAACAUGCGCAAACCAGUGACCCGAACACUUAUAUAACACGGAUAAAGGACGCAGGUACAUCACACCCACAAGCAGGACAUGCGCGCAUCUCCUGCUUGCUCUUAUUACAGGCACGGGCACGAGCAUCACGUUGCUACUACAGCUACUACCAGUCCUGAUGCACGCCAUGCCUGAUACUACUACCAUAAACCCAGUAUUAGCACAGCCACACUACUACUUCCAAGCAGUAUUAUAUCGGUCGAUAAGCAAGGGAGCCCAGCGGAGCAGAGUGAUAGGAGUAUCAGUGCCGGGCUCUCACAAACUUAUCGGCAGUGGGCUGACGGCCGGCCUCAGGCGGCGGGGGGCGGCUUCUCGACGUCCUCAAGGGGGCGGAACCACACCUUCUGGUCCAGCACCGAGCCCGCACCAUUCGCGGCGGCGUCCGGCGCGCCGGCGGCCUUGUUGGCGUCCACCGCCGCGGGGCCGAACACGCCGGUCUUGGGGUGGGGGCCCCAGUACUUGUCGGGGUUGGCGGCGCCGCCGAUCACAUCGUCCGGCACGAACGCCGGGCGCACCUGGUCCUCCAGGUUCUUGUCGUACGCCGAGGCGUGCACGGCCCUCCUGCACAAGGUCGCAUCCAGUCAGAACUCAGAAUGGUGGACGAGCAAACGAGUGUCUGACGAUCCUUGUGACAAACAUGGUUUUAACAAGAGUGCUUAAGAUCCGAUGAAUGAAUAAUCGUUCUGCAAGCAACGAUGAUACCACAAUCCCAGGACAUGUCACGACAAAACAACGACAGAAACCAGGACAACCCCGGGAUCCCGAUACCAAGGCAGACUGAUCUCGUUCGCUGCAUUGUGCGCACCGUGCGACAGGUUCAAGUUCUCCUGAAUCAAGGUUACUGCUAGCACUUGUUUCAUGUUCGCAAGAAAUUUUGAAGACGCACGAGGCGUUGCAUGCCAAAACCUUAGCAAACUCUUUUAAAAAAACCCUUAGCAAACACGAAGCGGCACACCAGCCCAUGGCGAUGGCGCACGUGCCCCCGCCUCCGCCUCCACCUCCACCGCUCCACGCACGGGCGCGCGCGCGCGUGCACAUGGGCGGGCCGUGAAGAGGAUACGCGAGCGAGCGAGAGAAGGCGAGGGCACGACACGACGGCCGAAGCAGCUCGCUGUUCGGUGGGUGCGGAUAAGAGCGAGGCGGGACCGGAUCGAGUCCCAUCCGUACCGCACCACGCCCCGGUCACCCUGCACCGUCCGAUGGGCUUGUCACCUAGCAGAAGGCCCCGGCAACGGACGGCCCCGAUCCGGUCGUCGGCCCUGUGCAGAACAGCCCACAGCAAAUCCAGCGAUGAUGGGAUCGAAAGGGAAUCGUACGGGCCGGACGCGAAAGGAUGGGCCCGCCGGACGUCCGGGCUUCUGGUUCUCGGGCCCCACCGCCAGACGGAGACCCACUUCUGCCUCAGACCUCAAGAGAAAGAAACCUUUGAGUGGAAACCAAGAGAAAGAAACCUUCGGGUGGAAACCUGAGCGACGGAUGGCGGGUGGAGCGACAACCGACAACUACCGCGCACCAGACUCAUCUAUCCAUCUCUAUCUCCAAUUCGCCACCGAGAACUUUUCCGAAAGUGAAGCGUUGGGCGCGGCUUGGUGUACACAUCCUGUGUGCGUGGCUGUGUCGCCACUGCUGCUUCUCAUCUUCUUUGUGUGGGUGCGCCUGGAGCUGGAGUGGAGUGUGGUCAGUGUGGGGCCUUGCCUUUUCCUCCCUAGCAGAGGCAAGAGUUUUUUUGCGGAUUUUGAUGGACUGAACUGGGCAGUAAAAAUAUCUCCGUGGAUCUCACUUGAUCGAUCGGGAGUCUGCUAGUUCGAGCGUGCAAGAUGAUUAGGUGAAGUGCCAGCCUUCCAGUUUCCAGGUGCUCUUGCCUAUUGUGUUCUCACACGGUCAGAUGAUCACUAAACAGCUGGGCGAUGUUCCCAACGCAGAGGAUUGCCGUAUCUAGAUCAUGUAAGAAGACGAUCCUUCAAGUUUAGCAGUAACGUCUAGACAUGUAAUCGCAUAAUAAAUCGACAGAAUACAAGAUUAUCUGCUGAAUCAGUGGUUAACCACAAAAGCUAAACAUUCGUACUACCAUGUCGGAAGAAAAGCUGCAGGGAACGCUAUGCAAAGCACCGAAAGCCCGAAAGCAAAUCUAAAGGAUGGCCUAAAAAGCACAUCUCUCUGCUACAACAAGAUCAUGGACGAACUUAACAAGAACACUCGCCUACAGAAAUACUCCUACUCCCUUGUCGGAGGAAAAGCUGCAAGCAACACUAAGCAAAGCUAGGAGGCCUAAAAACAAAUCUCUCUGCAACAACAAGAUCUUGGGCGAGCUUAGCAAGAACAAUCGCCUACAAGAACUAGGCGAAAAUAAAUCACACGACAAUAACCGCAAGCGGGCAUGCCAGGUGGCCGUCGUUCGUCAUGUACCUCGGGGAGGCGGCGGCCUUGCCGGCCAGGACGCGGCUGACGAAGCUUCCAGCGAUCGCCCGCCCCUUGGAGCUUGCCGCUGCUGCCAUGCAAGGACCGACCGUUCGGGAGGGAAGGGAGCGCAGAAGAUGAAUCGCCGGACGGACGAACAGUCCUGUGCUGCGACUGCGAGAUUGGGGGAAGAAGUCCAAAGGGAGUG
RNAcentral lists this long non-coding RNA (108089 nucleotides) under Setaria viridis. RNAcentral's name for it is "long non-coding RNA (SVIR_LNC008447)". The record is from RNAcentral. Lineage: Eukaryota; Viridiplantae; Streptophyta; Magnoliopsida; Poales; Poaceae.